RNAcentral lists this long non-coding RNA (159791 nucleotides) under Triticum aestivum (bread wheat). Its description in RNAcentral is "long non-coding RNA (TAES_LNC024270)". The stretch from base 50302 to 50436 matches the Rfam family "MIR1120/MIR1122 microRNA precursor family". Lineage: Eukaryota; Viridiplantae; Streptophyta; Magnoliopsida; Poales; Poaceae. The record is from RNAcentral.
CCCGUCACACAUGCGCUUUCUAGCCAUUCAUUUUUCCACCGUUACGUGCCUGAGAGCAUCUCCAGUCGUUCGGUCCCUUGGAUGACCGUCCGAAACUCCGCCGGUCACAUCAACGAGCCCACUCACACACCGCUUCAGCUUUCCUUAUCCCGUCACACAUGCGCUUUCUAGCCAUUCAUUUUUCCACCGUUGAAUGCCUGAGAGCAUCUCUAGUCGUUCGGCCCCAAGGGACGUGAAAUAUCUGUUUAGAGUAGAACGAGAGACAAAGCAAAAUGAUUCAAGUGUCAUCUUUAUUGAUCAUGUUCACGUAUAUAUACAAUCGGGAAGGAUGCAUCCAAGAGAAGCGUCCGUUGCAAAAGGCGUCGAUCGGGAGGAGACGAGCAACCUUUGGGCAGUUGCCAAAGUGGUAACCGCACGCAUGGUGCGGGAAUGCGGGGAUUCCCCUAACUAACCGCUGAGGUUAAUUAGUUUUAACACUCCCCCUAAUCACCGCUUAAUUGUGUGUUUGAUCAUCAUCUUGAUUAAGUCUCCUCAAAAACCCUGUGGGAAAAAUGUGAGGAGUAUAGUAUUUGAUAUGUUGCCAAAACUCCUACAAACCCAGUGGGAAAAAUAAGGAGAAAAUUAUGCAACAUAUAAUGGUUAUUGUCUCUUUCAACUCAAUACGAGAAAACUCAUAGAAUCAAGAGGACAAUAAAUAUGUCGUUUAUACUUUCCUAAAAACCCGGGUGGGGGAAAACAAAAAGUAUGACAUAUGAUCUCAUGUUGACAUUACCUCAUUAAAAACCUUUAUGAGAACUUGUAAAGUAAACUCAUGAAGGAAAAAAGAGUAUAAUAUGAUGCUUUGAACAGGAACAAUUCAGGAAGAUACUCCCCCUGAUUCUUGCAAAUUCCAAAGCUGUCAGAUACCAAUUCCAUGAACAUGUUUCUGGAAUGUAAAAGUUGGUAGAAACUUGGUGAACAAAUCAGUUGCAUGAUUUGACUUGCAAGAUAUGCAAUAUAAAGAUAUUGCUUAUUAGUAACCUGUUUGCAUCCGGACAACACAAGAAACAUUAUCGUUGAGAUAAUGGUUGAUGGAUGUAGGCAUGAGGUCUGUUUCCAAGACUCUCCAUGAGAGGGCUACCACACCUAAUAGGAACACUAAGCUUGUCUACGAUCCGACAUAGUGGGAUCUGAUCGAUGUAUCCAAUGAUAUCGGAGUUCACAUUCCUGUGAAGCUGAAAACCAGGACAAGAUGUUUGAUGCCUUGGAGAUAUCGAAAGAUAUUCUUGAGUACCAACCAAUUGUGUUUGGUGGAUCCAAUGGCAUUAUGGAACAUUGAGUCCCAAUAUCUCAUUUACAUCAUCUCUUGGUCUAAAUAGAUCUUUCUCUACAUCUAGAGAAUGAACUACCAUGAGAGUUAUGGAUGGAUAAGAUUUGUCCAUAAUGAGUUUCUCCAAUAUGUUUUGGAUAUAGACAACAUGGUGUACCAUAAUGUAUGAAUGAAGGUGCUCAAGUUGUAGUAACGAGCAGUGUUUUGGUUUACCCAGAUCCUUCAUUUUAAACUCCGUCAUUUAGAUGAUUACAUGUGUCGUCAUUGCAGACACACAAACAUGGAUAAUCAUCAUCGUAGGAGUAAUCCUUGUGGAAAGGAACUCACUAAGUCGGCUAUACCAAAUGUACCGACAACAAUAAGUCGUAUGGUGACUUACUGAUUUUACACAAUGUAUGUUGCAUUUUGUAUUUCGAUUCAGAAUUGAGAUUCCAUCGGGAAUCAAUCAUAUAUGUCUGAAUCUAGUGAUGCACAUGGAUAUGUAAUCACUACAUCUAUCUGUUGGAAAUAUGCCCUAGAGGCAAUAAUAAAAUGGUUAUUAUUAUAUUUCCUCGUUCAUGAUAAUUGUCUAUUAUUCAUGCUAUAAUUGUGUUAUCCGAAAAUCGUAAUACAUGUGUGAAUACAUAGACCACAACAUGUCCCUAGUGAGCCUCUAGUUGACUAGCUCGUUUAUCAAUAGAUGGUCACGGUUUCCUGACCAUGGACAUUGGAUGUCAUUGAUAACGGGAUCACAUCAUUGGGAGAAUGAUGUGAUGGACAAGACCCAAUCCUAAGCAUAGCACAAGAUCGUGUAGUUCGUUUGCUAGAGCUUUUCCAAUGUCAAGUAUCAUUUCCUUAGACCAUGAGAUCGUGUAACUCCCGGAUGCCGUAGGAGUGCUUUGGGUGUACCAAACGUCACAACAUAACUGGGUGAUUAUAAAGGUAUACUAUAGGUAUCUCCGAAAGUGUCUGUUGGGUUGACACGGAUCAAGACUGGGAUUUGUUACUCCGUAUGACGGAGAGGUAUCUCUGGGCCCACUCGGUAAUGCAUCAUCAUAAUGAGCUCAAAGUGACUAAGUGGUUGGUCACGGGAUCAUGCAUUACGGUACGAGUAAAGUGACUUGCCGGUAACGAGAUUGAACGAGGUAUUGGGAUACCGACGAUCGAAUCUCGGGCAAGUAACGUACCGAUUGACAAAGGGAAUUGUAUACGAGAUUACUUGAAUCCUCGACAUCGUGGUUCAUUCGAUGAGAUCAUCGUGGAACACAUGGGAGCCAACAUGGGUAUCCGGAUCCCGCUGUUGGUUAUUGGCCGGAGAGUCGUCUCGGUCAUGUCUGCGUGUCUCCCGAACCCGUAGGGUCUACACACUUAAGGUUCGGUGACGCUAGGGUUAUUAGGAAGACUUGUAUGUGAUUACCGAAUGUUGUUAUGAGUCCCGGAUGAGAUCCCGGAUGUCACGAGGAGUUCCGGAAUGGUCCGGAGGUGAAGAUUUAUAUAUGGGAAGUUGUCAUACGGUCACCGGAAAGGUUUGGGGGCAUAUCGGUAUUGUACCGGGGCCACCGGAGGGGUUCCGGGGGUCCACCGGGAGGGGCACCUCUCUCGGAGGGCCUCAUGGGCCGUAGUGGGCAGGGAACCAGCCCCUAGAGGGCUGGGCGCAUUCCCCCUUGGGCCCAUGCGCCUAGGGUUGGGGGGAGAGCCUAGUGGGGGCGCCCCCUUGCUUGGGGGGCAAGCCCCCUCCCCUUGGCCGUCGCCCCCCUCUAGAUCUCAUCUAGAGGGGGCUGGCCCCCCUUCCCCCUUCCCCUAUAAAUAGAGGGGCGAGGGGAGGGCUGCACACCACAUCCAAGGCGCAACCCCUCCCCUCCCCAACACCUCUCCUCCUCCGUUAAGAGCUUGGCGAAGCCCUGCCGGAGUACUGCCUCUCCACCACCACCACACCGUCGUGCUGCUGCUGGAGCUCUCUUCCUCAACCUCUCCCUCCUCCUUGCUGGAUCAAGGCGCGGGAGACGUCUCCGCUCUGUACGUGUGUUGAACGCGGAGGUGUCGUCCGUUCGGCGCUAGGAUCUUCGGUGAUUUGGAUCACGACGAGUACGACUCCCUCAACCCCGUUCUCUUGAACGCUUCCGCUCGCGAUCUACAAGGGUAUGUAGAUGCACUCCCCUCUCUCGUUGCUAGAUGACUCCAUAGAUUGAUCUUGGUGAAGCGUAGAAUUUUUUUAUUUUCUGCAACGUUCCCCAACACUGUCAACUGCAGAGAUAGAUGAUUUUGUACUGCCAAUGAUAUAAGUUAUCGGAAAGAGAUUCCACCUCUGGAGUAUAGUUGGGUAUCUGCGUGAACCCUUAUGCUACAAUACUUGCUCUUUGUUUUCACCACCUCGUUGUUCUCAAUUCUAUUCCCAGAAGAAAAUUGGUGUAGGUAUUGCUUAUGAAUACCUUCCCAUUAUUGAGCAAGAUCAUUUCUACCUAGAUUAUACCCUUUGCUUGAGCUCAGUCCGAGUGUUGUUCACACUUUGCCAUGGCCAUGGUCUUUGGAUCUGAAUCAUUCGAAAGGUUUUUGCAAUCUAGUUGAGAAAUGUAUGUCGACAAUUUGUAGACUUCCGGUUAUAUGAUUCUCCAGAAUCUAUAUAUCAAUAUAUAGUUCAUGGAAAUAUCGUUACCCAUGGUGACUGCUCGCGAUUUCCUAACGCGAUUGAGUCGAGUAUUCCGAUGUCCCGGUCAUUGUGUGCACUAUGACCUGGGUUGGUGGAGGUUUCCCGUCCAUUGGGUGUAUACUACCCAUUAGGUGUCUCUCAACGUGAAGUUGACUUGCAUUUACUGAUUCACAGGCCUUGACAUCCUUGCUUGCGAGAAGCUGAAUCCUGAUAUAUUUCUGCCAUACAUCUCCCCCUGUUGCUUUGAACGGGGAGUGAAGUGGAUUUUGCUGGUACCUCCACUCUUUCAGGCGUACUUUUACAUGAUUGUAGGAUUGUGUGACACCUUUAUAGUCAGUAAAUGAAUCUGGCAGGUUAUUUGCAAUGUGUUGCAAAUCUUCUGAACGCAUGGUUCAGAUCUUUGAGUACGUGGAUUUGAGGCAGAAAUGUGUUGAACAUUCCACUAAUUUCCUGGCAUUCUUUAUGGUACUUGAAAUCUCCCCCUAAUGCCUGGAAAUGUUCCUCAUUGAAUUAGCAUACUGGCCUUGAAUAACUCCCCAUGCGAGGGGCUUGAGGUAUUGACAGAAAUAUAGUUAUUCCUCACAUAGAUCCCAACUAUAUGUUGAGGGGCCAAUGAUGUAUGUCGGGUGGUGAUAUCGGUAUGCAACCGAAUUACCGCAGAUGGAAAAUACUUGGUAGAUUUCCACGCAUCAAAGAUAGAGGGGAAUAAUAUUAUGCAGUUCUGUCAUGAGCGUGUAAAACUGCAUGACUCCAACGUAAAGUUGGUAAGUUGCAAUUCCAAAGUAAAGAUAAUGCAAUGAGCUUAACUCUUUGGAUAGGAUUCUACCAAACCAUUUUUAGUCUAGACAUUAGGACAAAUCGCUAAACUUCAAUCCAAGGCCAUAGAGAAGGCACUCAAGGAGAAUUAUGCAAUGCUAUCCAUUCGAUUUGCUUGAAAUCAAUGUCAGGAUAAUGAGCCAACAGUUUCGUGUGAAUAAAGCACACACUUAAGACCAUCAUGUAGAUAUGUCUUUUAGAACCAUGGAGUACCUGAAUAGUCUAGUCAAUGGAUGAGAAGAGCCACUUACCUCAACUUGAUGUAUUCAAGGAGUCUGAGUGGUUCAGCGUAGACUUUAAGGUGUGCGAGCCUUAAAAUUAGCUUCCCUGUGUCACUUAUAGUGCACAUAAAAUCCAAAUGUUAUUAGAAUUUAGCAUCAUAAUAAUCAUAAACUAUUGGAAUUGCUGAUAGUUUCGGUUUCAACCCAAUGUCUCGAUGACCAAGGCGAGUAUGCCAAGUUUGUCAUGUACAAGACACUCUGAAAAACUAUCUUGUACACAACAUGUGCUACGGGUUGUGUCGUAUGUGCAGUACAAUCCAGAUGAUACACAGAGAAUGUGCUUGCCAUGUCCGUUGCAUAUGUUAAAGAGAAGUUAGUCCUCUUUGUUGUCAUCAUAAGUUUUGCUAUGGAAACUAUUUUGACGGAUACCUCUAUAGUUUAGUAGGGUACGAGUUAAAUCGGGAAGCAAUAAAGCAUCCUCACGUUACUCGAGUACCCACAGGAAUAGUAAAUAUGACUCAAGUUGAGCCAAAAAAUACCUCAUCGCGUCUAGCGAUUUUAGAAUAUGCCCUUUCUCUCAACGAGAGCGGAAACAUUUACUUCCCUGAGUAUAGAGUUCGUGGUGCAUAUGUCCACAAGGCACAAGUCAUCUUUCAUCAGAUUGACCCCCGUAGAAAUCUAUAUAUAGACAUGAAGAUUCUCAAGAAAAUCACUGUCAAAUAUAUAUAAUACAUACAAAUGUAUUUGUACCAAAGUGCUGAUACAAUAUAUUGUGAUAUACAAUAUAUGAUGACAACAAUAAUCAUGUUCAUAUUAGAACAUCAGAAAUGGACAUAAAUAAAUUGAUCACUAAGGAGAUUGAGGGACUAAAUGUAGUCUCCAAACAUGUCAGUUGAUGCAUAUUCAACCUUCAUGUUCUCCGUGCCCAUAGGGUCUCGUGACAGCAGGGUAGUCAUUUCAUUGCUCGGUUCUAGAAGAACAUUAUGCAAACAACUGACUUCCAUGAUGGUGUCAGGUUUAAGGUUUGAAGUGAGUUUCAAACCUUUACCCUUGAGGUUCUUUGCGUCCCGGUGGUGUGGCUUGGAUUACACGCGCUAUCCCAUGGGAGGCAAGACUGAUCUUGAUGUCCAUGACCUGCUUAAGUAAGUUGUAGCCAUUAAGGACAAGCGCCUCAAAUUACUUAGCCAUCAAUUACUUAUAGGGGCAAACCAGAGAUAAUUAAUUUACGAGUAGUAAAUUAAAAACCAUCAUGGUCAGUGUUGUAAUGAAUUUUGCAAAAUUAAUGGAUAUUUCAAGAACUUAGCUUGAAACCAAUAGUGUGAAUCUCAAAUUGCUAAGUAUGACACCUUGAAGAUAAUCUUCAAAAUGGAGUAGAUCUCGCAGCACUAUGGAGUAUAAUCUGAUGAAAUCAGCAGAUACUCACUCGUAAUGCCUUAUGUCACGACAUAGUAAAAUAUGUGGGAGAGCACUUUGUCAAGCAAUCAUAAUGUCAAAAUGACAAAAUGUAGGCUUUAACUGUAGUGGUGAUAAUCUGCAAAGCAGUAGAUCUACACACUACCUUGUGAUCUCAAUACAUCAAUUUGAGGAAAUCACUAAGAAUUUUGCAUCUGUAUUUGCAAGAAAUUGAAAAUCUCAAUUGCAAAUAGACGUAUUAAUCUCGACAUGUGUUUAACAUGGAGAUAGAUACAUCAUAGAAAUAUUUCAAAAUACAUUGUACUCAACGGAGAAACAGUACUGUAGAAAUACUGAAUUUAUGUAUGCAAGAGAUUAAAAAUUUCAAUUGCAAAUAGAUGUAAUUAAUCUCGACACGUGUUAAACGUGAAGAUAUAUAACAUCAAUUUAGGAUCUGGAAUACAUUGAUAUUCAACAGAAGACAGUACUAGAUGUACUGAUUUUAACAGUUUAAAGCGGGAACUAACCAUCGCUUAAAAAUACUGUUAAAGCACAAAUAAACUAAAAGCUGAAAUGUGCUAGACGACAUGUUUUAGCCGCUCGUGGGCCAUGGCUUAAUUACCAGCCACAUGCGCGUAUGCCACGUGAAGGCAUGUGUGGCAGCCCACGGUCUGGUCAACCAAAGAGAUAAGGAAACAAGUCCCCACUAGAGAUGAAAUCUCCAGCGCUGGAUCCCUCACUCACGGAGACUACCAUAGAAAUCCUCUCGCUCUAGGAGGAGAAGGCCGAUAAGACGGCGGCGGGCGCCGGAGCGUGGCGCAGGCGGAGGAGUGGCGGGUGUCGGGGACGGCAGGCGCGACGGCCGGCAGUGUCCGCGUCGACAACCACAUCGCUGGCUUCAGCUUCAACAACCGCAUGGGUUGGAGACGGUAGCGCUGCGGUUUCGUCGUCGUCGUCGAUAUGACGACGUCGUCCGGCUGGACGGUGCUCAAGUCCCGGCGCAGCGGUCGAUGGCGGCCAUGGUGCGGCCGUAAAGCCUCUCCGCGAGCCUGCUCCAGCCCGCGUUGGCGUCAGCGUGUUCUGCGAAUGCCACGGGCACGAAGNNNNNNNNNNNNNNNNNNNNNNNNNNNNNNNNNNNNNNNNNNNNNNNNNNNNNNNNNNNNNNNNNNNNNNNNNNNNNNNNNNNNNNNNNNNNNNNNNNNNNNNNNNNNNNNNNNNNNNNNNNNNNNNNNNNNNNNNNNNNNNNNNNNNNNNNNNNNNNNNNNNNNNNNNNNNNNNNNNNNNNNNNNNNNNNNNNNNNNNNNNNNNNNNNNNNNNNNNNNNNNNNNNNNNNNNNNNNNNNNNNNNNNNNNNNNNNNNNNNNNNNNNNNNNNNNNNNNNNNNNNNNNNNNNNNNNNNNNNNNNNNNNNNNNNNNNNNNNNNNNNNNNNNNNNNNNNNNNNNNNNNNNNNNNNNNNNNNNNNNNNNNNNNNNNNNNNNNNAAGGCGCAAGUCCGGCGGUGCGGACGGGCGCGUGAGCGCGGCCGACGCGGUCAGACGGCGAUGGCGCAAGGCGUGGCGUGGCUGGGCGAAGCCGGCCACGGCCUGGCGCGGGCGGCAUGCGGAGGCCGGGGAGCGGCGUUGACGCGGCCAGGAACGGCCACGGCGCGUGCGAACAUGGCCACGGCCGGCGACGAGGGCGCGAGGUGCGGCCGUGCGGCAAGUUUUGAGGCCUGGUGCUCUCGGUUACGAGCGUGCUGAUAACGUGUUUAGAGUAGAACGAGAGACAAAGCAAAAUGAUUCAAGUGUCAUCUUUAUUGAUCAUGUUCACGUAUAUAUACAAUCGGGAAGAAGGCAUCCAAGAGAAGCGUCCGUUGCAAAAGGCGUCGAUCGGGAGGAGACGAGCAACCGUUGGGCAGUUGCCAAAGUGGCAACCGCACGCAUGGUGCGGGAAUGCGGGGAUUCCCCUAACUAACCGCUGGGGUUAAUUAGUUUUAACAAUAUCGCCGCUUGGGGGUGAAUCAGCGAUAAUUUUUUUGUGGGAAGGGGGGGUUGGGUUUCUAGCCGACCCCUGGAGUUCGCCUCGAGCCGGCGAUCGGCUCAAAUUCGGCGUUCUUCGGCACAAAAUUCAACAUAAAAUAAUUUUUAUCACACAGUUCAUCACAGAAAUCAAUACAAAUCAAAUAAUUCAAUGAAGCAAACUCAUAAUUCAAACACAAACUAAAACUCAUAGUUCAUCACACGUCGAACUAGGCGCUGCCCUUGAGCCUCCAUAGGUGCUCCACCAGAUCGUGCUGCAGUUCUUGAUGUACAUGUGGGUCCCGGACCUCCUCACGCAUAUUGAGGAAGGUAUCACAUGAUGCCUUUAGCUGGUGAUCAACUUGGCAAAGAGGACCCUGCCUGUAAUAUGGUUCAGUGUCGAACACUGGCUCUUUGAUGCGGAGCAUCCUACAGACAUCAUCAUGUCAAGAGUCCGUUUGGCGAGUGACACGUGCGACAUCUACUUCACAUACACAAAGGUGAAUCAUCUCCUUUACACGUGUUCACCUGACCCCAUCGAGGAUGGUAUACUACUUGACACUCCUCUCGUGUGCAUGCAUAUGUAUCAUUGGAGCACCACAAAUGACAAGGAGGAGUGCAAGCGCAAGUGUACGCCUACACCUUCUGCGAGGGAAGCUUGGAAGCAACGACGAAAUAAGACGGUGCAAAAUUUGCACUACCAGAUCCGGUCGCCCAACCAGACUGUCCGGUCCAUCCAGAGAGCAGUUUUGGUCUGUGCAAAAAUUGCACUACCGGAUAGUCCGGUCCCCCAAGCGGACAGUCCGGUAGUACAAUUUCUGGAUGCCCAAAAGUUUCUGUUUCUACCGGAUUGUCUGGUCCCGCGUACAGGACUGUCCGGUAGUGCAUUUGCUGGCCGAAUUUGGGCAAGGCCCAUGUAACUUUACCCUUUAGCCCUCACUUACCCCUUCCUUGCCUUGGACCUAUAUAUAUAUAUCCCUCCUCCUCCAUUUUAGGUUAGCUAAGAAUAGAUCUAGACAUUAGAGCUUAGCUCAUGUAUCUCCCCUUGUGGGAUUCCUCUUGAGAGAGAAGGCUCCAUUGAAGUUCAAGGCCUCCAUUGGAGAAGAUCCCUAGGGAUUCAAGACCCCUUCUAGGGAAGGAUCUAUGUAGAUCAUCAAGACCUCAUAUCCUUUGGAUUUGGGAUGAACUUUACCUUGUAUCUUUCCCUUUGUUGUUCUUGUACCUUUGUUCAUCUUGUGUGAUUAUGAGUCUAGUGGAUGUGUGAUUGGACUUGUUCUUGAGUGUUUUCUGCUUGUGUUUUCCCCUCUUGUUCUUCGUGUUCUCCGCGUUCUUCGUGGAUUCCCCUCCAAUUCAUGAAAGAUCUCCAGUUAGGGUCUCCACCCUACUACAUCUUGGAUCAGAGCAAGGUUCUCACGAAUUUGGAGCCCCAAUCCCCGACUUUCUUGCCUUAGUUUGAAUUUUUCUCCCUAAUUUUGAAAAUUUCCCCAAAAAGUAGCCAAAAAAAAUUCUUGUGAGUUUUCGUUGAUUUUGAUCCAUGGAUCGAGUGUUUGGCAAGUGGAUCUACCUCCCUUGGCGUUCCCCAGUCCCUUUUUCUCCCCCCCCAUCAAUUUCGAGCUUGAAAUCAUCCAUUUCCGCCCAAAAAAUUCAAGUUCGUGCCUUCCCAGCCCACACCGGACUGUCCGGACCCUCAUACCGGACUGUCCGCUCGCAUCAGGAGCAAAUCGCUCACAGACCGGACUGUCCGCUCCCCCAUAUUGGACUGUCCGCUCGUUUCAGAAGGAUUUCAGACGAGGACCGGACUGUCCGCUCCUUAGGACCGGACUGUCUGCUAGUUCGAAAACUACUUCGUCUGAUUACUUGUUUCGGCCAUAUGUCCCACUCCAAAGCUCCGAUCUGAGUGUUCUUUGGCUCAAUUGAAAGCUAGCAACGUGCCCGAGCUACUCAUCUUGUUUUUUACCACCAUUUGACUCCAUUAAAUUUUGUGCAUUUUGGCAUCUUUUCCUAGGCCCUCCGCCAUAACUUUUGCACCACCACAUAAAUAUUCCGCAACCUAACCAAUUUUGGUUCUUAUUGCAUUGCAUUUGUGGUUGUUUGAAUUGUGAUUUGAGUCUCUUAAGGUGUUUCGGCUACUUAGGGACGGUUACAUCUUCAUCCACCACCGGACACUUGUAUCGCUCCAUCGACUACAUCCUCCACGAUAUUAUACAUCGACGACGACCAUCCAUCCUUUGAGACCAUCUUCAACCGGAAGCAAGGCCGGUUACCCCCGACUUUGUGAAAGGUUAAGUGUGACGGAGGUAUCAAUUCCGUCAUAAACUUUUCCUUCCUUGCCAUUACAUCUUGAUAGCCCCACCUGAAGGAAAUAUGCCCUAGAGGCAAUAAUAAAGUUAUUAUUUAUUUCCUUAUUUCAUGAUAAAUGUUUAUUAUUCAUGCUAGAAUUGUAUUAACCAGGAAACUUAGUACAUGUGUGAAUACAUAGACAAAACAAAGUGUCCCUAGUAUGCCUCUACUUGACUAGCUCGUUUAUAAAAGAUGGUUAUGUUUCCUAACCAUAGACAUGUGUUGUCAUUUUAUGAACGUGAUCACAUCCUAAUGAUGUGAUGGACAAGACCCAUUCAUUAGCUUAGCAUUAUGAUCGUUACAGUUUCGUUGCUACUCCUUUCUUCUUGACUUAUACAUGUUCCUCAGACUAUGAGAUUAUGCAACUCCCGAAUACCGGAGGAACACUUUGUGUGCUAUCAAACGUCACAACGUAAAUGGGUGAUUAUAAAGAUGCUCUACAGGUGUCUCCGAAGGUGUUUGUUGGGUUGACAUAGAUCAAGAUUAGGAUUUGUCACUCCGUGUUUCGGAGAGGUAUCUCUGGGCCCUCUCGGUAAUGCUCAUCACUAUAAGCCUUGCAAGCAAUGUGACUAAUGAGUUAGUUGCGGGAUGAAGUAUUACGAAACGAGUAAAGAGACUUGCCGGUAAUGAGAUUGAAAUAGGUAUGAUGAUAUCGACGAUCGAAUCUCGGGCAAGUAACAUACCGAUGACAAAGGGAACAACAUAUGUUGUUGUGCGGUUUGACCGAUAAAGAUCUUCAUAGAAUAUGUGGGAGCCAAUAUGAGCAUCUAGGUUCCACUAUUGGUUAUUGACCGGAGAUGUGUCUCGGUCAUGUCUACAUAGUUCUCGAACUCAUAGGGUCUGCACGCUUAACGUUCAAUGACGAUCGGUAUUAUGAGUUAUGUGUUUUGAUGUACCGAAGGUUGUUCGGAGUCCCGGAUGUGACCACGGACAUGACGAGGAGUCUCGAAAUGGCCGAGACAUAAAUAAUGAUAUAUUGGACGAUGUUAUUCGGACACCGGAUGAGUUCCAGGGGUCACCGGAUAAAUAUCGGAGUGCCGGAAGGGUUAUCCGAACCACCGGAGAAGUAAUGUGCCUUAUUGGGCCUAGGGGAGAGAGAGAGGGGCUGCCAAGGGCUGGCCGCGCGCCCCCCAUGGGCCUAGUACGAAUUGUACUAGGGGGAGGGGCGGCGCCCCCUCCUUCCUUCUCUUUCCCCCCUUCCUUCUUCUCCUAGUAGGACUAGGAAAGGGGGAAGUCCUACUCCUACUAGGAGGAGGAUUCCUCCCCCCUUGGCGCGCCUAUGAGGGCCAGCCGCCCCCCCCCUUGCUCCUUUAUAUACGGGGGCAGGGGGGCACCCUAGAACACACAAGUUCAUUGUUUAGCCGUGUGCGGUGCCCCCCUCCACAGAUUUCCACCUUGGUCAUAUCGUCGUAGUGCUUAGGCGAAGCCCUGCGCCGGUAACUUCAUCAUCAUCGUCACCACGCCGUUGUGCUGACGGAACUCUCCCGCGACCUCAAUUGGAUCAAGAGUUCGUGGGAUGUCACCGAGCUGAACGUGUGCAGAUCACGGAGGUGCCGUACAUUUGGUACUUGGAUCGGUUGAAUCGGGAAGACGUUCGACUACAUCAACCGCGUUACUAAACGCUUCCGCUUUCGGUCUACGAGGGUACGUGGACAACACUCUCCCAUCUCGUUGCUAUGCAUCUCCUAGAUAGAUCUUGCGUGAUCGUAGGAUUUUUUUUAAAUUACCGCGUUCCCCAACAGUGGCAUUCGAGCCAGGUCUAUGCGUAGAUGUUAUAUGCACGAGUAGAACACGAAGAGUUGUGGGCGAUAAUAGUCACACUGCUUACCAGCAUGUCAUACUUUGAUUCGGCGGUAUUGUUGGAUGAAGCGACCCAGACCGACAUUACACGUACGCUUACGCGAGACUGGUUCUACCGACGUGCUUUGCACAAAGGUGGCUGGUGGGUGUCUGUUUCUCCAGCUUUAGUUGAAUCGAGUGUGGCUACACCCAGUCCUUGUUGAAGGUUAAAACAGUACACUUGACGAAAAAUCGUUGUGGUUUUAAUGCGUAGGUAAGAAAGGUUCUUGCUAGAAGCCCGUAGCAGCCACGUAAAACUUGCAACAACAAAGUAGAGGGCGUCUAACUUGUUUUUGCAGGGCAUGUUGUGAUGUGAUAUGGUCAAGACGUGAUGAGAUAUAAAUUGUUGUAUUAGAUGAUCAUGUUUUGUUAAAGUUAUCGGCAACUAGCGGUAGCCUUAUGGUUGUCUCUUUAUUGCAUAAGAUGCAAGCGCCAUAUAAUUGCUUUACUUUAUCGCUAUGCGAUAGCAAUAGUUGCAAAAGCAAUAGUUGGCGAGACGACCAUGUGACGACACAUUGAUAAAGAUCAAGAUGAUAGAGAUCAUAGUGUCAUGUCGGUGAUGAUGGAGAUCAUGACGGUACUUUGGAGAUGGAGAUCAAAGGAACAAGAUGAUGAUGGCCAUAUCAUGUCACAUAUUUUGAUUGCAUAUGAUGUUUAUCUUUUUAUGCAUCUUAUUUUGCUUAGAACGGCGGUAGCAUUAUAAGAUGAUCCCUUACUAAAUUUCAAGGUAUAAGUGUUCUCCUUGAGUAUGCACCAUUGCUACAGUUCGUCGUGCCGAGACACCACGUGAUGAUCGGGCGUGAUAAGCUCUACGUUCACAUACAACUGGUGCAAGCCAGUUUUGCACACGCAGAAUACUCGGGUUAAACUUGACGAACCUAGCAUAUGCAGAUAUGGCCUCGGAACACAGAGAUCGAAAGAUCGAGUGUGAAUCAUAUAGUAGAUAUGAUCAACAUAGUGAUGUUCACCAUUUAAAACUACUCCAUCUCACGUGAUGAUCGGACAUGGUUUAGUUGAUUUGGAUCACGUGAUCAUUUAGAUGACUAGAGGGAUGUCUAUCUAAGUGGGAGUUCUUAAGUAAUAUGAUUAAUUGAACUUUAAUUUAUCACGAACUUAGUCCUGAUAGUAUUUUCAAAUUAUGUUGUAGAUCAAUAGCUCGUGAUGUAGCUCCCCGUUUAUUUUUGAUAUGUUCCUAGAGAAAAAUAAGUUGAAAGAUGUUAGUAGCAAUGAUGCGGACUAGCUCCGUGAUCUGAGGAUUAUCCUCAUUGCUGCAUAGAAUAAUUAUGUCCUUGAUGCACCGCUAGGUGACACACCUAUUGCAGGAGCAGAUGCAGACGUUAUGAACGUUUGACAAAGCUCGGUAUGAUGACUACUUGAUAGUUUAGUGCACCAUGCUUUACGGCUUAGAACCGGGACUUCAAAAAUGUUUUGAAUGCCACGGAGCAUAUAAGAUGUUCCAAGAGUUGAAAUUGGUAUGUCAUACUCAUGCCCGUGUCGAGAGGUAUGAGACCUCUGACAGUACUUUGCCUACAAGAUGGAGGAGAAUAGCUCAACCAGUGAGCAUGUGCUCAGAUUGUCUGGGUACUACAAUUGCUUGAAUCAAGUGGGAGUUAAUCUUCUAGAUAAGAUAGUAAUUGACAAAGUUCUCUAGUCACUAUCACCAAGUUACUAGAACUUCGUGAUGGACUAUAAUAUGCAAGGGAUGACGAAAGUAAUUCCCGAGCUCUUCGCGAUGCUGAAAUCAGCGAAGGUAGGAAUCAAGAAAGAGCAUCAGGUGUUGAUGAUUAACAAGACCACUAGUUUCAAGAAAAAAGGGCAAAGGGAUAGAAAGGGAACUUCAAGAAGAAUGACAAGCAAGCUGUCACUCCCGUGAAGAAACCCAAAGCUAGACUUAAGCCUGAAACUGAGUGCUUCUACUACAAGGGAUUAAUCACUGGAAGCGGAACUACCCCAAAUAAUUGGCGGAUAAGAAGGAUGGCAGAGUGAACAAAAGUAUAUUUGAUAUACAUGUUAUUGAUGUGUACUUUACUAGUGUUCAUAGUAACCCUAGGGUAUUCGAUACCAGUUCAGUUGCUAUGAUUAGUAACUCGAAACAGGAGUUGCAAAAUUAACAGAGACUAGUUAAAGGCGAGGUGACGAUGUGUGUUGGAAGUGAUUCCAAGGUUGAUAAGAUCACCAUCGCACACUCCCUAUACCUUCGGGAUCGGUGUUGGACCUAAAUAAAUGUUAUUUGGUGUUUGCGUUGAGCAUGAAUAUGAUUUGAUCAUGUUUAUUGUGAUACGGCUAUUCAUUUAAGUCAAAGAAUAAUUGUUGUUCUGUUUACAUGAAUAAAACCUUCUAUGGUCAUACGUCCAAUGUAAAUAGUUUAUUGAAUCUCGAUGGUAAUGAUACACAUAUUCAUAAUAUUGAUGCCAAAAGAUGCAAAGUUAAUAAUGAUAGUGCAACUUAUUUGUGGCACUGCCGUUUAGGUCAUAUUGGUGUAAAGCGCAUGAAGAAACUCCAUGAUGAUGGGCUUUUGGAAUCACUUGAUACUUGCGAACCAUGCCUCAUGGGCAAGAUGACUAAAACUCCGUUCUCCAGAACAAUGGAGCGAGCAACUGACUUAUUGGAAAUAAUACAUACUGAUGUAUGCGGUCCAAUGAGUGUUGAGGCUCGCAGCGGGUAUCGUUAUUUUCUGACCUUCAUAGAUGAUUUGAGCAGAUAUGGGUAUAUCUACUUAAUGAAACACAAGUCUGAAACAUUUGGAAAGUUCAAAAAUAUUCAGAGUGAAGUGGAUAAUCAUCGUAACAAGAAAAUAAAGUUUCUACAAUCUGAUCGCGGAGACGAAUAUUUGAGUUACGAGUUUGGCCUUCAUUUGAAAACAAUGUGAAAUAGUUUCACAACUCACGCCACCUGGAACACCACAGUGUAAUGGUGUGUUCGAAUGUCGUAACCGUACUUCAUUAGAUAUGGUGCGAUCUAUGAUGUUUCUUACAGAUUUACCAUCGUUUUGGGGUUAUGCAUUAGAGACAGCUGCAUUCACUUUAAACAGGGCACCAUCUAAAUCCAUUGAGACGACACUGUAUGUGGUUUGGCAAGAAACCUAAGUUGUUGUUUCUUAAAGUUUGGGGCUACGAUACUUAUGUGAAAAAGUUUCAACCUGAUAAGCUCGAACCCAAAUUGGAGAAAUGCAUCUUCAUAAGAUACCUAAAGGAGAAAAUUGGGUACACCUUCUAUCACAGACCCGAAGGCAAAUUCGUUGCUAAGAAUGGAUCCUUUCAAGAGAAGGAGUUUCUCUUGAAAGAAGUGAGUGGGAGGAAAGUAGAACUUGAUGAGGUAAUUGUACCUUCUCCCGAAUUGGAGAGUAGUUCAUCACAGAAAUCAGUUCCAGUGAUGCCUACACCAAUUAGUGAGGAAGCUAAUGAUGAUGAUCAUGAAACUUCAUAUCAAGUUACUACCGAACCUCGUAGGUCAGCCAGAGUACGUUCUGCACAAGAGUGGUACGGUAAUCCUAUUCUGAAAGUCAUGUUGCUAGAACAUGACGAACCUACAAACUAUGAGGAAGCGAUGAUGAGCCCAGAUUCCGCAAAAUGGCUUGAGGCCAUGAAAUCUGAGAUGAGAUCCAUGUAUAAGAACAAUGUGUGGACUUUGGUGGACUUGCCCGAUGAUCGGCAAGCCAUUGAGAAUAAAUGGAUCUUCAAGAGGAAGAUGGACGUUGAUAGUAGUGUUACUAUCUACAAAGCUCAAAUUGUCGCAAAAGGUUUUUGACAAGUUCAAGGUGUUGACUACGAUGAGAUUUUCUCACUCGUAUCGAUGCUUUAGUCUGUCCAAAUCAUGUUAGCAAUUGCCGCAUUUUAUGAAAUUUGGCAAAUGGAUAUCAAAACUACAUUCCUUAAUGGAUUUAUUAAAGAAGAGUUGUAUAUGAUGCAACCAGAAGGUUUUGUCGAUCCUAAAGGUGCUAACAAAGUGUGCAAGCUCCAGCGAUCCAUGUAUGGACUGGUGCAGGCAUCUUGGAGUUUGAAUAUACGCUUUGAUGAGUUGAUCAAAGCAUAUCGUUUUAUACAGACUUACGGCGAGGCCUGUAUUUACAAGAAAAUGAGUGGGAGCACUACAACCUUUCUGAUAAGUAUAUGUGAAUGACAUAUUGUUGAUCGGAAAUGAUGUAGAAUUUUCUGGAAAGCAUAAAGGAGUAUUUGAAAGGAGUUUUUCAAAAGAAAGACCUCGGUGAAGCUGCUUACAUAUUGAGCAUCAAGAUCUAUAGAGAUAGAUCAAGACGCUUGACAAGUUUUUUUCAAUGAGUACAUACCUUGACAAGAUUUUGAAGUAGUUCAAAAUGGAACAGUCAAAGAAAGAGUUCUUGCCUGUGUUGCAAGGUGUGACGUUGAGUAAAGACUCAAAACCCGACCACGGCAGAAAAUAGAAAGAGAAUGAAAAGUCAUUCCCUAUGCCUUAGUCAUAGGUUCUAUAAAGUAUGCUAUGCUGUGUACCAGACCUAUUGUGUACCUCACCAUGAGUUUUGCAAGAGGGCACAAUAGUGAUCUAGGAGUAGACCACUGGACAGUGGUCAAAAUUAUCCUUAGAGGACUAAGGAAAUAUUUCUCGGUUAUGGAAGUGAUAAAGAGUUCGUCGUAAAGAGUUACGUCGAUGCAAGCUUUGACACCAAUCUGGAUGACUCUAAGACUCGAUCUAGAUACAUAUUGAAAGUGGGAGCUAUUAGCUAAAGUAGCUCCGUGCAGAGCAUGGUAGACAUAGAAAUUUGCAAAAUACAUACGGAUCUGUAUGUGACAGACCCGUUGACUAAAAUUCUCUCACAAGCAAAACAUGAUCACACCUUAGUACUCUUUGGGUGUUAAUAACAUAGCAAUGUGAACUAGAUUACUGACUCUAGUAAAACCCGUUGGGUGUUGGUCACAUGUCGAUGUGAACUAUUGAUGUUAAAUCACAUGGCGAUGUGAACUAGAUUAUUGACUCUAGUGCAAGUGGGAGACUGAAGGAAAUAUGCCCUAGAGGCAAUAAUAAAGUUAUUAUUUAUUUCCUUAUUUCAUGAUAAAUGUUUAUUAUUCAUGCUAGAAUUGUAUUAACCAGGAAACUUAAUACAUGUGUGAAUACAUAGACAAAACAAAGUGUCCCUAGUAUGCCUCUACUUGACUAGCUCGUUUAUCAAAGAUGGUUAUGUUUCCUAACCAUAUACAUGUGUUGUCAUUUGAUGAAUGGGAUCACAUCAUUAGGAGAAUGAUGUGAUGGACAAGACCCAUCCGUUAGCUUAGCAUUAUGAUCAUUACAGUUUCAUUGCUACUGCUUUCUUCAUGACUUAUACAUGUUCCUUAGACUAUGAGAUUAUGCAACUCCCGAAUACCGGAGGAACACUUUGUGUGCUAUCAAACGUCACAGCGUAAAUGGGUGAUUAUAAAGAUGCUCUACAGGUGUCUCCGAAGGUGUUUGUUGGGUUGGCAUAGAUCGAGAUUAGGAUUUGUCACUCCGUGUUUCGGAGAGGUGUCUCUAGGCCCUCUCGGUAAUGCUCAUCACUAUAAGCCUUUCAAGCAAUGUGACUAAUGAGUUAGUUGCGGGAUGAAGUAUUACAGAACGAGUAAAGAGACUUGCCGUUAACGAGAUUGAACUAGGUAUGAUGAUAUCGACGAUCGAAUCUCGGGCAAGUAACAUACCGAUGACAAAGGGAACAACGUAUGUUGUUAUGCGGUUUGACCGAUAAAGAUCUUCGUAGAAUAUGUGGGAGCCAAUAUGAGCAUCCAGGUUCCUCUAUCGGUUAUUGAACGGAGAUGUGUCUCGGUCAUGUCUACAUAGUUCUCGAACCCGUAGGGUCCGCACGCUUAACGUUCGAUGACAAUCGAUAUUAUGAGUUAUGUGUUUUGAUGUACCGAAGGUUGUUCGGAGUCCUGGAUGUGAUCACGGACAUGACGAGGAGUCUCAAAAUGGUCGAGACAUAAAGAAUGAUAUAUUGGACAAUGUUAUUCGGACACCGGAUGAGUUCCGGGGGUCACCGGAUAAAUAUCAGAGUGCCGGAAGGGUUAUCGGAACCACUGGAGAAGUAAUGGGCCUUAUUGGGCCUAGGGAAGAGAGAGAGAGGGGCUGCCAAGGGCUGGCCACGCCCCUUCCAUGGACCUAGUCCGAAUUGGACUAGGGGGAGGGAUGGCGCCCCCUCCUUCCUUAUCUUUCCCCCCUUCCUUCUUCUCCUAGUAGGACUAGGAAAGGGGGGAGUCCUACUCCUACUAGGAGGAGGAUUCCUCCCCCCUUGGCGCGCCUAUGAGGGCCGGCCGGCCUCCCCCUUGCUCCUUUAUAUACGGGGGUAGGGGGAACCCUAGAACACACAAGUUCAUUGUUUAGCCGUGUGCGGUGCCCCCUCCACAGAUUUCCACCUCGGUCAUAUCUUCGUAGUGCUUAGGCGAAGCCCUGCGCCGGUAACUUCAUCAGCACCAUCACCACGCCGUUGUGCUGACGGAACUCUCCCGCGGCCUCAACUGGAUCAAGAGUUCGUGGGACGUCACCGAGCUGAACGUGUGCAUAUCACGAAGGUGCCGUACGUUCGAUACUUGGAUCGGUUGAAUCGAGAGGACGUUCGACUACAUCAACCGCGUUACUAAAUGCUUACGCUUUCGGUCUAUGAGGGUACGUGGACAACACUCUCCCAUCUCGUUGCUAUGCAUCACCUAGAUAGAUCUUGCGUGAUCGUAGGAAUUUUUUUGAAAUUACCGCGUUCCCCAACACCACCAUCUUGAUAGCCCCACCAUCUUUGUGAAUACCUUCAUACCUAUUGAGACUAGCUGUCCGAGUAUUGUCGGGCUUCGCGAAAAGAGAUACGAUAUCAUAAGAAAAAGAGAGUUGAGCACGAAAAGAGAUACUUGUGCAUGAGGAUACAUGGAAUAUGAAGCAUUCUUGUUGCAUAUAUAUAGGUUGGUGCCAAGUGGUGAAUCGUGCCUGAGUGUGCAAUCAAGCUAGUGCUCUCCUAGUGUUUGUGCAACAUGAGCUUAGUCUUCGUUAGGCAAUUUUGUAUUGCUCAUCCCUAUAGUUGCACAAGCACCAUUAUCCCACCGUGUGUGUAUCUUUAUUGUCCUCCUCUAUAUUUGUGAUCACUUGCUUUGCAUUUUGAGUCCUUUGGAUUUAUCUCAACAUUUACAAUAUCUUGGAGUUCAAUUUGCAUGAAUUUGUGCCACCUAUCCUAACCAAGCCACUCGAUAAGCUUUACUUUGUAGGUGUGAGUGAACAAGUCCAGUACCAAUUCCACUAUUCUUUCAUUUCACAUUGAGUGAUACUGGAUACAUCCUCAACUUUGGGAAAAGGUAGCUUGGUAUUGUUUAUCUCAUUUCCUACUCACCUUUGCUCGAGUCUUGUGAUGGAUAGGCAAAGCACAUCAUCUCCAGUCUACAACCACGACCAUGAGUUUGAUGCCAUGAAGACAUUCAUCAACGCCAAGAUGGAAAAACACUUGGAGGAGCUCAAGGUCCUCAUCAACAACCGCAAGCGGUCUUCCUCAUCUUCGAGAAGACGCUCAAGUGCAAAGACUACCGAGCUACCAUCUUCGGCAAGGUCUCAUUGGCAUCGACACCAUCACCAACGAGAACGUGAAGGUCAAGAGCUCAACAGGAACCACUGCUCUACGACUUCACCAUCUACCUUGGCAUCUUUGCCAAGUGACGUCAAGGCAUCUUCGCCUUCGGACGUACGACAUCUUCGCCUACUCCACGAGCUAAAGUCCACUACUUCCACGAGCUACUUCGACUUCGCCAACACUGACGAGAUUCCAUUCCUUGGGACUAAUGACCCCGAAGAGUACCUCAAGUGGGAGCGCAAGAUGGACGACUACCUCAAGCUACACCAAGUCCCCUCCGAAGAUCAAGUGAAGUGCGCCACAAGUACCUUCCACGACUACGCGUUGAUUUAGACGAGCUUCAACAUGAGUUGGUCCAAGACAAAGAAAACAAUGCGGCGAGAAUUUGUGCCUUCCACCUACGCGGAACAUCUUCAACGCCAAUUGGAGAACACCAUACAAGGAUCCAAGUCCCUCGACGAGUACUUCAAGAACAUAAAGAAGGCCUUGCGACGAGCUGGUGUGGACGACCCCAUUUGGAUGAAGUUCUACUUCAUGAUGGGAUUGAACAGCAACAUUGCCAAGCCUAUCUUCACCAACAACUAUGAGUCCCUCGAUGACAUGUACGUUGGUUCUCUCAAGGCGGAGCAAUAACUCAUGAAGGCCAAGUCUACUCGACCUCACGCACACUCGCGACGACCACGCUCCAAGACAAUGAGCAUGAGGCUAGUACCACCGAGAUGUCCAAGCCCGAUGAGCUCCAAGAUGACGUCCCCAAGUUUGACUUCACCGCCAUCCCUCUUUGUGGCAUUGAUGAUGCUGAGUCUACUACGACUCUUUUUCAAGACGGUGCGGCGACGAGUACGACUACAGAGAAUCUCAAGGACCAAGAUUUGGAGACGAGCGACACGGUGACGAGUAAGGAUGAUGCUUCCAUCUUUGGAGGCGAGAGUGAUGACGUGCCAUCUUCGGCCUUCAUUAACGGCAAGAGUGAUGAUGUGCCAUCUUCAGCCUUCAUCCACGGCGACGACUACGAGAGAUGGUUGAGCAAGGGAUUUUCCCUUCGACCACGGCGGCGUAUGGUGAUGAGUUGAGUGACUUGUGCCACCAUAUUAAAAGUGAGAGUGAUUCACCACUAGCCCCAUAUAUGAUGAGUUGCCCCAAUUCCCAUGUGAGGAGAGCCACCACCACCACUUGAGUGAUUUGAGUGACUCCACCAUAUGUGACAUUGAGUGCACCUAUUUUGAGCGAGUGAGUGAGCCACCACCACAUAGAGAGAGUGAGGUAGUUGAUAGGGCAUGUGAGGCCAUUUUGAUUUCUGACAACUUAACCUCUACCUCUAUUGUGUCUUCCUAUUUGGUGCUAGGUCCCAUAUAUGAUGAGGCGUCGAUCCUCAACGAAUCCGUUCUUCCUUUGGACAAGACGAUGGCCAUGGUGGAAUAUGAUGCACCCCCACAUGGUUCCAUCAAGAUGAUGAUAUUGACCACCAUUUGGUCUUUCCCACCUCACCUACACCACUUGGGUGGCAAAGGUAAAAAAGGUGAAGGUGAUGCUCUAGUCCCACUAGUGGACAUUCUUGACAUUGAUUGCUUGCAUGCUGUUGGUCAACCUAUUACCAUGCUUCAUGCUAGUGCGACUUCCCCAUGCAAUUAUUUACCCAUUUAUGAUGAGUUUGAUGAUUGCCAUGUGGAGUCUAUUAGUUGUGAUGCCAUGUUACAUAGGAUUUCUUGUGAUAAUUCUCUCGGUCACAUCAUGUUCGACAAUCCGCUUGACUUGUCAUAUGCUAUGGAUGAGAUCAAUCAUAUUUCAUAUUUGAAAUCUCAUCGUAGUGACUAUGCGUAUGCCAUUAAAAUAAACCCAAUUUGCACUUAUAGAAUAGAUGACAAGCCCAUGGUUAUUGGCAUUUUUUUUCUUGUGAUGAUAUUGAUAUGCUCCCUUUGCAUCAUUUCAAUCAUAUGCCAUGCCAUUACCACCUAGCUUCGGAUAUGCAUUGUUUUGGAUGUUGUCCAUUUUCUCCAUAUGAUGUUUCUGAUAUUUCUCAUGAGGAGACCCCCAUAGUUUCCUCAUACAUGUUAGGAGAUUUUGAUCAAUCCCAUCCAUUGCAUAAUCCCAAUAAUUAUGUGCACAGUAUGCUCCCCAUGAAUGCAAAUGAUAUUGAUGUGCCAUAUAAUUCUAUACUCAAUUUGUGUCCCCAUCGUGUUAUACACAAUAACUAUUCUUUCAUGAUGGAUGACAUGUUCUUAUACCAUGCAUCAAAUUUCUUUGAGCGAUGCUUAUCUUGUGCUAACUCACACGUGCACAUACACAUCAUGAUGGAUGAUGUGUACAUUUACCAUGCACACACUUUCUUUGGUUUGUGUCUCUUUUGUGUAGGUACCCAUGAAUACUUGUCAACCUCACAAUCCCAUGAGUUGACGAAACGAGCUCUAGAGAGCAAUGAUGAUUUGGGAUCCCAUGGAUUGGUUUUCACACCAUUUCCAUUGCGCAAUGACUUCGCACAUUUCUUCUACAUGGCCCUCACAUGGUUAUGGGUUGUUGUCCAUCAUUACAUAUUCUAUGCCCAUCUUGCCAUGUUCACUUUGCAUGAUAUGCUCAUUCCUAUGCCUUUGCCAUGCAUUUGUGACCCAUGCUUUGCAUUACACAUGAUGAUUGAUUCUUGUACUUGUAUGUGUAUUUGCAAGCUUGGUGGAGAUAUUGCUUGUUAUUGCCAUGUUCCAUUUAUGACCCAUUCCUAUGAUGAUACUAUGAUCUUGCUUUGUGUUCGUGCUUGCGAUAUGUCAUGUGUAUUGCCUAUACCUACUAUCUGCUCACAUGACAUGAUUGCCAUGAUUUCCCCUAGUGCGUUGCAUCUUCACUCCACUAGUUUGCAUGAUAUGAUUGAUAUGCUUGCUUAUGUUGCAUCACCAAUGAUUCAUACUUGCUCAUUUCAUGCAGUUGAUGACAACCAUCUACAUGCUUUGCAUAUGAUUGCUAUUGCUUCUUGUCAUAUGUCUCCAUAUGUUGCAUCUCUCAUGCUAGAUGAUUUGCCAUGCAUUGAGUGCAACAAUGCUUUUAGUCUUGCUUAUGAGAUUGGCCCCAUAGCAUUCUCGCAUAUAUUUGGAGAUUUUGAAAUAUUUCUUGUGAAGCAUGCUUGUCUUCCUUCUUUGCACCAUACACCUAGUGCUAUGAAUAUCGCCAUUGUUGCAUCAUAUUAUUCGUGCACUUGUGCUUCUAAUGGUUAUGUGCAAAAGAAGAGAACCAUCAUGAUGGAUGAUGUCUUUAUCUACCAUGCACAUAUGUUGUUUGGUUUCUUUUGUGCGUGUGUAGGAUACCUCGACUCGGUGUCAACUUUCACUUCCCGUGAGUUGAUCAUUCGAGCUCUUGGGAGCGAACCACCUUCACUCAUGACGCUUCUACAUCGUACUUGCUUGUGGUUCGACAUUGUGAAGGACACACAAGGACAUGCUUUCAAGGUGAUAUCCCUCUCUUUUGAGAACCUCCAAACCAUGAGCAUAGAUACUAUGGAUCAUACUACUUGUGUUGCUUGCACCAUGACACUUAUUGUUCAUCUUGGAUCACUUGAUUGCGCACAUGUUAGAGAUCUUGCUUCGACUUGUCAUUUUCACCUUUCCAUGCCUCAUGACAUAUAUACCUUGUGUGUUGCAUCCAAUUCUUGGAUUACUUGCUCCUAUCAUAUGUUUGGUUGCAACAAUUUCAUUUAUUCACAUAUGCCAUGUCCCAUUAAUUGUUACAUGCUUGCCUUGAUUGCCUCACACAUGUUGAACAAUUGCUCUUUCUAUUGUGUUGAGUGCCACUCGAUUUUCACUUCACCCUAUGCAUAUUAUACUUGGCCUGUCUUGCCACAUGUGUUUAGACUUUAGACACUUCUUUUUCUUUGGCGUUGUGAAUGGUUCAUAUGCAUACCAUAGACCAUUUGUUCAGGGCUUUAUGCAUGCUUGCUAUGAACUUGAGGUAGAUGCUUAUUCUCUUGUCACACAUAUUUGCAUCACUAGUCACAUUUACAUGCUUGUUUCCAUGAUGACCUUGAUUGUGCUCAAUUCAUAUGCUUCCAUGCCAUGCCACAAUCCUUUGUCACACCUUAUGCUAUGCAUGAUGACGACACUUGUUCGGUGAAUCACCACUUGAAUGCUUGUUUUUUCACUAAUGCUAACCACAUUUGUUUUUCCAAGUGUUUGUUGUCCUUACUCCUUUUCAAGGAACCACACGAUGGUGCGACAUUGGAGAGUGACCACUAUGAGCUUCAAGAUGAUGACUACUUGGUGAAUGUCCACUUCUACACGACGACGCCAUCUCUUUCCCGUGGUGAUUUGGUUUUUGAUCCAAGGUUGGAUCUUUCCCAAGGGGGAGGGGAUGAUGCAGAGCAUCCUACAAACAUCACCAUGUCAAGAAUCCAUUUGGCGGACACGCGCGACAUCUACUUCACAUACACAAAGGUGAAUCAUCUCCUUUACACAUGUUCACUUGACCCCAUCGAGGAUGGUAUACUACUUGACACUCCUCUCGUGUGCAUGCAUAGGUAUCAUUGGAGCACCACGGAUGAUGAGGAGGAGUGCAAGCGGAAGUGUACGCCUACACGAUCCGCGAAGGAAGCUUGGAAGCAACGACGAAAGAAGAUGGUGCAAAAUUUGCACUACCAGACUGUCCGGUCCAUCCAGAGAGCAGUUUUGGACUGUGCAGAAAUUGCACUACCGGACAGUCUGGUCCCCCAAGCGGACUGUCUGGUAGUACAAUUUCUAGAUGCCCAAAAGUUUCUAUUUCUACUGGACUGUCUGGUCCCCCGCUGGCUGAAUUUGGGCAAGGCCCAUGUAACUUUACCCUUUCACCCUCACUUACCCCUUCCUUGCCUUGGACCUAUAUAUAUCCCUCCUUCUCCUCCAUUUUAGGGUUAGCUAAGAAUAGAUCUAGACAUUAGAGCUUAGCUCGUGUAUCUCCCCUUGUGGGAUUCCUCUAGAGAGGGAAUGCUCCAUUGGAGUUCAAGGCCUACAUUGGUGAAGAUCCCUAGGGAUUCAAGACCCCUUCUAGGGAAGGAUCUAUCUAGAUCAUCAAGACCUCAUCUCCUUUGGAUUUGGUAUGAACUUUACCUUGUAUCUUUCCCUUUGUUGUUCUUGUACCUUUGUGGAUCUUGUGUGAUUGUGAGUCUAGUGGAUGUGUGAUUGGACUUGUUCUUGAGUGUUUUCCCCUUGUGAUUUCCCCUCUUGUUCUUCGUGUUCGUCGUGGAUUCCCCUCCAAUUCAUGAAAGAUCUCCACUUAGGGUAUCCACCCUACAACACUCUUACUAACACUUGGCAAAGUAGGAGUUCUUGCCUCCUGGCACAGGGUUUGAGAUAGUCUUGACAAAUCUGGCCAUUUAAAAUAGAUGCCAUCCACUAGGUAGUAUACCUUGUUGUAGUGGCGCCCAUUAACCUCGAACUUCAUCGGUGGAGCAUGACCUUCAACAAGCUCGGCAAAGACAUUCGAGCACUGUAGUACGUUGAUGUCAUUGUGAGUUCCUGGCAUACCAAAGAAGGAGUGUGAAAGUGCAACUAUCCCUAGGUGGUUCUGGUAAUUCCUAACAACAUAUAGCUCAUUGAGCUAACACUAUUUCAAGACUAAUAUUUUAGGAAAGCUCAAUGAUUGGCAUGGCAUGGAUAAGAAAAGUGGACCCCUCAAAAUGCUAAGGACAAAAGGAUUGGCUCAAGCUCAAAGCUCAAGACUCUACAUUUUCUAUUUUAGUGAUCCAAGAGUACAUUGAGUCUAUAGGAAAAGCCAAUACUAUCAAGGAGGGAUGAGGUGUUGCUUAAUGGCUUGCUUGCUCAAAGUGCUUAGUGAUAUGCUCCAAAGCCCUCAACCACUUUCUCACUUCCACAUAUGACCUAAACCAAAAGUCAAACUCGGCCCCACAGAUUCUUUCUAUUCGGCGCCACCGAGUUCAGGUGUCAUAGCCACUGCCACAAACCCUAGGCAAAUCGGUCUCACCGAUAGGGAUCUCGGUCUCACCGAGAUGGGAUUGUAAUCUCUCUGUUUCCCUUCGUAACGUUUUGGUCCUACCGAGAUGAGCGAUCGGUCCCACCGAGAUUGCAAUGUAAACUCUCUGUUUCCCUUUUGUAACAUUUCGGUCUCACCGAAAUGAGCGAAUCGGUCCCACCGAGUUUACCUGACCAACUCUCUGGUUAGCUUAUUACCAAAAUCGGUCUCACCGAGUUUGUGUAAUCGGUCUCACCGAGAUUACGUUAUGCCCUAACCCUAACCAUAUCGGUCCUACCGAGUUGCAUGUCGGUCCCACCGAAAAUCCUAACGGUCACUAGAUUUGUUGAAUCGGUCCGACCGAGUUUAACAAUUCGGUUCCACCGAGUUUGGUAAGUUGUGUGUAACGGUUAGAUUUUGUGUGGAGGCUAUAUAUACCCCUCCACCUCCUCUUCAUUCGUGGAGAGAGCCAUCAGAACGAACCUACACUUCCAAUAUACAUUUUGUGAGAGAGAACCACCUACACUUGUGUUGAGGUCAAGAUAUUCCAUUCCUACCAUAUGAAUCUUGAUCUCUAGCCUUCCCCAAGUUGCUUUCCACUCAAAUCUUCUUUCCACCAAAUCCAAAUCCUGUGAGAGAGAGUUGAGUGUUGGGGAGACUAUCAUUUGAAGCACAAGAGCAAGGAGUUCAUCAUCAACACACCAUUUGUUACUUCUUGGAGAGUGGUGUCUCCUAGAUUGGCUAGGUGUCACUUGGGAGCCUCCGACAAGAUUGUGGAGUUGAACCAAGGAGUUUGUAAGGGCAAGGAGAUCGCCUACUUCGUGAAGAUCUACCACUAGUGAGGCAAGUCCUUCGUGGGCGACGGCCAUGGUGGGAUAGACAAGGUUGCUUCUUCGUGGACCCUUCGUGGGUGGAGCCCUCCGUGGACUCGCGCAACCGUUACCCUUCGUGGGUUGAAGUCUCCAUCAACGUGGAUGUACGAUAGCACCACCUAUCGGAACCACGACAAAAACAUCCGUGUCUCCAAUUGCGUUUGAAUCCUCCAAACCCUUCCCUUUACAUUCUUGCAAGUUGCAUGCUUUACUUUCCGCUGCUCAUAUACUCUUUGCAUGCUUGCUUGAAUUGUGCUAAGAUUGCUUGACUUGUUCUAAAGUUGCUAAAAUCUGCCAAGAACUAAAAUUGGGAAAAGGCUAGAUUUUUACUUGGUCAAGUAGUCUAAUCACCCCCCUCUAGACAUACUUUCAAUCCUACAAGUGGUAUCAGAGCUUUGGUCUCCAUUUGCUUUGAUUUCCAUAGCUUUUGGUGGUCAUAGCCUUGGUUUCACAACCUAGGAGAGUAUGGCGUCUAGUGAGGGAAAUUAUCACCGUAGAGGUCCUUACUUUGAUGGUACUAAUUUUGCUAGUUGGAAGCAUAAGAUGAAAAUGCAUAUUCUUGGACAUAACCCCGCCGUUUGGGCUAUUGUGUGUAUUGGCUUGCAAGGUGAAUUCUUCGAUGGGAAAGAACCGAACCGUGAAGCUACCGCAGAAGAGUUGAAGAUGCGGCAAUACAACGCUCAAGCUUGUGAUAUCCUCUUCAACGGAUUGUGCCCCGAAGAAUUCAACAAAACCAGCCGUCUUGAGAAUGCAAAGGAAAUUUGGGAUACUCUGAUUUAUAUGCACGAAGGUACCGACUCCGUCAAGGAAUCCAAAUUGGAUGUGCUUCAAAGUCAACUUGACAAGUUCAAAAUGAAGGAUGGUGAAGGUGUCGCUGAAAUGUACUCUAGGCUUGCUCUUAUCACAAAUGAGAUUGCCGGCUUAGGAAGUGAAGAGAUGACCGACAGAUUCAUCAUCAAGAAGAUCCUAAGAGCCUUGGAUGGAAAAUAUGAUACCGUGUGCACAUUGAUCCAAAUGAUGCCCAAUUACAAAGAUCUCAAGCCAACAGAAGUCAUUGGAAGAAUCGUUGCUCAUGAGAUGUCACUCAAGGAUAAGGAGGAGCUCCAUAACAAGUCAAGUGGUGCUUACAAAGCCUCGUGUGAAGCUCCCACAUCAUCAAGUGAGAAACAAACCUUCAAUGAAGAAUUGAGCCUAAUGGUGAAGAACUUUAACAAGUUCUACAAUAGUAGAAGCAAAGAGAGAAGUUCCAAGUCAAGGUCCUACAAUGACAAAAGAUCUUCUAGUCGAGAGCGUAAUUGCUACAAUUGUGGAAAACCCGGACACUACUCAAAUGAGUGUACGUCCCCCUACAAAAGAAGAGAAGAUUCUCCCAAAAGAAGAAGUAGAAGAGAAGAAUCACCAUCAAGAUAGAGAAGGAGUAGGGAUGAUCGUUAUGAACGAAGACCCUCACGGAGAAGCAAGGAUUCGGAAAGGAAGGACAAGUCAUCAAGGAGCUACACAAAACGAAGACAUCAAGCUCAUGUUGGUGAAUGGGUAUCCGGCUCCGACUCCGACAAUCACUCGGAGAGAAGCUAUCACUCCGACUCCGAAUAUACUCAAGAUGAAGGUGUUGCCGGUCUAGCACUUGUGUCAACCAACUCCUACGACAUAUUUGAUUCACCAAAUGAAGGAAUUGGAAGAUGCUUCAUAGCCAAAGGUCCAAAGGUAUCACACCCCGAGUAUGUUGAUUUCAAUAGUGAUGAAGAUGACUUGUUAGGUGAUGAUGAUUUACUUGUUAACAACUCUAGUGAUGAAUACUAUGAUGAAACGUCAAUUAAUCAUGAUAAUCAAGAUAAAAAGAAUGACAAUGAUAAGGAGAAGAUUGAGUCUCUAACUAAAGAACUAAACACUCUUGAGUUAGCUCAUGAAACUAUCUUAGGAGAUCAUCGAGAACUUUUAAGGACUCAUGAGAAAUUACGUUUUGAAAAGCUCAACCUUGAGCAAGAGCAUGAGUUCUUAAAGGCAAUCAAUGAUGAUCUUCGCAAGAAAAGUUCUUCUUACAUUGCCAAGCAUUUACUCUUAUCCACUUACAUGCCUCAAGUCAAGUCUAGUAACAAGAACAAGAAAGAUUCUUCCUCUAGUAGUAACAAUAAUCAUGCUAAAUCCAAUGUUGUUGCUUCUAGUAGUUCUCUUGAUUCCACUAAUGAUUCUCUUAGCCAAGUUACACUUGAGUAAGAAAAUAGCUUAUUGAAGGGAAUUAUAGAGAAAGGUGUCUACAAGAGCCUUGCCGGGAGUAAGCAAUUCGAGGAAAUUGUACGCGAGCAACACUACAAAAAAAAUACACUUCCAUGAUGAUACGUGUUUGUCACAGUAGGUCGCGUUUUUUGUCAUGCAUGUACAUCCAUGACAAAUUUAUGACAGAAUCAAGGUAGUCAUACCUGUGCUGUCGUAGAAGUGUUCCAUGACAUUACGAAAAUUAUCAUCACGGAAGUGUCCACUUCCAUGACAAUAAAUCGCGCAUCACAGAAGUGCUUUCGUCAAGGGUGACCGACACGUGGCAACCACCGUAAUGGAACGCCGUUAAGCUAUCGGGUCGGGUUUUGGAUCCGAUAACCCGUUAACAGCCCCGACCAAUGGGGAUUUUCCACGUGUUAAAUCAUCAUUGGCUGGAGGAAACACGUGUCAGCUCACCGCUGGGACAGAUGUCAUCCACUCAUUGGACAGAAGGCGCCUAUGAUACGUCGACACAUGGCACGACCCAACAAGUUUAAUUGGGCCGGCCCAAUUAAAGGCCCACAAGUUUUGCGGACCAUAAUGGGCCGGCCCAGCUAAAGGCCCACAAGAUUUUGCGGACCAUAAUGGGCCGGCCCAGCUAAAGGCCCACGAGAUUUUGCGGGCCAUAAUGGGCCGGCCCAGGUAAAGGCCCACAAGAUUCUUGCGGAUCAUAAUGGGCCGGCCCAGCUAAAGGCCCACGAGAUUUCGCUGACAUUAAUGGGCCGGCCCAGCUGUAGGCCCACAAGAUUUUGAGGACCCUAGUAGGCCGGCCCAUUAACUGGCUGCCAUGUUUUGGGCCAAAUGCCGGCCCAUAUCUGAUCCGGUCCAUUAAUGGCCUGCCACGUUCCGGGCCUAAAAGUGGCCCAUAUGAGAUCCGGCCUGUUAUAAGCCUACCAUGUUCUGGGCCAAAUUACGGCCCAGAUAAGGUCCGACCCUUUAAGAGGCUUUGGGCUCAAUUAUGGCCCAUAUCAAAUUCGGCCCGGCAAUUGGACACUAUGCUUUUGGGCCCACUUGCUAAAGGCCCACUUAGUAAUUCGGCCUGAUAUUAGUUUUGGCCUGUUAAGGGCCCGUUUAACAUUUCGGCCCUAUAUUAAUUUCGGCUGUUAAAAGCCCGUCAUAUAGUUGGGCCUAACUACGGCCCGUCGCAGCCGAUAUCUAAUUGGGCCAAACAAGGACCGAGACAAUUUUGGCCUGUUAAAAGCCCGUGAUUUGAUUCGCACAAUCAUGGGCCGGGGUUCAUUUCAGGCUGCUGCCGGCCCGUGAGCUGUUCGGCAUGUUUCAGGCCCAACCUACAUCGUGAUUGCAUGACGGCCCGAUUAUGUACUGUAAUUUUACGGUUUGGCCGGUUUACUGCGAAGACAGGAUAUAUAUACAGUAAAAUAACUACAACAUCGUGAAUAAGAAAAAACCUAGACUAUACAAUAAAGAAAUUACGACAUAUUACAUCCACUGGGCAUCAAAGUUCGCCACUAUGAUAAUAAAGCACAAGCAGACAGCAAAUUACAUACACUGGGCAUCAAAGAUCGCCACCAGUGCAAAUAAACACACCGACAAAAUAAUAUACAAAACUGACAGCACUUCAAUAGAGUUCAAGAAAGGUUAGCCCUGCUGGGGAGCUGCAGCGCAAGCAGCUGAGUAAGAUGAUGAGACUGCGCUUGUUCAACACUUAUAUCUUCCUCACUCUGAAAGAUAAACAAGCAGACAGAUGACAGGUUUUGCACAUAAAAGUAUCAGUGCUGACAAUUCAUCACAUUUCUUACUGACGAAUAAAGUGACACAGUUUAAAAUUGCAUUAACACAAUAUGGUAUUGUUCAGGUCAAGACAUGGCAGGAAAUGACAUUGUGAAGGAGUUGGCAGCUUCACGACACCACUGGAUUACAGAUCAAGAACUCAUAAGUAUCAAUGGUUAGUGUGCUGUCAAUUUAUCCCAUUUCAGAUUGGCAAAUAAAGAGAUGGUUUAAAUAAUAGUAGAAUGAUAUGACAUUGUUCAUAGUUAAGACAUUGCAGAAUAUGACAUUGUGCUGUAGUGGGUAGGUUCACCACACCACUGGAUUACGGAUGAAGAACAGAAGCAUACAUGCAGUGCAAAAGAAGAUCACUUGCUCUGUAUAGUUUAAUUUACAUGGUAUGAAGAAGGAACUUGGUUGUACAACUGAAAACUUAAAUUGAGAAAGGACAAACUUUUGUUUAUGAACUACAUAAUAAACUUUAAAUAAGCAAUUUGAUGCAAACACCAAAAAUAAACAGCUGUUGCAGUCAUGCCUAACCAAAUAUAUACAACAAAGUUUGAAGGCUUGAGAUGGACAAACUUACAUUAUUGGUGAAGACAGGCUCUAUAAAGGCCUUGUCCAUGCUGAUGGGGGGGCAAUUCAAGAAGUUCACCACAGAAUCUUCUUCAAAAGCAUUGCAUUUAUUCUACAUUUUGUUAAGAGUAAAUAUAGAUGUGAUAAUAUACGAAAAAAUGGAGAAUAUUUAAGAUAAGAUGAAGAGUGAUGCUACAUAACCAAGUAGCUAUAAAUGUAAGUGCAGCGAUACAGGCAAAAGGUACAACCAAGAGCAAUGCAUAGCUAAAAUUCUUCAGUACCAACCUUAUGGUAAGAGUAAAUAUAGAUCUGAUGUGUAGAAAAUGGAGGGCAAAGGAAAAUAAGCUGCAGAGUGAUGGUACAUGAACAACUACCUGUCAUUAUAAGUACACUGAUAAAGGAUAGCAUGUACUUACAAGAACAAUGCAGAGCUAAAAAAACAUUGGCAUUGGAUAUAUUCUACACUAAUGUAACCAUUCAUACAUUCAUACAGAUCAGAUAAUUUGGAGCGAACAAUUGAUAAGCAAGCUAUCAUGCAUACUGCUGUCACAUAAUGAACCAGGUAUGUAUGCAAGUACAGUGAUACAGGACAACAGGUACUAACAAGAGCAAAGCAGCGGGCAACAUAUUUGCGAUAUCCUGUCGUUCUUUUCAAACCGGAACUCUUCUUCAAGCAGAUUUCCUGCAAAAAAGAUCCGUAAGGCACAUGCAGAAAAGUAGAAGUUCAAAUUGUCAUGUGAUUUCAUAGACAGUACCUCAUCCUGGGAACGAGACCAGUGCAUAACAAGGUUUUUCCAUUCAAUGUCUUCUAAAUUUAGCACAGGAGACUUCACCGGAAAUUCGUUUAUUGACUUGCCAUCAAAGUGUGAUUUCCUCAGGUAACACCGAUACUGCUGCAAUGCUUCCUUGAAAAGCACAAGCAAGCUUUGCUCGUCAUGACUAUCCAGAUUGACCCUCGCCUAGUUACAACAAUGUAAUGUAAAUCAUUGAUGUGUUCAAUCAGCAGAAAACAGGAAAAUAAUAACCAUGAAUAAUAGCACUUACACGUAAGUUGGACAGGAAGAUGUGAAAAUGGUGUUUGUCUUCACUAUAAUCUUCCCAUGAUGGGAAUAUAUGCACGUAGUCCCUAACAACAUUGAAAGCAUUGUCUUUUAAACUGGGAAUAAAUGGAAUGGGGUUCCAAUCUACAGGAAUUGGCCGUCUCUGCAGUUGGGAUAGGUCUUCGGCCGGUGGACUUGCUGUACUUUUUGCUGGAGUGGGAUUUUUUUGUGGUACAGCUGGUGCUAUGGCAAAUGAAAUCGGUAUACCUUUUGCUGGAGUGCAGGUCCUGUGUGGUGGGGCUAGUGGUGUGGCCAGUGAAGUAUGGGUACAGUCAGCUGGAGUCGGUCCUACGUUUUGUGUCACUGGUUGUACAGCCAAUAUAAGUGGGGUGCUGUCUGAUUUCUCCAGCACCACCACGUUUUUCAAGGACUUUGCUGAUGCUCCUUCAGGUUCGGCAAUCACCCUCUUCCUUUUUGAUGUCUGAUGCACAAGAACAGCAUUUGAGUGAAAAAACAUGGUAUUAUGACAGAUGGAAUAUGUAUUGAUAAUGGAUGGGCAUGGCAUCUCGACAUAUAUGAUGAGUAAACUAAGCAGAUGGCGGUGCAACAAAUUAGAAGAAAUGCAAGACAACAUAUGCAAGAUACCCGCAAUCAAUAAAACAUUGCCAAAUUAGAACAGGCACCUUGAUAGGUGAACAGGACAGGCCAUCUGCCUUUGACUCCUCGAGGUUAGAAUGGUCAUUAGGAUCAUAUUCUGAACAAGAAUCAACAGGUGGGGAGCGUAUGAGUUUCAUUGCAUCCAGAAUGGCACUCAAUGCCUUGGUGCCAAUUUUGUAAGUCAUUGCAAUGUUUAGCUUCAAGAGUGGACUGCUACUAGUGUGACACAAAGCAGCUACACAGAUCAUAGUGUAGAUAUAACGGGAAAACCUUAAGCAUCAGAGUAAAAUCAGCAAAGUGGAACUUGCUGGAAUAUAUGUGCUAGUAUUGCUUGUACGGCUAGAAAGGCUUCGGAUACCAGCUCUCUUCAAGUGAAGGUGCGGUACUGUUAAUAUCAGUGUAACUCUCAAAGGCGACACAGCUCCCCGCAUUUCCUUGCUAUUCUUAUAGGUUUCAAGUGGGCAGGCCACUACAAAUCCUAUUCCUAUGUUUACAAGAUCCUACGAAUCAAAGAGGCUCAAAGUGUCCAUCACAACCGACCGUAUAGACCUCUACACUGCAAAUGUCCCUGCUCAUCUUUAGUACAAGGAACAUACUGUACUACUAGCAUACUCCCUCCAUUCCAAAAUAUAAGCCUUGGUAGAGAUUUCCACUAUGGAUCACAUACAGAUGUAUCCAGAUACAUUUUAGAGUGUAGAUUCACUCAUUUUGCUCCAUAUGUAGUCCAUGGUGGAAUCUAUACAAAGACUUGUAUUUAGGAACGGAGAGAGUACAUAUUAAAGAAGAACGGAAGAGGAACAUGGUAAAGAAGAGCAAGCAGAUUUUGGAUAAUAAAAUGUUGGUUGCGCAGUGCCCACACAUGAUGAACUAGAGCGCAUUAAGAAUGCAACUCCCAGCUGUCUCUCGACCAUUUCAGGCGGUUGGAUGAAGAUCCUACGUCUCCUAACCCUUAUUCUUCCUCGUCUCUGAUUCUUCCCAUACAGAACACCGCACGGGCCGCCGGCCGGACCACCGGCCCCCACCGCCUGUGUUCCUCCGCCACCCCCACCCCCCACCCGUGCCCCAACCCCCACCCGUGUCGAGUUUUCUUCGUUCGGGGAGGCCCCACAAGCACCCGAGCCCCUUCAAUCGCACCGGCAAACUUCGGCGAGCUCUGAAAAAUCGACUGACCCAAUUUUGAAAUUUAGUCUACUGUGAUUUAACUAGUGUGGAAUAUAAAAGGGGAAAACCAUAAGCAUUGGGAGUAUAGUGUUGAGCGUGCCAUGGCGGAUCUGAAGGUGCAAACCGAACAAAGGCAACUUCGCAACCAAGACAAGAAAUGAGAGUAAAGCAGUGGCGAUCUAUUUUCUUGCUGCGAUAAAUAAGUUGAGCAGAUACGAAAGAGUACCGCCUCUGGUGCGGCGCCGUGUACGCAUCUGCUGAGAAUUUGACGGUGCUGCGGUAGCGAUGGCUGUCGGCGGCGUGGAAGCAGAUCUAGGAGGGUAGACGGUGGCGGCGGGGCGCGGUGGACGAGACGGUCGUAGGAGCGGCGCCGGCAAGGUGGACUACGGCGGGAUGAAGCGAGAGGAUGGGAUGCAAGGAUCCCGAUCCGAAGGCGUGGAUGAGAGAGAUCGAUCUCUUGUAAUGGACGGCGGCGUCGGGGUAUCAGCUCCGGCAUGGUGGAGGAGGACGGCGGUGGAUGGGGUGGCGGACGGCGGCGGACGGAGGAGGGUGGGGUGGAGAGGGUGUUUUGGCGCCCACGGAGUACGAAUGGGGAAAAGGGAGGUAGAGAGGAAGGGGGAACCAUGUAUUCAGGGCGCGCUUGUCUCAAAUGCGAGGAAAUUUACGAACUUAGCCCCCGUUUCAAAUUUCUACUACAUCACAGCAACAUUAGUCGGUUGGGGAUAGGACGGUAAUCUCGCAUACACCGAAUAUUUGCCGACGAGAGUUUGUUUUUGGCGCCCACCGUGUAUGAAUAUGAAUCGUGGAGGGAGUCGAUUUCGGCCGAGGACACACUGUGUUUUGGCGCCCACCGUGUAUGAAUCCGGGUGAGAGGCGGUUACGUCACGUUUGGGUGAAAUUACAAACCUACCCCUAUCGAAACCUAUAGAAAUCCAGCAGAUAGGCUUUGUGUGCCAGGGAUAGGCAGUAGUGAUUUCCAUCUCGCAGAUUUUGGUCUCGGGCGGUUACUACGACUUUUCCCGCUUCGUUCAAAUUUUGCAGGGUGCACGUUUACCGUGCCAACUCAAUUCGAAUCCCGUUUGUAUUCUAUUUUUUUCGGGCGGGAUCCAUUUUCAAUUGGCAUUACAUUCUAUAUACAUCAUUUUUUAUAUAUACUUUCAAAAGCACAACAAAGAAUUCUGCUCCUUUAUAUGUAUAAUAUGAUUUACAAAUACAACGAUCUCGAAAUCUUACGGUUGAAUUCGAAAAAAUUUAACCAAAUUAUGUUCUACUAAAAUGUAUGGAUCAGUAAUACCUACAUAUUAAAUAACAUAGAUGUGCGUGAAUUCAUAUGAGUAUGCAUGUUUGAUAGAUCAAUUUUGGUUCGAGUAUGGAUUACAUGUAUCAUCAUCUCGAAUUCAAAUAUUUGAAUCCCUUUUUUGGUCACUCCUUUCACGCCCAUCUCUCUCGCGUGCAUGCUCCUUCAGGUAGCUAUCACUCUCUUUUCUCCAGCUCACCCGCACGCUCACUUCAUGUUUCUCCUAUCCUCGCAAACAUGGUCUCUUGACGUCUCCCUUGAGAAGUGUCACACUCUCACUAUCAUUAUACAUUACACGGUUUUCAUUAUCUCUCACGUCUCUACUGUUCUCUGGUACUCGGUACCUAAGCUUUCUUUUUCACCGCCACACACACAGUCUCCACUCGUUUUUCACUUUGUCUUUCUCUCUAUGGGAUUCUCUCACACACCCUAUAUGUCUCUACAUAUGACUCAUACCACUAAAAUUACUCUCUCUCUCUCUCCUGUAGACACAACAUUUGUUGCGGUCUCCUUUUCGUCUCCAUCCCAGACUGACAUUAUUCAUUUGUUUACCGAUCAGACAACCCCGACUACCGUCUCCUCUCUCUCACACACAGACACACACACAGACACAACUCCUGCUUCCACUCCCCUUCCCGACUACCGUCUCUCUCUCACACACACAAAACUCUCGCUUUCGCACCCAGACUCGUACUUCUCUCACAAACAUUUAUCGACUAGCUAGCCUCUAGAUAGGUUUAUACACCCGCACACUCGUGCUUCCACCAUCGCAUACAUGUCUCUCUCCUGCUCCUUGUAUCUAUGUAGAUUUUUCUUCCCUUCUCGAGACACGCCCUCUCGAUCAUGCACACACGCACCAUCGCCUCAUUUUAAGCUGAUACCUAUCGCACACACACUCCUUGUGUCUUUUUCACACAUGCACUCCGUCCUCCUCCACUCUCCCUCUCUCUCACACACACAUGGGCUUUUUGCAACAACUAGCAAGAUGCCCAUGCGUUGUACGGAACAUCAAGAUGCAUUUGUAUGAGUAGUUUAUCUUGUGGGGGAAAAGGAUGAACGAGGGAAGGCCUUAUUUGCAAAUGUGGAGAGGGGUGUGGGUAUCUUUUUGCAAAAUUGCCAUAGUUUCCUUCCUAUCUGUCAGAUAUAGAUCGGACGACCUAUAUUGCAGGAUGGCAGGCACACGAUCAUCAUCGACAAUGCUUUUUAUAAGAGUAGGGAUAAAAAAUAGAGUUGGUGAUGAUGGUGGGCCUAUCAUCCUGCAAUGUAGGUCGUCCGAUUUAUAUCUGACGGAUAGGAAGGAAAAUAUGGCAAUUUACCCGCACUCUUCACCACAUUUGCAGAUAAGGCCUUCCCUCGUUCAUCCUUUUCUCCCACAAGAUCUUGAUGUUUCGUGCAACGCACGGGCAUCUUGCUAGUAAGAGUAGAAAUUAGACAUAUACCACUUCUCGAAUCUUGAAACCAACAACAUUCCUCCCUUAUCUCAUCAAAAGCCAAAGGAAUAUAUUUUGAGUGAAACAUAACAUAUUUUUAGUGAUAUUCGUAUUUCAAAACUAGACUUUUUUUUCUAUCAAAUCGGUGAAUAUGUAAUAAUCUACUUUGAUCGUGUGGCAACACAUUGGCACAUUGCUAGUAGUUAUUAUAAUUUUUUGGACACCAGACAAACGGUGGAGUACAUAUACGAAGAGAAGAGGCGCACGCACGCAGUCGGCCUCUCACUGUCUCGCACACAUGAGUGUUACGUAAAGGCGACGUUAACAAAUAAACCCUAAAACCCUAGGUGCACGAUUGCUGCAUUCGCGGGUACCGGGUACGUGGUGGAGCACCUUUGUAGGAAUAGUCAGCUCGCGUGAUAAUUUAAUCCGUAGGAGUUGAUGGUCGGGACCACAGGUGAACGACUUGGAGCGCGGUGGCUCGCCAGUUGCCACAAAUAGAGUAGCCACGUUUAAAAUAUCGUUUUUCUAGCGGGGUUAAGAGUUCCAAUUUUCAAUGGCGCGUUAUAAGUAGUAAGUAGUUUUCAGAACGAUUGGUAUGGAGCGAAAAUGGAAUUCAUAGUACUACGUACCUCCUUGGCGUAUGCUUGUAUGGUUUUUUUUGCGAUGGAGGUUGUAUGGGUUUAUGUUGCGAGAUGUUGAACCUGGUAGUUCUAGGGCAAAUACUAUGGUUUAGAUUUAGAUGCUGGUUUUCAGUAAUGAAAAUCGGAAGGGGAAACCCUUCUUUGAUUAAAAAAACUACUACCUCCAUUCUGGUUUACUAGUCCCCAUCGUACUUUGGGUCAAAGUUUGUCCACGAAUUUUACUUGUAAAAUGUGAAUGGAAAACGAGAUUUUGUUAUACCCAAACAAAAAAGGACUGGAAGGAGUGAUUGCUCUAACACGGACGCGACUUCUCACAGCGCAGGCAUUGAACCGGCGCGCCGGCCAAGAGGGCCGCACUCGCUGCAGGCCCGGCUGAGCACGCCUCCUCGCCGCGUGCAACCAGCUUAAGACUGCCCCGCCUGCCUUCAUUGAAUCCGCGCGUGUGCCGGCAACACGUCACGUCCUUCCACGAGCCGGUAGACAUUUUAGAACACAAAAAAUGACUAAAAUAUAAUUAAUUUACGCAUGUUCUUGACUUGUUGUGCUCGCACUGGUAGCAGGAACUAGUAGAGGUUUUUCUUUAUUUAUAACUCUCCUCACAUUUUUUUUGGCUUUGAAAUGAAUCAUGGUUGUGGACAUUAUGUAUGAAAUGUGCAGAUAUCUGUGAACAUGAGUUUGAUGUGGAAGUUGAACUUGGAAUGUCGGGCUUGCGCGUGAACUAUACCAUGUCCAAUGCUUCGUCUGUUAUUGUUUGGAAAGUAAUUGUUGUUAUUACAUGACCCAAAAAAACAUUUUGUGCCACAUCAGUAGAUGCACGGACAUCACAACAGGCAUGCUGACUGGAUAAACAUUUGAACCUAGCUAUUAUGAAGGAAAUUUUGUAUUGACAACAAUCUUAGAUAGCAGGAGACGCCUAGCCUGCUCUGCCUCUGCUAGCUUAUUUCUGGCUUCUUCCAUCUCUUCUUUGGCUUGGGUGAAGAGAGCAUCUAAUUGCUCUUUUCGCUUCUUUAGGAACUCAGCUACAUUCUCAAGGGCUGCUGCAUGCUUUCUUUCAGCCUUUACUAAUGCCACGAGGACACGAACAGCUGACGACUCCACCUGGCUUGUGUGUAAUCCAGCAUCAUCUGGGAAUUUGCACCUUGUGUCUAAUCCAACAUCAUUAGGGAACUGGAGCCUUGUGUGUAAUCCAGCCUCAUUUUGGAAACAUGAUCUCGAGGUUGACCAUACUUCCCUCGUCGCAGGAACUGCAUCCUGACAUGAAGUUACUUCUUUUUUAGAUCAAUACUCAGAGCAACCUAGAUCCAUUUAGUAGAAGCCAGACAAAUAGAACUCGGAGAAGUGAAUUCAAAAGGAAAAAUAAAUAAAAACAGACUACAAGGUGAGAACACCCACUUCCUACAUCAAGCUAAAAACAAAAGCAUUAGGACGAUUAAGACUCUUCUUAUUACACAUCGAAGAACACCACGCUUAAGAGAAACAGAAACUACAACAUAUACACAUCGAAGAACACGAGGCUACACGAAAGUAAUUGAAAGGGUGUUACUUACCAAAGCUCGUUUUACAGGUUCGGUGCAGCUCCUCUUUAACUUGCCACGCUCCUUGAAGAUGUCCCGAAUAUCCCGUGUUUGGUCUUCAUUGCUCCUCUGCGUGUUCGCACUCGUGGUUUUAAAAUCUCAACAUGGCAAGAAAAAUAUACUACUAGUAAUACUCGCGCAUCUUGUGGGCAACAUUAAAGCACUCGUCUGCCAUGUUAGAGCAUCUCCAACAGAAUCGCAACCCGCGGCGCUUCAAAAAAGCGUUUACAGUGCUGAGAUCGAGAAGUAGAUAGAGUAGAGGAUAGUUCUCAGCAUAGAUAGAUAAAAAAAGAUAACUCAACUACUCCUCGUCGUCCGACUCCUCCUCGGUGAUGUCCUCCUCCGACGUCUGACUGUAGGCGUGAAGAUACCGAUUGUCAUCGGAUUCCCAGGGCGACGCUGCUCCUAGCCUCAUGUUGAAUUGAGCAUCCGCUUUUCGCCUACGCUUGUCCUCGCGAUAGGCGGCUCGCUCCGCCCUCCUCUUAUCCCUCUCCGCCCUCCUUUGCGCGUAGAACUCGCGCUCGUUGAUGAUAUCCUGCGGGAAGUGUUGGCGCCACAGCACCAUGGCUUCCUCGUCCAUCUCGGUGAUGCCGAGACGGUUCUCCCGCCUCCGGUUGUCGCGACGAUCUUCGUCGGUGCUAAGCCGCGGCAGAGGCGCGAGCUCUUGCGCCUGCUCCCACAUCGGCAUGUUGGGGAAGUUCAAUGUUCUAUGAGGCCACCGGAGUCGCCACGCCGCCGCGUCGUAUGCGCGGGCGGCCUCAUUGGCGGUGUCGAAAUUGCCGAGGCCGAGGCGCAUCCCGCGGAACCAGAUCUCGGCGGAGAAGCCGCCGGAGGGGCGCGCGCGGACGCCACGUUAUCCCCAAGUUUCCCGGCGACGCGGCGGCAUGGUGGCGCAGCGGCGGCGAGGCGAAAAUGAGCGGGGAGAGAGCGGUGGCAAGGCACAGAGCGGUGGGAGGGCGUUGGAUUUUAUAAAGCGCGCCGGACGCCGCGCGCCAAAACUAGCGCACGCCCGGUCGUUUUUUCCCGCGCGCGCGAUCCUUUCCCGACAUCUCUGCUAUCUCUACUCUCUUCUCUACUGUUAUAUUUAUUUUAUAUUUAAUAUUUAAUAUUUAUCUCUACUUCCUUUACUGUCUACUUUUUUUUCUUGCAAUAUAGGCCGUCCGAUUUAUAUCUGACAGAUAGGAAGGAAACAAAUGGGAAUUUUGCAACAAGAUACCCAUACCCCUCUCCAGAUUUGCAAAUAAGGCCUUCCCUCGUUCAUCCUUUUCUCCCACAAGAUAAACUACUCAUACAAAUGCAUCUUGAUGCGUGCAACGCAUGGGCAUCUUGCUAGUUCUAAAAACCUUUCCAUCAUUUGCCACACUACUGGUUGCAGAUGAAAAACCUACCCAAGCACAGCGCGAUAUAGGAGCGACGCACAAUUACAAGCUGAUAUUCUGUAUGACAAUGGAGGCUAUAACCAAUUACUUUUACGGGAAAAAUAGCACCUAGGAAAUUUGAAGGGUAGAUAUGAACAAAAUUGGAACUGCACAUGUACUGCUAAGUGAUUCAAUACACACAUUACCAAUCGAGGAGGAGAACGAUGGUCGCGGCGGCCUCUGUGAGUCAUGGUCGGCAACGGGAGUCAGUUCAUUGUCCAUGACCGUGGUACUUCUGCGCUUGGCGUCGGCUUCCGGGAAGCAGAUCCGAGACCGUGGAAGACGAUGCUGGGGAAGAGGCUCCUUGUACGACAACGACGGUGGACCGGCUCCAGUGCGGCAUACGAGGUUGUCGAUGAGGCAGAUGCGCUGCGGUGGAUGAGUGCGCCGAUGUAAAGGGGAGGAGCACGAAGGCUGCGGUGCCGUGGAGAAGUCUAUUUUGCGGUGGGGAUAGAAAAUGGGGAGUAUUCAGGUGUACUACUCUGGGUGCCGGGGUGGGGUUGGCUGGGUAGGGUGAACCUGAAGUUACGAAAAUAGCCCCCUACCAAGCAUCAUCCAUAGGUCUGUUCCGAAGGCUAUGAUGGUAACUUCCCACUGCUCGAAUCAGGGUCGCGGGAGAUUUUCCCGCCGACCUCAAAAUUUUGUGACACUGGACUCCCCGUGUGGCGUGUUGAGUGAUUCGGCUAAGCAACUAGCGAGUAGUAGUAGUAAACUCUGCAUAUUAGGUUUGACCGAAGUCAAACUUCCUAAAGUUUGACCAAGUUUAUAGAAAAUAUAAACAUUUACCAUAACAAAUAUGUAUGAUGUGAAAGUACAUUCAAUAAUGAAUCUAAUGAUAUUUAUUUGUUAUUGUAUAUGUUAAUAUUUUUUGUUAUAAGCUUUCUGAGAGUUUACAAAACUUGACUUUGACCAAUGCUAAUACGGGGACUUAAAUAAAAAUGGAGGGAGUACACAUUUGUUUUCUUAGUUUGUAGUGAACUAAUCAUUUGUUGAAAUUGUGAAAUAAAUAUAUUAGGCUAUGGACUUCGAAUGUAAUGGUCUAUACAAUUCAAUAGUUACAAUCAUUGUCGAAUCCCAAGAUGUAUAUAUAGAAGGUCUAUAGUACUUCACAACAUGCUCAAACUCACAUAUCCCAGUCAAAUUAGAAUCUAAAUGCAUUUCAUAGUUAUUACUUUGUAGGAUGCAACAAAAACAACCAUAACUCUACAUCAGCCAUUGGCCUUGUUUGGAUACUCUAACACAGUUAGAGUUAGAGUUAUUUUCUAACCCACUCUAACCCAAAUAAGCACCUCUCCACCGUGAUAGUUGGGUUAGAUGGAACUAACCCACUCUAACCCUCCCUGUAUGGAUACUUUUGGGUUAUUUGAGCCCCCAACUAACCCAAACUAGCUCUAACCCCAUGAUCCAAACAGGGCCAUUAUAGAAGCAACAUUUUGACAUAUCCCAAUGUGUGAAUGAAACGUGCAGAGAGAGCUUUUGAAGAUGGAGUAGAUAGGGCGGGAAAGAUUGUAUGUAUGUGGACGAGAGAGUAGGAGACAAACCUAAUGAGACAGAGGGAGAGAGAUAGAGAGAGAAAGAGAGAGGAAGAAGUUAGGUCUGUGAGAAAGAUGGAGACAUGUAAUAUACGUGAGAUGCGUGUGCAUCCAGAUUCUGUAUACGUGGAAGGAGAAGAGACAACAUGUUUGAUGAGAGAGCUGGAAAAACAUGGACGAGAGGGGAAGGAUCUCGUGGGUUGAGGGAUUGACAAUUUUGUGCGGGGGAGAGAGGGAUUGGUAAUUUUGUGCAAGCGAGAGAGAGAGGGUGGGGGAGGAGUCAGUCAGCCGUCGUCACAUCACCCUGCUUCAAAAUGACCCCGCAUUCUCUAGCGCGGUGUGGUCGCCGUCUUCGAUCUGCUCGAUGCCCUCUUUGAAGAUUCAGGUGUUGUGCAUGUUGGGGUGCAAAGAAGCACAAGCGAGAAUGGUCGCCGUAUAACCUUGGAUGGGGAUGAAUUGUGUGCUCGGGGGAGUGUGUGUGUGUGUGUUGUGCUGCGUGUGUGUGUGUGUGUGUGUGAGAGAGAGAGAGAGAGAUAUUGAGAGAAAACAAACCUAAGGAGAGAAAUGGGUAUUCACAAAGAGAUUGUGCGGGCCUUGAGGUGGGCAGGGGCCGGGUGAGGGUGUCAAAAUGUGCGCGUUGAUGCAUGUGUUGCAUGCGACCGUGUGAGGGACGGACGAAUCGAGAGAGAUGGUUGUUGUGUUACGGAUGCUCCUCUCUCUCUCUCUCCCUCUCUCUCAGACACACACACAAGUAAACUAGAAGACCGUUCUCUCAUGUAUACACAACGUAUCGGCAUAUCUGUCUAUGUCUCACUCAUGCAUGAUCAUUUGCACAUUCACACCUCUCUAUGUCUGUAUCACACGCACACCGUCUCCACAUUGCCCUUCCGCCACAACACACAUAUGGACACAUACACACGUUCUCUCUCAGUCACACACACAAAAUCAGUAUUAAAAAAAACUAGGGCGCACCUAAAAUGUCCAAAUCCAAAUAAACACAAACUGGAGCUAAAUUCAAAUAUAUGGAAAUAUUGCAGCGUCAAGAACUUUCCCAGGAAAAAAAGUUGAGUAAUAUUCGAGGAUUGUUUUCACACACACAAGAAGGUUCGGUGGAUGUCCUUCAAGCGCGACACGGUGACGCACCGUUCGAUCGACCGCGCGGCCGCGGUUCACGCGCUUGCACAGGAUUCCGUAUCGUGGCUGUGGUACUAACUAAUAAAAGCGCUGCCUAAGUCUAAUGUUUACGUGUACUAGUACGGUUUUCUUUUAAGUUUGACCAACCUUAUAUAAAACUAAAGUAAGCUCCGACACGCGCACUCAUCAAUAUGCCGCCGCCGUUGCGCAUGCGGGUGCCCGCCUGCUCCGGCCAACAAUUUCUCGCCCAUCACCGCCGUGUCGCCGCCAUCCCUGUGCCAUGAAGCCGAAGGCUCGCCCGCUCACGUCGUCUGCAGUCCCUCCUCGCGAUGCCACCACACUGCCAAGCACGCGAGCAGCUGGUGGAGCCGCGUCUAUGCACGCAGCGUACAAAGAGGAGGACGAGCGCGUGCUCCAGCACGCCGGCGAGGAGGAACUAGCGUGUCAUUGUCGUCUCCGCCCACGCGGAGGAGGCGCGCAUGGUGGCUGUCGCGGCGGAAGCCGGUCGCGCGCGCGUCGAGCCCGCAAACCGGGUGCGGACGCGGAAUCUACCUUCGAGACCUUGAAUGCCACGUGGAUCCUGCAAUCUGAUGGAGCAAUUUGGGUCAGUCAACUCAUGUGAGCCGUUUGAUGCAACAUGGAUGGCUAGAAGGGCUUCUUCCACCUCUUCUGUCGUCUUCUUUCUUCGCUCCGUUGAACUUCUUUCACAAAUCGACUGACCCAAAUUAUACUACUAGUACGAACGUAUUAAGUACAGUAGGAACAUGAAGAUACGAGCAGUGGUACCAACUGCAAGAAGAACAGUAGUAAGACAUAGUACUAGUACUACUGUACGUACUAAAGAGUUCAAAUAACGAGAAAGAACAUACUAAACAUAGUUCUGCUGGGGCCUCAGCACAACACACCCUUGAAAAUAAACUAAGCAACUAGUCCGCUUGACACUGCAGUAGAACCAGCAUGAGCGACGACACUGCCACCUACUCGGAGUCCGAGUCCACGUCCUCGACUUCGUCCUCGUCCCUCUUCCUCUUCCUCGUCGCCGACGCUUCUUUGCUUGAACCGGACACUGGGCUCUGCUUCUUCAUCCAACCCUUGUAGAUAUUUAAACAAAGGUAGGCAUCCAUUGCUGCGUAUAGGAUGUGAUCUUCAUCUAAUGUCUUCGACUCCCAUGCAUGAUGAAACCCGUGAUGAGGUUUCUUCAGUUUAGCGUACGAAGGAUCAAUCAUGGCUGCUGCCAGGGUCAGCAUUGAAGGUUGAGAGGAGGACACUAGGCUUGCCUUCUGGAGAUCGAAGGGCUGGCCUACAACGAGACCUAUCCGACGCAGGACAUCCCUAUCGUUCUUAAAGCCUACUGAUACGUCUCCAACGUAUCUAUAAUUUUUGAUUGCUCCAUGCUACUUUAUCUAUUGUUUUGGACUAUAAUGGGCUUUAUUUUCCACUUUUAUAUUAUUUUUGGGACUAACCUAUUAACAGGAGGCCCAGCCCAGAAUUGCUGUUUUUUGCCUUUUUCAGUAUUUCGAAGAAACAGAAUAUCAAACGGAGUCCAAACGGAAUGAAAUCUUCGGAAACAUGAUUUUCUCAUCAGAUAAGACCCAGGAGACUUGGACCCUCCGUCAAGAAAGCCACGAGGCGGUCACGAGGGUGGAGGGCGCGCCCCCCCUAGCGCGCGCCCCCUGCCUCGUGGGCCCCUCGAAGCUCCACCGACGUACUCCUUCCUCCUAUAUACCUACGUACCCCCAAACGAUCAGAACAGGAGCCAAAAACCUAAUUCCACCACCGCAACUUCCUGUAUCCACGAGAUCCCAUCUUGGGGCUUGUUCCGGAGCUCCGCCGGAGGGGGCAUCCACCAUGGAGGGCUUCUACAUCAUCAUCAAAGCCUCUCCGAUGAAGUGUGAGUAGUUUACUUCAGACCUUCGGGUCCAUAGUUAGUAGCUAGAUGGCUUCUUCUCUCUUUUUGGAUCUCAAUACAAUGUUCUCCCCCUCUCUCGUGGAGAUCUAUUCGAUGUAAUCUUCUUUUUGCGGUGUGUUUGCUGAGACCGAUGAAUUGUGGGUUUAUGAUCCAGCUUAUCUAUGAAUAAUAUUUGAAUCUUCUCUGAAUUCUUUUAUUUAUGAUUGAGUUAUCUUUGCAAGUCUCUUCGAAUUAUCCGUUUGGUUUGGCCAACUAGAUUGGUAGUUCUUGCAAUGGGAGAAGUGCUUGGCUUUGGGUUCAAUCUUGCGGUGUCCUUACCCAGUGACAGAAAGGGUUGCAAGGCACAUAUUGUAUUGUUGCCAUCGAGGAUAACAAGAUGGGGUAUUUAUCAUAUUGCAUGAAUUUAUUCCUCUACAUCAUGUCAUCUUGCUUAAGGCGUUACUCUAUUUUUAACUUAAUACUCUAGAUGCAUGCUGGAUAGCGGUCGAUGAGUGGAGUAAUAGUAGUAGAUGCAGAAUCGUUUCGAUCUACUUGUCACGGACGUGAUGCCUAUAUACAUGAUCAUACCUAGAUAACCUCAGAACUAUGCUCAAUUCUGUCAAUUGCUCAACAGUAAUUUGUUCACCCACCGUAGAAUACUUAUGCUCCUGAGACAAGCCACUAGUGAAACCUAUGGCCCCCGGAUCUAUUCUCAUCAUAUCAAUCUCCAUACUUGCUUUGUUUUACUUUGCCUUUUACUUUUCACUUUGCAUCUUUAUACCAAAAAUACCAAAAAUAUUAUCUCUAUCAGAUCUCACUCUCGUAAGUGACCGUGAAGGGAUUGACAACCCUAAUCGCGUUGGUUGGGAGUAGCUAUCAUUUUGUGCAGGUACGAGGGACUUGCGCGUGGCCUCCUACUGGAUUGAUACCUUGGUUCUCAAAAACUGAGGGAAAUACUUACGCUACUGUGCUGCAUCAUCCUCUCCUCUUUGGGCAAAACCAACGCAAGCUCAAGACGUAGCACCUACAGUAACGAAUUUCACUCUUUUGUCCUUGAGGAAGUUCUUAAAAUCCUGGCACUCAACGUCGGCAUGGCAUAUGUGGUAGACCAAGCAAACGUUAUGUACGCAAACCUGGAUCAUGGCGGGCUUCUUCCUCUCUUCGUCCUUUAGAUCCUUCUCUCGUCCCAGGACUGUGGUGUACUCAACAUCUAGCCCAGCGACCCACUCAUCCGUUGAACUGUUGAACAUGCGUAGGAAGCGAGCAAGCCAUGCUUUCACCGUCGCGGAUCCACGUGUGUAGAUGACGAUGAGCUGAUCGCCGGUGAUGGCUCUAACCUGGUACUCAGCGGCGACCAUGGAGAUUUGGGAGGCCAUGGAUUUUGGAGGAGGGUUAGGAGAAGUUGAACUGUUGUACCCCGCAAAAACUGGGAGCGAACUAAUGUGAAAGGACGGGACAACUGGGAGCGAACUGUUGUAAGGUAGUAGAAGACGGGGACGAGUAGGGUGCGCGAACGGCGUGGGGUUGCUGGCUUGCCCGGUGGAUAAACGGCUGCAAGCCCCCAAAGCGUUCUCGAGAACUAUGCGGGACCCACUAGAUGUCAUGUCUACUAGACCCAUAUCGUAGGCCUGACGGUAUAGCUUCUGCAUGUUCGCACGCCAUGCCGGUGCAUGGAUGUAACUUCACUUAAUUCCGUCAACCGUGCGCCUCCCACGACCUUCGCCUCCCUCGUGCGGUCGGGCCCUUUGAGACUUCGACCGGCUAUAAAUGAGCAAUUUUUUUUGCCUACUCCGCAUGCAUGAUACUCCCUCUGGUCCAUUUUACUCCCGUCAACCGUUUGCAAAGUGUUUGACAAAAUUUAUAAUUUUUUUGAACACCACCUUAUAUUAAUAAACCAGCCACACCAGUACACUCAUUCGAUACAAUAUUCACCACACAGGGCGGUACGUUAUUUACAAGAAUACCAUCUAAUCUAUUGUCAAAGCUAUACUUAGCGAUUCAGUGUGCCACCUUAUUGGCCGAACGGCUAAUCUUUGACAAUCUAAGAUUGUUGAUCAACUUUGAGAUGCUCAAAACUUUCAUCUUCAGGUCACGCAUAGCAGACCUGUCAUAGUCCCCCGAUGCAAGAGACGCUACCACAAAAGCGCAACCAGUCUCUAAAAUUACAGGAUUAUGAAGAGAAAUACCUAUGUAGAGACCAGCAAUGCAAGCCCUAAGCUCCGCUUCCUCCACGCUUUGACAGGCAUCAAUGAAAUCCCACGACCAAAUUUAUACAUUGAAAAUAUCAAUAUCUACAAUACUGAUUAUAAUGAGUAUAAGAACUACGUUUUAUAAUGAGUGUAAAAAUAUUGAUUUGACAUUGUGAAUGUUGAUACAUUUUUCUAUAAGUCUCGUGAAAGUAGAGGUACAUUGACUUUAGACAAAACUUAAAUGCACAAUGCAGACUAGUUCCUCCGUCCAGGUGUGUGCCAUGUCCUAUCUUGUCAUCACAACAAGGUUAGCUAUUAGAGUAACACUACCUCCCUUCUAGUUUAAAGGGCUCGAUUCAAAAAUUUCACCUACUCUUAGCAAGAUAGUAGAGGCGGUGGAAUAGUUUUUGAAGUCUGCAAAAGUACUCAACUAGUGCUGUCGUUCUUCACACAAAAAUGUGUUUACCAAUGCAUGCAUGAACACUAGUUACUCUAAGCCCCCUCUCUUCUUUAAUUCUUUGCCACAUCAGCAUGUUUGCUACUAUUCCCGUGUGCAUGAUACCAGCUAAGAUACCACCAUUAUGGCCAACCUUAAUCAUCGCAUGCAAUAAUUUAGUGCACCUUGAAAUAUGAACAUGUGUGGGGCGUCUAUGUUUUUAAUGACUUGAGACUAUACCUAGCCCGGCAUGCAAGAUGACUUAUUAUGCACCGUUCUCCAUACCUGCAGGAAGCCCGUUCGUCUCCAAAUCUUUUCCUCUCCAUGUGUGGAAACAAUAUGCCUGCCAAACUCUCCUUCUCCCUCCGGCGGUCCCACCACUCCACCCUGUGUGAAAUAAAUCUGCAUGCAUGACUCUCCUCCCCCCACGCUCGUCCAAUCCGUUGUGACCAGCAAUAUUUCCACCCCUUCACUCCCCCAUAAUUUACUCCAACAAAUAUGCCCACGUAGCUGUUACUUAACUGCAGGUGCAUUGGGUCACUGACAUAUGGGCCCAACAGGUGUUCGGCCCACCUGUCAGUCACGCAACUGGACCUGCAGUUAAGUCAGUGCAGCUCAGUCCAUAUCUUACAUAGGUGUGCCAUUGCUCGCUAUAAAUACUGCGCCUCCGACGACAUCGCUAUCUCCUCCCCCUCACGUUCACGUUCAUCGCUAUCUCCUCCCCCUCCCUCUCACGUCGACCACCAUGGCAUCGCCCCUCCCAAGCCCUAGGAGCCCCUCGCUGCACCGCGCGGACGGUCACGCGUCGCCGUUCCGUUCCUCGGCGCCACUAGUCGAGGAGGACGCGUCGGUGUUCCGCUCCUCGCCGUGACGCGAUGCGUCGCCGUUCCGUUCCUCGCCGCCACUAGUCGAGGAGGACGCGUCGGCGUUCCGCUCCUCGCCACGACGCGUCGAGGUGGACGCGUCGGCGUUCCCAAUCUCGCCAGCACGCGCGUCGGAGGACGCGUCGGCUCCCCGCUACGAGGAGAAUGCCGCGCCGCCCGCCAAGCCCCCCAGCCUUGAGGAGCUUUGGAAAGAAAUGGAUGUCGCCUUGUGGGAGGCUUUGCCUCUAGCAGAGCGCGCCAAAAUAGAGGUGGAGAAGAAGGCCGAGGAAGAGAAGCGCACCACGGAACAAGCUGCCUGGGAGGCCUAUGUCGCGUCCGAGAGAGUCUGGCAAUUGGCUCUUUGGCAGAAGGCUCGUGCGAAGGCCGUGAGGGUGGCGGAGGACGCCCGUGCCGACGCCCUGCGUGCAGUCGGGCCCAAGAGCCUCAUCUAUGCUUGGCGGUACGUGGACCGGGUGCACGCUUCCAGCGAGGCGAAGUACCUGUUGCCGCCGGAUCACCACACCGGUGAGAUCGCGCUCGCCCGCCGGCAAGCCGCCAAUCAGCACCUCGCGAGUUGCGAGGCUGAGGAAGAGGCGUUGUGUCGGUGCGCUGGGAAACGGCCGCGCACUAGGGCACUCGUGGCAAGCGCUCCUGCGAGCGCCGUGGCUUUUAGGAGGAGUAUAAUUUUUGUUUCGUAAGGCGAUCUCAUUAGUUUUGGGACGCAAAUGAUAAAUCCCGAACGUUCAGGAAUUUUUAGCAUCCUUAAUUAAGUAUGUAAAAGGGAAAGUUUGGAAACCUUGUGUAUUCGUACGCAUUUUGCAAGUACGUGCAUAUAGCACAAACUUUACUAUAUACUCCCUCCGGUCCUUUUUACUCUGCAUAUUAGGUUUGUCUGAACUCAAUCUCAUCCAACUUUGACCAAGUUUAUAUAAAAAAUUAUUAACAUUCACAUAACAACACCAAUAUCAUUAGAUCCAUCUUGGAAUAUAUUUUCAUAUUAUAUUUAUUAGAUAUUAUAGAUGCUAAUAAUUUCCAAUAUAAAUUUGGUCAAACUUAGCAAAGUUUGACUUUCGACAAAUCCAAUGUGCAGAGUAAAAAGGACCGGAGGGAGUACUAUCGCACUACACGUCUCUCUCGAUAUAUGCUUGCAGACUGUGCUACUCCCUCCGUCCAGGUCAAUAAGUCAUCUUUGGUUGUGCACCGUGACCAAGGAGGGAAGACUUGUACACCUAGACGGAGGGAGUACUACUAUUACUUAUGUACGUGCAAAUGCACGUUUUAACAUUACGAUGCGGUUUUUGUAAAAGUAGAAAAACAACACUAGUCAAGCUUGUGAAACAAUUCAAUGCAAAACAAAUGCAAAAAUGCUCGUUUGAUUGUUUACUUUUAGCUUCCUUCUCUGUCGUUAUUUCUCUGUCGUACUUUGUACGGAGUAUCUCACUGGUUGGAAAGGCAUGCAAAUUCCCAAACCGCUUCCUACACCCUGUAUCGAAUUUUUUUGCCUAACAAGUUGUGCCGUGCAAUUGGAAUUCCAACUUGAGUACUACUACUAGUAGGACUACCAGGGGCCAGUUCUUUUAGGCUUCUAGAUUAGUAAUCCCAUAACUACUACUCCCUCCGUUCUAAAUUACUUGUCUUGGAUUUGUCUAGAUACAGAUGUAUCUAGACUCAUUUUAGUGCUAGAUACAUCCGUAUCUAGACAAAUCUAAGACAAGUAAUUCGGAAUGGAGGGAGUACCUCCGUCCUGGUUUAUUGGUCCCCAUUGUAAUCUGUGUCAAAUUUUGAUCAUAAAUUUAACUAAUGAAAUGUUAGUGCAUGUCACAUGCACUACUCCAUCCGUCUAGGUGAGUAAGUCAUCUUAGGUUGUGCACCGUGACCAAGGAGGAGGAGAAAACGAGAAACGUUAAUGUUUAUUUGCUAAAUCUUUGGUCAAAAUUUAGCACAAAUUACAACGGUGAGGAAUAAACCAGGACGGAGUAGUAGUUUAGAAGCCCAAAUAAAUGAGUGAGGCGCCUUAUUGUUACUCUCCACUGUGACUAGUCUUGUGGGAAAAGCUGGGGAAGCCGCCAAAAGAACUGGCCCUAGGAGUAGUAGCUAGGGAUCGAGUGUGCGAGAUGAACCGGAGAAAGUAAAUGCAGAGAGAUGAAAUGCAAAAAAGACGGAGGGAUGUGAUGGUUGCUUGUCCGUUUAUUUUACCAGGCCACUUAUUACUGGGAGUGGUUGGGUUUUGUGAUAUGACGACUUUACAGCCGCGCCACGAGCGGGGUGAGAGGUGAGACUCCUGUGCAGCGCCGCCCUCUACACUUGUACUACAUCGGUCGUGGUUUAUUAGUCCCCCAUUGAAUUUGACUAAAGAUUUAACUGACAAAAUGUUAGUGCAUGUCAACAAAAACUAUAUCGUUGGAUUCGUAUUUGAACAUAGUUUUGAAUGAUAUAAUUUUAGGUGACAUGCAUCAGUAUUUAUCAUACUAUAUAUAAUGUUAGUUCAAUUUUUGGUCAUACUAAUCUAUAGUAGUAAGGUGCCCGUGCGUUGCACCGAAGAGUGAAAUGCAUUGAUCGGGGAGUUGUUUAUUUUGACAAAGGAUGUGGGGGUCAUCUCAUGUGUAACGGGUAUCGAUAGGUUUCUUCGGAUAUUAUCUCAUCUCUAGAGCUCACAAACAUCCGGGUGAAAUAGAUAAAAAGGUAUCUUUUGCAAACAAAAGCGUUCAACUGUUCAACCUGCAUCCAAAACUUGUGAAGAAAUAACACUUAUUGUGCUUUGCAAGAAAUGAUCUUUAAGAAUUAGUUUUUGAGUAUCGAUUGUUAUACAUGUUGGCUACAGAUGACAUGGCACUUUCUUAUAGUCAACAGUUGGCUAUACUAUUAAGUAAUAUUAACUAUGCCCUUAUACACCUAGACGGAGGGAUUAAAUCAGGAUGACUUGCAAGGGGGCAGAGGAGAUGUAAGAAAUGGUUCAUCGUAAGUCUUUCACCAGUACUGUAGUAAAAAUUCAUAGAUGGAAGAUUCUAGACUAAACCAUAAACGGAUACACUUUUAUUCAUGCACGAUACUCCAAUAGACCAAGAUCCUGCAUGGAAGUAUCCACAUGCUUAGACAACGGAUUACAUUGAGCGAAGACUAAUGAUCAACAUUUAACUUGAUAAUGCGUAAUUUUUUUAGAAGAACAGGGAGGCUCCUCCCCGGCUCCAUUAUCAAAUGAAACCCAAAGUGUCUUACAUCAGCUCACUGAGAGGAGCAGUUCAAAGGAAGGACUGCGGCGAAAGCCACUCAAGUUUAGCGACAAGCUUACAGAAUCAAAAGCGGCAAAGACACGAGCCAUAAGCGCCCACACACACACUACAUGUUUUCUAAGUGCACUUGAUAAUGCAUAUGUCCAGGUGAACCUCCUUGGAGUCCCCGUGCACCGCGUCGGCGGGUAAAGGAUGCCAUGGGUUUUCCAAGUCCACAUUGGCGGGAUAGUCCCAGCUCCCCAGAGUCCAAGUCCGUCCGAUGAGGCCGGUGUCGCCGCCCACGCAAUCCGGAGGGGUAGUAACAGUGACCACGCACCCGUACAUCUGCCUCGUGUCAGUGUCAGCGUCAGCGGCGACGCCCCUGACGCACGUUACAGAGAUGGGGCGGCGGCCUACGCGGGCCUCGCCGGUGCCCACGAUCAAGAGGAAGACGCUGUCGUCCUCCUCCGAGACUAGCAGGCGGCGGUGAUCCUCCAGCGACUCCGGCAUGGUGAACCGGUAGCACGUGUCAUACUUGAUGUUCUCCGCCAAGGGCCAGCAGUGACCGCUGCACGCAUCCGUGAGGUGAUGCACCAUGUCCGCCGGCGAGCCACAAAACGGCAUCGGGCACUCAUAGUAGUGGACGAAGGGCUCCUUGGAGGCAUCGACCAGGCCGUCCAUGAAACGGGAGUGGCUGUAGGGGACGUUGCGCCAGUUGAAUAUAUGAGCAAGUUACUACGAGAUUUAAUCCGAAUAAGCACAAAAUAAAUCAUGACGGCUAUAACAGAGAUGAAACUAAUCAUGUGGACUAGCAUAGUAGUAGGAUACAGAGUAGAAACAUGAAUUCUACCACGAUUUCGAACAGGAAGGACAGAAACACAUACGGUGCAACGGGAGCAGCACCGUUGGCGUUGAGGUUGUCGCCCAUGUCAUUGAGGAAGAGGUUGCCGAGGUCGGGGAAGAAGUCGUCGUCGGUGAAGUCGUGGCUGCCAGCAGUCGCGAGAGUGCGCUCCCCAGAUUUCAACAGCGCCCGCCGAAUGGAGCGCAGGAGGGGUGGCUGUAGGGGACGUUGCGGCCGCCGAAUGGAGCGCAGGAGUAGCACAUGAAGCAGUAGAUGGUGUCCUUACUAGUACUCCCUAGUCUCUAUCUAUCUAUAUCUAUAUAUAUCUACUCUUAUAGAAAACCGAGUUGGUGAUGAUGGUAUGCCUGCCAUCUUGUAAUAUAGACGUCCGAUCUAUAUCUGACGGAUAGAAAGCCAACUAUGACAAUUUUACAAAAGAUACCCGCACCUCUCUCCACAUUUACAGAUAAGGCCUUGCCUCGUUCCUCCUUAUCUCCCACGACCUCGUGCUCCUCCCUAUGUCUCUAUCUCUACUACUUUUCUUUGUUUUUUAUAACAAAUCGAAUAGUGCUGCGUCGUCUACUGCACGCCCGGCUGAACACGCCUCGUCGCCUCCAUCAUCACCAACCGAGUCUUUUAUAGGAGUAGGAGUAGGAGUAGAGAAAAAACCGAGUUGGUGAUGAUGGUGUGCCGUGCAAUGCACGUGCAUCUUGCUAUUUUUUUGCAUAUAAGUCCAAACACCACGUAGACACGGUCUUUGAGCACGGUUCGUAGUCGUUCCACGCUCGGGCAUUGAAGUUUGUAACUAUUUUAGAUUAGAAUAUACUACUACAGCUCCGGUGCUAGUAGUAGAGCAGAGUCCUACUCUACUACUCUACUCUAGCAAGCUAGGGCAUAGUACUGUAGUAGGUACUAUAGGGAGUACCAGUACUGUGAUCACUCAAGCAAGUUGUCUGGCAUCGAUAUGACCCUACGCUGCUGGUAUGUGUCUCGUAAGUCAAGCGGCGUGCUGUAGUCAUCAUCACCUGUCCACUUCCCGCAGCGCAUAUUCGCUUCUCCAUCUUUGUCCGCACAUAAUCUCGUCCAAGCUUCCAUCCCCGCUGGAAGCUAAGGCGNNNNNNNNNNNNNNNNNNNNNNNNNNNNNNNNNNNNNNNNNNNNNNNNNNNNNNNNNNNNNNNNNNNNNNNNNNNNNNNNNNNNNNNNNNNNNNNNNNNNNNNNNNNNNNNNNNNNNNNNNNNNNNNNNNNNNNNNNNNNNNNNNNNNNNNNNNNNNNNNNNNNNNNNNNNNNNNNNNNNNNNNNNNNNNNNNNNNNNNNNNNNNNNNNNNNNNNNNNNNNNNNNNNNNNNNNNNNNNGCAGAACCGAGCACCGUCCGCCGAAAGAGUGGCUGGAAUUCGCUCCCACAGAGGUAAUCAAGCUCAUUGUUUCGCGUGUGGACAAUCUCAGUACCAUGCCACUCGUCGCGUGCUCGUCGGGGCUGUACCGUUUACUCAAAGCCCUCAGGCCGGAGCUUUUUAAGCCAGCUCCUUGCUUGCUGAUGCCGCCUGAUCUUCAAAAACGGCGUGUCACGCAGCAUAACGAUCAUAGGGUGGCGAGCAACAACCCCCUUCACUGCGAUCCGAUCCCCGUCAGCCUCAGCUACAUUAACGGUAUGUACUGGGUCGGCAUGAACACGUCUUGGAUGGUGCUCGUCGACGGUCGCGGCAGCUGGAUGCUCGUGGAGGUCUACACCCGGCGAUUGAUCCCCCUUCCUUCGAUUAACACUGCACUGCUUUGGCACCGCGACCCAGAAUACUCGGAAUCUUACAGUAGCCAACAUGAUACCAAGUUUGAUUUGCUCAAGGUUGUAAUCUGCCAAGUGCCCACAAGAUCUGCGAAUUAUAAAGACUUCAGGCUAAUUGCGUUCUUCAACCGUGGUCUCGCCUAUCUGUCAGGUCACUGCAGUAAGUGGAUAAAUCUGCACGUCCAUCACAGGAUCAUACAUCCUCCAUGGUUCUCUGAUGCCAUUGAACACAAGGGCUUCAUUUACGCUGUCAACUCCUUCUAUGGCUGGAUGUAUUGCUGGCCUACUCCAGUCAUCGCUACAAACGGCUGUUACAGCAGUAUGCUACUUUCCUAUGAUAUCAUGAUGGCUUGCUUAUAUUACUGUCAACAUUUACUGAAAAAAUAUUCAUGCUCAUAACAUGCUGUUCUUAAGAUUGACUAAAUCAAGAGCCCUUUUUCAUUUGACUCCAACUUGAUAUGAUGUUGUAGGCCGCCUGGUGUCCCUACCCUUCCUAAUCCCAGAACCUUUCAAAGAAAAGCGGCAUGGCAGUUGCAGGUGGUUCCUGGCUCGAUCAGACGAUGGCGAAAGAUUGAUGAUCGUUCGCACAUACCGGACGUGUUGUUUCGCGGAGUACAAUCACAAUCACUGCAAGGUCUUUGAGGAGGAUCUCUGUCGGAGUAAUUGGACACGGGUAUCCCGAAGACGGCAAGACAAUAUUUCAAGACAUCGGGGCUAGCAAAGCCCCUCAGUCUGACUGCCCGGCCGCUCCUGCCGGCUCCCCGUCCGACUGCUCCACCUGGCCGGCUGCCAGCUGACCGACUGCGCCGACUAGCCGGCUGCCGACUGCAGUCCGACCCGGCAUCGACAAGACCCCGACGAGACGGCCAUACCACGGACAAGACAACCGUACCGCAACACCGUCAUGUAUAGUGUCACUUGUCCCCUGGCACUAUUCAUGAAGUGACCUAGGGGACAAGCAUGACAUGCACCAUGCCUUGCUCCCAUACCUCCACUUAGCUUAGAUACAAAGCUACCCUCUCCUAUAAAAGGAGACACACAUCCAUCCAUCCAUGCAUGGACUCACACGCACACAACAAGCAAGCUAGCUAGCAAGAGAGCUAGCUAGCCAUCCAUCCAUCCAUUCCCACGAGCAAGCAUGCCCAAGCACCACAUGCGGCCAUGCUCAUGGCCGACCACUAAAGCAUGCUUUGUGCAUGCAUAUAUGGAGCCAGAUGCCCAUGGCACUGCCCCCAGAUACAGCUCUAGGAGCACUUUGUACUGCCCGAUGUACACCCCAGAUAUAUAUACUCAGACAUGCAGGAGUAGGGGUAUUAUCUCUCCGGAGAGCCCCGAACCUGGGUAAACUAGCGCGUGCUACUCGCUUACUCGCUCCCGGUCCUAUCAGCAGCAGUCUUACCCUCACACAAAGCCCUUGUGGCAUCUGUCGCCUCACACCGCCCCCGUGAGAAUACCACGACAGUUGGCGCUCACCGUGGGGCGGUACUAUGCUACCGCGCUGCUGCUGGUUUCGCAGUCCGGGCGGGACCAUCUUCGCCAUCGCCACCGCGGCGUCGCGCCGUCCCUCUGAUAGCGGUCGAGGGCUCGAUAUCGACACGCCCUCGGAAUGGCCGCGAGGGGCGGCGCGUCCUCGCCGUCGGGACCAUCUUCGUCAUCAUCACCGUGGCGUCGCGCCGUCCUUCCGAUAACGGUCGAGGGCUCGAUAUUGACACGCCCUCGGAAUGGCCGCGAGGGGCGGCGCGUCCUCGCCGUCGGGACCAUCUUCGCCAUCACCGCCGCGGCGUCGCGCCGUCUCUCCGGUAUCGCUCGGGGGCUCGACUUCGACCCGCCCCUGGAGCGGCCGCGCGGGACGGCGCGUCUUCGCCGUCGGCCUCGCCUUCGCCAUCAUCGCCGCGGUGUCGCGCCGUCUCUCCGGUAGCGCUCGGGGGCUCGACUUCGACCCGCCCCCGGAGCGGCCGCGCGGGACGGCGCGUCCUCGCCGCCGGCUUCGCCGCCUUCAAGACAGAUAAUAGCCAGAUAUUGCCUAUACACUACCCAUACAAACACUGACCAUGCCCAGACAGUGGCGUUGGUUUGCUGCUGCUAUCUCCACGCUGCUCACUCUGCUCCGCGCGUUCCGCCUGAAACCACCGCGGCCGUGGCAAAAUCCAGUAGCGCCGGUGCCGCGUACCUAGCUCCUCCGCCUCCUUGCUCCUCCUGAGCAGCUGCUGCCCACGAGCUCCUCCCGCGCCUGGCCUUCCUCCGAGCGCGUGCGCCGCUCGGCCCCUGCUUGCGGCGUCCGGCUGCAGCCCCGCCUGCCGCUUGCUGCUGCGUCCCCAUGGCCGCGCAGCCUGCCGGCGCCGGGUCCGCUUGCCGCUUCUCGCCUGGGCCGGCUCCGCGCUUGGCCACGCGCCUCUUCGGCCGGGUUCGCUCGCCGCCCUUCGCCCAAGCCGGCCACCUGGGCAGUCCUGCGCCCGACUUCGCCCUCGCGCCGGCUGCCCAGUUCCCGGACGCAGGCGGCCCAUCGCCNNNNNNNNNNNNNNNNNNNNNNNNNNNNNNNNNNNNNNNNNNNNNNNNNNNNNNNNNNNNNNNNNNNNNNNNNNNNNNNNNNNNNNNNNNNNNNNNNNNNNNNNNNNNNNNNNNNNNNNNNNNNNNNNNNNNNNNNNNNNNNNNNNNNNNNNNNNNNNNNNNNNNNNNNNNNNNNNNNNNNNNNNNNNNNNNNNNNNNNNNNNNNNNNNNNNNNNNNNNNNNNNNNNNNNNNNNNNNNNNNNNNNNNNNNNNNNNNNNNNNNNNNNNNNNNNNNNNNNNNNNNNNNNNNNNNNNNNNNNNNNNNNNNNNNNNNNNNNNNNNNNNNNNNNNNNNNNNNNNNNNNNNNNNNNNNNNNNNNNNNNNNNNNNNNNNNNNNNNNNNNNNNNNNNNNNNNNNNNNNNNNNNNNNNNNNNNNNNNNNNNNNNNNNNNNNNNNNNNNNNNNNNNNNNNNNNNNNNNNNNNNNNNNNNNNNNNNNNNNNNNNNNNNNNNNNNNNNNNNNNNNNNNNNNNNNNNNNNNNNNNNNNNNNNNNNNNNNNNNNNNNNNNNNNNNNNNNNNNNNNNNNNNNNNNNNNNNNNNNNNNNNNNNNNNNNNNNNNNNNNNNNNNNNNNNNNNNNNNNNNNNNNNNNNNNNNNNNNNNNNNNNNNNNNNNNNNNNNNNNNNNNNNNNNNNNNNNNNNNNNNNNNNNNNNNNNNNNNNNNNNNNNNNNNNNNNNNNNNNNNNNNNNNNNNNNNNNNNNNNNNNNNNNNNNNNNNNNNNNNNNNNNNNNNNNNNNNNNNNNNNNNNNNNNNNNNNNNNNNNNNNNNNNNNNNNNNNNNNNNNNNNNNNNNNNNNNNNNNNNNNNNNNNNNNNNNNNNNNNNNNNNNNNNNNNNNNNNNNNNNNNNNNNNNNNNNNNNNNNNNNNNNNNNNNNNNNNNNNNNNNNNNNNNNNNNNNNNNNNNNNNNNNNNNNNNNNNNNNNNNNNNNNNNNNNNNNNNNNNNNNNNNNNNNNNNNNNNNNNNNNNNNNNNNNNNNNNNNNNNNNNNNNNNNNNNNNNNNNNNNNNNNNNNNNNNNNNNNNNNNNNNNNNNNNNNNNNNNNNNNNNNNNNNNNNNNNNNNNNNNNNNNNNNNNNNNNNNNNNNNNNNNNNNNNNNNNNNNNNNNNNNNNNNNNNNNNNNNNNNNNNNNNNNNNNNNNNNNNNNNNNNNNNNNNNNNNNNNNNNNNNNNNNNNNNNNNNNNNNNNNNNNNNNNNNNNNNNNNNNNNNNNNNNNNNNNNNNNNNNNNNNNNNNNNNNNNNNNNNNNNNNNNNNNNNNNNNNNNNNNNNNNNNNNNNNNGCCCGGCCGGCUCCGCUCCCUGUGGUACCCGCUCGCCGGCUCCGCUCCGACGAGCCGCCCCCGUCCGACCGGCUCCGGGUGGCCGCCCCGUGCCCGGCCGCGGCGCCUCCGCCUCCUGGUGGCCGCUGCUCCAGGCCGGCCCCUGCGCCCGCUCGUUCUGCUGCGUGCUGGAGACAGCCGCUAAAAGAAGAAAGGAGUAGAAGCCGGCUGGGAAGAAAAGUCAAGGGCCGACUGCCCAAAAAAAAAGAGAAAGAGGUCGGCUGGGACAAAGAGAAGAAAAGAAACACCCGUCCGGAUAAUUCGUCCGCCUGCUUCGCCACUCGGACGGUCACUCGUGAUCCGCGCUGUCGGCAGUGCCAAGCCGGCUGGUCUGCCUCCGGCUCCGACGGCACACCCAGCGGGUGCGCUGACGCGCCCCCGCGAGGAGAGAAGACAAAGCAGUUGCUGGAGAUCCGGCCCGACUGCUCAGCAGUCGGCCCGAAUCUCGGGGGCUACACCCAGCGGGUGCGCUGACGCGCCCCCGCGAGGAGAGAAUACCAAGCAGUUGCCGGAGAUCCGGCCCGACUGCUCAGCAGUCGGCCCGAAUCUCGGGGGCUACACCCAGCGGGUGCGCUGACGCGCCCCUGCGAGGAGAGAAGACAAAGCAGUUGCCGGAGAUCCGGCCCGACUGCUCAGCAGUCGGCCCGAAUCUCGGGGGCUACACCCAGCGGGUGCGCUGACGCGCCCCCGCGAGGAAGAAGGAAGACAAAGUCGCUGCCGGAAGAUCCGGCCCGACUGCUCAGCAGUCGGCCCGAAUCUCGGGGGCUACACCCAGUGGGUGCGCUUGCGCGCCCCCACGGAGACAAGAGAAGAGUUUCGUCCGGCCGCCAGCAGCCGGCAGAAGAAGAAAAAGGGCGCCGCAAGACACCUCGCCGCCUGGCCGGUCGAGCCUGACCGGCCGGGACCCUCCUUCGAGCGACCGGGGGCUCGAAGGCUACACCCAGCGGGUGCGCCGGCUCUCUUCGGCAAACUCCGCCUCGGCUACACGAAAACCAAUGUGAGCUCCUCACCCGCAGAUUUUUUCACCGCGAGAGCACGGAUAACCUCGAGCGAUGCUCGGGGGCUAUCUCCGCAUUUCAUUACAGUUGCAUCACUGUUCGCCCCGGCGCCAGCCAGAGUUGGCCCGGGGGCUGGCCGCUUGGCCUGAGACGUUAGUUCCCGCAGACGGCUUAGUAGCGUGCGCGGUAUGAAAAGCCCACUCUUAGUCACAGACCGCAGAGCGGCUGUCCGACUGGCAAGAGUGAACGCUGAAGGCCACCCACGCGAAAAACGUCCGGGAAGAAAAACGCUUCGGGCGACCCGACCGUUUUCUUUAUGAGUAUCUACUCGGUUAAAUUCGCUCCCAGAGUCUGAGUAUUGUACACUCCACUCCGCGGCCCACUCUCAGCCACAGACCGCAGAGCGGCUGUCCGGCAAGCGAGAGCACAAGCAAAAGAGCGGAGGGAACAUGAAAAAGAUUGAAGGGGGCUCGGACGAAACCGAGUCGGCACCCUCUGCAUAAAACUUGCAGUGCUAAAAAGCAAUCAUUUGAUAUAUCUGCAUUGACUAACUUUGUCUUUUGCAUGAUCAUUUCCAUGAACACUCGCGAAAAAACCUCCGCCCGACUUUGCCAAGUUGCCCGGAGGCUUGGGGGCUACUGUCGGAGUAAUUGGACACGGGUAUCCCGAAGACGGCAAGACAAUAUUUCAAGACAUCGGGGCUAGCAAAGCCCCUCAGUCCGACUGCCCGGCCGCUCCUGCCGGCUCCCCGUCCGACUGCUCCACCUGGCCGGCUGCCAGCUGACCGACUGCGCCGACUAGCCGGCUGCCGACUGCAGUCCGACCCGGCAUCGACAAGACCCCGACGAGACGGCCAUACCACGGACAAGACAACCGUACCGCAACACCGUCAUGUAUAGUGUCACUUGUCCCCUGGCACUAUUCAUGAAGUGACCUAGGGGACAAGCAUGACAUGCACCAUGCCUUGCUCCCAUACCUCCACUUAGCUUAGAUACAAAGCUACCCUCUCCUAUAAAAGGAGACACACAUCCAUCCAUCCAUGCAUGGACUCACACGCACACAACAAGCAAGCUAGCUAGCAAGAGAGCUAGCUAGCCAUCCAUCCAUCCAUUCCCACGGGCAAGCAUGCCCAAGCACCACAUGCGGCCAUGCUCAUGGCCGACCACUAAAGCAUGCUUUGUGCAUGCAUAUAUGGAGCCAGAUGCCCAUGGCACUGCCCCCAGAUACAGCUCUAGGAGCACUUUGUACUGCCCGAUGUACACCCCAGAUAUAUAUACUCAGACAUGCAGGAGUAGGGGUAUUAUCUCUCCGGAGAGCCCCGAACCUGGGUAAACUAGCGCGUGCUACUCGCUUACUCGCUCCCGGUCCUAUCAGCAGCAGUCUUACCCUCACACAAAGCCCUUGUGGCAUCUGUCGCCUCACACCGCCCCCGUGAGAAUACCACGACAAUCUCAGCUUCUCUGGGCCUUCAGGAAUUUUUGACUGGAGGCUGGUAAGUAGCCUUGGUGCACGCUCUCUGUUUGUCAGACUGAAUUAUCUGAUUAACCAGGAGAUAACCGACAGCAAGGAUCAUGAUGGCAGCGUGGUUUCGUUCAUCAGGCAAAACUGUGUGUACACAGCGUACCAUGCGUCUCUGCAUGCACCAUACCCUGAUAUGUGCCGCCACGCUCUGCAGCCCAAAGUAGGAGAGAGGGUCGCAAGUAUCAGACUUCGACCUACUGGCUGGAGUUUCCCCCGUCAGGCACCCAUCUGGUUCAAGCCGUCAGCCAAUCUCCACAGCUUAAUAUAUAGUAACGUCUAACUGAGCCAGUUAGUUAGAUGCGUACACUUGGUGUAGUAGGAUCUUUAUUUAGUUUGAUGCAUACACUUGUUCUUUUUUGGUAGCCCUUUUGUAAUGAUGGAUGAUGUUUGGUUUGGAAGAGAGAGCUGCGUCUUCACUCUUCUGGCCUGCUUACUGCUUGUGUUGCACCCCCAGCCCUGGUUGCUGCUCCUGCUGUUUUCAAUGUACAAUCAGUAGUAUAUUACGUCUGUUGGUUGAAUAAAUGUGUUGUUAGAAUGACAAACACAAUGUUUUGGAAGUCGUUGCACAGUUCGAUCCUUUAGUGCCCCGUACCAUAUGUAGCUCAUACUAUUUUUCGUACGGAACACAUUUUCCACUUGUUAAUAAGAUGCAGCCCACUGAUGAAGGCCCAAUAGAGAAGCCCAUAAUUAACUGGAAGGGAGGCUCUCACAUGAAUCCGGCCCAGGUACAUGUUCAUGGUCCCCUAAACAUAAAUAAGUAAAUAAAUAAAUAAAGCUAAAUGCUCAUGCACCAGUUCUUUGGGAAAAUAGGUAGCCCAGUAUUUCUUUUUGAAGAAUACCCAAGCUAGGCCUAUUUGUUUUCUCCGAAUUACUGGGCUGCAAAUCUUUCAAGUCGAGGAGGGGUGCAUUCCGUCAUGGCCAAAGAGUAUGGUCAAUGUCUGUUAAAAGUAAUAUCAAAAGGGGUUGAAAAUUCCAAAAAAAUUAUAGCAAAUGGGAUAUUAGUUUUUUUUUGUUUUUGUUCUUCACUGAUAUCUUAUACGUAUUUCAUUGAUUUAACAUGACAUAGUACUAAUUUAUUUUUAAAUUAUGGCUAUUAAUUUUUGGAUUAAGAAUAUUUCGUUCCCCAGCAAAAAUUUGCGAAUUUUCAAAAUUUCCCACAUAUUUAGUUAAUUUUUUGACACUGGUACUGACCAGAAAAUGGCCAGCAAUUCUAAAAAUGGAAAACAGGCUGCAAUAAAUUCCAUAUGAAUUAGAAAAUGAGUAAAAAUUAUAAAAAUAAUAGCAAAUGGCUUACUUGUUUAUGCAAGGCUUUGUCAGUGAACACACGAUUCUAGCAGCAGCGACUGUUGGAUGUCCAUCCAACAACCGACGUGCUUCUUCAAUCUCUGAUCUUCCUGCUCCAGCCGCCUAAACUAGCACCGGCGGGACUGCCUGCUCCCUCCUCUUGUGGCCCGCUGUGAUGCCGCGCAGGCUUCCCCGACCCACCCUACUCCCUCCGCUGGCCUGGCCGCACGUAAUCAACUGCCUCCUUAUUACGUGAAAAAAAAUGAUUCCUCCCACUAACAUCUGGGGCGCACCGGUUGGGAGGCUGACCUGUGGGCCUACUACGUUGACGCGUACGCAGGGCUUGUCAACUUAGUCAACAAACGAUUCUAGCAGCAGUAACCGUUGGAUUUGAAUCGAAUGGUCCUGCUGCUUCUUCAAUCGCUGCUCUUCUUGCACCAGCCGCCCAAACCAGCGCCGGGGAGACCGCCUGCUCCUGCCUCCAGUGGCCGGCUGUGCUGCCGUUGAGGCCUCAUCGCCCCCUACUACUCCCACCGCUAGCCAGGCCCUGCGGCGAUGGCAGCCUCACACCGCAGCCGAACCAGUGAACCCUCGUACUCCUCUCCGCGUGGGCAUCCACUGCCGCGUCUUCCCCGGCUCCGCGUCAUCCCCUUCCUAGGCCUAGCCGUCGUCCACCGCCUUGGUGCUCUCGGCGCGGCGUGGUCAAUGUGGUCAACGACAUUCCAUCGGAAGAGUACUGUACGUGGAGAGGCUGAUAGCUGGGUCCACGGCCACAACCCAGUUUUUUUGUGAUUUGCCAAGUAAGUCGCUUUGUCAGGCCUGUUGGGCUGCAAAUCUUUCAAGACGAGGAGAGCUUUCAUUCGGCUGGCCGAGAAAAUGGCCCAUCAGUAAUGAGAAAUGUGUUGUACAUUUUUAAAACACAUCAAACCGGCAAUUAGUUUCAAAUAUCUUUUUUUCAUUUCGAGAUUUUAAAUUACAUUAAUUUUUAUGCGCGGAGAAUUUGUUGGAUUUUAUAUUGAUAUAUAUUUAUUUUUAAAAUCAGUUUGAAUGUGAGUCGAAAUUUCGGGAUUAAAAACAGUUCGGACCGCACCGAAAUAUGCAAAAUUUCGUAUAAUUUUUUAACCGUGGCCACAAUAUGGGCUGUAAUGCUAACAAAAAGAAUAUGGGCUCCAAAAAAACCUUAAGAAUUAGCAAAUGGGCUGUAAAUUAUUAGAAAUAAUGGCAGAUGGGCUAUAUGCUGUUUUCCAAAGAUUUGAGGUUUUCCUAAAAAAAGGUUGACGCACAAGCAGUGACUGUUGGAUGUCCAUCCAACGGCCGUCGUGCUUCUUCAAUCUCUACUCUUCCUGCUCCAGCCGCUCAAACAAGCACCGGCGGGACUGCCUGCUCCCUCCUCCCCGCGGCCGGUGUGCUGCCGCGCAGGCCUCACCGCCCCACCGUACUCCCAUCGUUGGCCUAGCCAUACCUCUACUCACCCACACCUGCUGUUAUUCUCCGGUGACGGCAGACGUACCAGUAAACCCUCGUACAGUCGUACUCCCCUCCGCGUGGGAAACAACUUCCGAGUCUUCCCUGCCUCCGUGUCGUUCCCUUCCUAGGCCUCGCCGUCGUCCACCGCCCUGGUGCUCUCGGCGCGGCCUGGUCAACGUGGUCAAUGACCGACAUGCAUCUGAACUGGACUGUACAUGGAGAGGCUGACAGCUGGGUCCACGGCCGCACGCAAGGAAAUGCCUCCUUAUUACGCGCAAAAUAAUGAUUCCUCCACCUGACAUCAGGGACCCACCGAAAGGGCCUCUGUAUUUCACAAAAAAAAAAGUUACCGCCGCUGACAGCUCAGACCCACCAGUUAUAUCUUCGCACGCAAGGAUGUGCCUCCUUAUUACGCACAAAAAAUGAAUACUCCCCCUGUUAGCUGGGACCCAGUAUAGUGGCAGGCUAACUUGUGGGCCUACUAAGUUGACGGGGACGGAGGGCUUUGUCAACUUAGUCAAUAUGCACGAUUCUAGCUCCAGUGACCGUACAAUGUCCAUCCAACGGCCGUAGUGCUUCUUCAACCUCUGGUCUUCUUGCUCCAACCGCCCAAACCAGCGCCGGUCAUGUCUCGUGCUCCUGCCUCCCGUGGCCGGCUGCGAUGCGGCAGGAGCCUCACCGCCCCCUACUACUCCCACCAUUGGCGAGGCCAUCCCUCUACUCACCCACACCCCCUGUUAUUCUGCGGCGACGGCAGCCUCACACCGCAGGGAACCAGUGAACCCUCGUACUCCUCUACGCGUGGGCAUCCACUGCCGCGUCUUCCCCGGCUCCGCAUCGUCCCCUUCCUAGGCCUCGCCGUCGUCCACCGCCCUGGUGCUCUCGGCGCGGCGUGGUCAACGUGGUCAAGGAAUGGCUUCCAUCGGACGUGGACUGUACGUGGAGAGGCUGACAACUGGGUCCACGGCCGAAGCAAGGAAGUGCCUCCUUAUUACGCGCAAAAUAGUUAUUCCUCCACCUGACAGCGGGGACCAACCGGACGGGCCACCGUAUUUCGUGAAAAAAGCGUUUCCCCCCUGACUGCUGGGACCCACCAGCUACACUUUCGCACGCAAGGAAGUGCGUCCGGGCAAAAAAAACAAAAUGAUUCGCCCCCCUGACUGCUGGGACCCACCAGCUACAUCUUCGCACGCAAGGAAGUGCGUCCGGGCAAAAAAAAUGAUUCGCGCCCCUGACUGCUGGGACCCAUCAGCUACAUCUUCGCACGCAAGGAAGUGCCUGACAGUCGGGACCCACCUGGUCGAAGCGUACGUAGCGUUGUCAUUCUGGUCGCGAACGUGUACGUACAUACUGGUCGUCGUAGAGGCGCGCACGUGUCGUAGUAGAGGCGCGCACGUAGCAUGUACACGUACGUAUAGCGGUGAGGGUGCAAGAAAGAAAAUACGGCCACGUACGUACAUACGGGCAGGGUCUCGAACGCCUACUCGCGCAUAACCGACAUGCUCGACUUCGACUCCGAAGACAUCGACGGUAUGGACACCGAUGCAGGAGACGACCAAGACCCAGCGCCUCUAGGGCACUGGAAGGCCACCUCAUCAUACGACAUAUACAUGGUGGACACCCCAAAAGAAGGGAAUGGCGAUGGAACAACGGAGGAUGACCCCUCCAAGAAGCAGCCUAAGCGCCGGCGUCAGCGGCGCCGCUCUAAAUCCCGCCAAAGCAAAAACGGCGAUUCCGGCACGGGAAAUAAUAACACCCCGGACAGUGUCGAAGACAACCCCCUCCAGCUGGAUUUAGCACAGGAGGAUGGAGAGACCAGCCCUCAUGAGAGAGCGGCAGACAGAGAGGUAGAGGACGAUAAUUACAUGCCUCCCUCCGAAGACGAGGCAAGCCUCGACGACGACGAAUUUGUCAUGCCUGAGGAUCCCGUCGAACAAGAGCAUUUCAAACGCAGGCUUAUGGCCACGGCAAGCAGCCUCAAGAAAAAAUAGCAGCAGCUUAGAGCUGACCAAGACUUGCUAGCCGACAGAUGGACUGAAGUCCUGGCGGCCGAGGAAUACGAACUCGAAUGCUCCUCCAAGAGCUACCCAAAGCACAGGCUGCUAACCCGAUUAGAGGAGGAAGCACCUAAACCUACAUCACCAGCGCAUGACGCGGCCGACCGGCCACCUCGUGGCCGCGACAGAGAGGCCUCCCGGCCAUCAAUUCAAGCCGCACCCCGGCGCCGCUAUAUCAAGGCACGGGGACAUACGCCGGACCUGCGAGACAUAUUGGAGGACAAGGUAAGGCAAACAAGAUCGAUCUACGGAUCGCGUGGGCACCCCACGACACGUAACAAUAACCGUCAUGCCGGAUACGGCAAAUAUGGCCAGGCCGAACACAACAGACAAAGCUCAUUUGAGCUACGUCGUGAUAUAGCCCAGUACAGAGGCGCCGCACGCCCACUAUGCUUCACAGAUGAAGUAAUGGAUCAUCAAAUCCCCGAGGGUUUUAAACCCGUAAACAUCGAAUCAUACGAUGGCACAACAGAUCCUGCAGUAUGGAUCGAGGAUUAUCUUCUUCAUAUCCACAUGGCCCGCGGUGAUGAUCUACACGCUAUCAAAUACCUCCCACUCAAGCUUAAAGGACCAGCUCGGCAUUGGCUUAACAGCUUGCCAGCAGAGUCAAUUGGUUGCUGGGAGGACCUGGAAGCCGCAUUCCUCAACAAUUUCCAGGGCACCUAUUUGCGACCACCAGACGCCGAUGACCUAAGCCACAUCAUUCAGCAGCCAGAUGAAUCGGCCAGACAAUUCUGGACACGGUUCCUAACCAAGAUAAAUCAAAUAGUCGACUGUCCGGACGCGGAGGCCCUCGCAGCCUUCAAACAUAACAUCCGUGAUGAAUGGCUUGCCCGGCACCUAGGAUAGGAAAAGCCGAAAUCCAUGGCAGCCCUCACAACACUCAUGACCCGCUUUUGCGCGGGAGAAGACAGCUGGCUAGCUCGUAGUAAUAACAUGACCAAGAGCCUUGGUAAUUCGGAUACAAAAGACAACAAUGGCAGGUCGCGUCGCAACAAACACAAGCGCCGCAUUAAUGGCGACAAUGCAGAGGAUACGCGGCAGUUAAUGCCGGAUUCCGAGGCUCUAAACCCGGUCAGCGGAAAAAGCCAUUCAAAAGAAGUACUCCGGGCCCGUCCAAUUUGGACCGAAUACUCGAUUGCUUGUGCCAGAUACAUGGCACCCCCGAAAAACCAGCCAAUCACACCAACAGGGAUUGUUGGGUGUUCAAGCAGGCAGGCAAGUUAAGCGCCGAAAACAGAGACAAGGGGCUGCAUAGCGAUGACGAGGAGGAGCCCCGGCCGACGAACAAUAGGGGACAGAAGGGCUUUCCCCCACAAGUGCGGACGGUGAACAUGAUAUACGCAACCCACAUCCCUAAAAGGGAACGGAAGCGUGCACUCAGGGACGUAUAUGCGUUGGAGCCAGUCGCCCCAAAGUUCAACCCAUGGCCCUCCUGCCCGAUCACUUUCGAUCGAAGGGACCACCCCACUAGCAUCCGCCACGGCGGAUUCGCUGCAUUGGUUCUCUACCCAAUCAUUGACGGAUUUAACCUCACUAGAGUCCUUAUGGACGGCGGCAGCAGCCUGAACCUGCUUUAUCAGGACACAGUGCGAAAAAUGGGCAUAGAUCCCUCAAGGAUUAAACCCACAAAGACGACCUUUAAAGGCGUCAUACCAGGUGUAGAGGCCAACUGUACAGGCUCAGUUACACUGGAAGUGGUCUUCGGAUCCCCGGAUAAUUUCCGAAGCGAGGAGUUAAUCUUCGACAUCGUCCCGUUCCGCAGUGGCUAUCACGCCCUGCUCGGACGAACCGCAUUUGCAAAGUUCAAUGCGGUGCCGCACUACGCAUACCUCAAGCUCAAGAUGCCAGGCCCUCGAGGAGUCAUUACGGUCAACGGAAACACCAAACGCUCCCUCCGAACAGAGGAGCAUACGGCGGCCCUAGCGGCGGAAGUACAAAGUAGCCUCUCAAGGCAAUUCUUGAGUCUGGCUAUUAAACGUCCGGACACCGUCAAGCGCGCCAGGAGUAACCUACAAAAAGACUGCCUGGCACGUUCCGAGCAAGCGUAGCAGUGCGGCCCCGACCCCAGCCCUCGGGAAAUUGUGAAACCAGUAUUACGCGUACAUAAUUACGCUCUGGAAGUACCAUGGGCAUAAGGGGAGGGGCACAACCACGGCACGCCCAAUAUGCGGCUCAACCGCACUGGGGGCUCCAAAUUUUGUCAUUUCUUUUUUCUUCCUUUCAGGACUCCACUAUCCGGAAGGCCUGUCCGGCAGUACAAUCGCUGAACACACGAUGCAACAGCUAGGGAGGCAGCAAGCUACGUCGAACGUUCAGGUGGUCUCUUUAACGAGCUAAAUACCUGUCUUACAUAAAGUCCCGCAGUUUGCCCCUGGAGGGGGACAUGUCAAAUAAUCCCAUCUCUUGCUUAUCGCACUAUUUGUAUCGUUCUGCUUUCACAGCAGCCUUUUAAUAAACAAUACAUAGCUCAUGUCUAUUCUUGCAUUCAUUUUUUUAUGUAAAUAUGUUCAGUUAUGACAUUAUGCAACCGUACACUUUGGUACGGCCAAUACACCAGGGGCUUAAGUACCCCAGAAUAUGGGGUGAGAAGUCCGAACACUCUCAUGAGUGCGGCACCCCGAACUUAUAGCACUAUAUGCAUCGGCUCCGAAUCAUGUCUUGGGUCAAUAGUUGGGUUUGCCCGGCUCCCAUGUUUUGGUACCUUACGUUCCGCUAUAUCGGCUAAGGUAGCGCUGGGAGAACUACUGCGAUUGUGCCCCAGUUGAGCUGGGUUAAGCACCUCAUUAGAGAAAGCUAAAAUUGACCGUCAUGAUAGGGCGAGAGCCGGUCGCUGUUCGAGAGGUUUUCGAGUCCCUAAAGACUUAUGCCGCUUAGAGCGAGCAGUUGGCUUUGUCCGGCCUAGGCGUGGAUAGCGCCCCGAACUCGGUCUUCCGAAUACUAGGGGCUUCGCCGAAAUUUAAAAUUAUAGAAUUCUAUGGCUAAGUGAGAGUGAUAAAGCAUUAUAGUCUGAUUGCCUUGUUCGUUGUGCUGAGCGCCUCCCUCGAAGGACCCAAGAAUGGGAACAAGAGCGCUCAGGUUUAUCCCGAACACCCCAGCACUCGCGGCAUGGGGGUAGAAGCCGAUGACUCGCAUCUCUCAGAUUUAAUAAACGGCCGCACAGAAGGUAAUAUUUUAAAUUCAAAAAGCGUUGCUUAGCACAUAUGAACAAGUUUUCAGCGCACAGGAUAAACACGAGCGAGUUUACUCAAAUAUUACAUCUCUGGAACAUUCAUUCGCCACAAGGCGGGCACCCUUCAGGACGCCCUCAUAAUACAUCUCGGGCCUGCGAUGCUCCUUCCCCUCCGGUGGCCCAUCUGUCACUAGCUUCUCAGCAUCCAGCUUGCCCCAGUGUACUUUAGCACGGGCAAGGGCCCUACGGGCGCCCUCGAUGCACACGGAGCGCUUGAUGACUUCAAGCCGUGGACAAGCAUCCACCAGCCGCCUCACCAGCCCAAAGUAGCUCCCAGUCACGACCUCGCCAGGCCAUAGCCGGACUAUAAGGCCCUUCAUGGCCUGUUCGGCUACCUUAUGGAGCUCGACCAGCUGUUUUUGCUGGUCGCUCAAGGGCACCGGGUGUCCGGCCUCAGCAUACUGGGACCAGAACACCUUCUCCGUCGAGCUCCCUUCCUCGGCUCGGUAGAAUGCGGCAGCAUCGGACACACUGCGGGGCAGAUCUGCGAAUGCUCCUGGAGAGCUCCGGACUUGGGUAAGUAACAAGUAAUUCACUUUCACGUGCUUGCUUUGCAUAAAAAAUGCCUUACCCGCCGCUAUCUUCUUUAUCGCCUCAAUUUCCUGGAGGGCUUUUUGGGCUUCGGCCUUGGCGGAUUUGGCGCUCUCAAGGGCCGAGGCAAGCUCGGACUCUUGAGUCUUUGAGUCAAGCUCCAAUCUCUCGUGUUUCUUCGCAAGAGCAUGGAGCUCUUGCUGCACCUCCGCUACCCGUGCCUCCUGCUUUUCUCGCUCGGUGCGCUCCAUGGCCGCAUUGUCUUCGGCCUUGGACAGCGCUUCCUUCAGGGUCGCCACCUCGGUUGUGGCCCCUGUAACACUCACGUUGGUCCUGUCAUUUUUUGCAACCAGGUAUUUUUUAUAUACUAACAUCAGGUACUACUUACCUUCCUUGUCCUCGAGCUGCUUCUUGGCAAGGCCGAGCCCCUUCUCGGACCGCUCGAGGCUCUGCUUCAAUGCAUCGACCUCCGCAGUCAGUGCGGCAGAGGUCAGCAGCGCAACCUGCAUUCCCAUAUUGACAUAUUUAUGUUAGACUCCUGCAUAUAUCUUUUUAGAUCCUCAGUCCGGCUUUUCUUCCCGAACACCAAACUGAGCAUCAGGGGCUACUGUCUAUGCGGUAAUAUUUUUACAUGUUUUAAAUACAUACCUCGAAGCCUGUUAGAAGGUUGGCACAGGCUUCUGUCAGCCCGCUCUUGGCGGACUGAACCUUCUGGACCACCGCACUCAUAAUAGUGCAGUGCUCCUCGUCGAUGGAGGCGCCGUUAAGCACCUCCAGCAAAUUGUCCGGUGCCUCCGGUUGGACGGGGGUCACCGGCGUCGUAGGCUUGCCCUUCUUACGAGGGGGCCUCCUGCCGGACUCCAGAACCGCUGAAGGUUCCGGUGCGGCGUCCGGCCCAGGGCCGGACUUAGAGCCCUUUGGGGUUUUAUCCCCUUGGCGCCUGGAAUCCGGAAGGUCGCCUUGCGGCGCCUCCGGGACUACCUCCUCAUGGCUCGUCCCCUUUUGGGACUCCACCUCGGCGUCGUCCGUGGGGCGAGGGGAGGUAGCAGUCGGAAGUGAAAGACUAUUCACAUCCGACGAAUCCAGGGAUCCGCUCGACGAAGCGUCGAGCUGGGCCUUGGGCGGACUGCAUGAUUAUGUUCGGCGUUAGAAGAUAAUGUGCCGUAAAGGAACACCAUGAGUUAUUCUGGUAUCCGGAUACUUACGAUUUCGCCAAGGGCUUGGCCCUGGAUGGCCACUCCUCUUCGCCGUCGUCGGUGUUGGUGGAGUAGUCCGGGAGAAGGGUUUUUCCCUUCUUGGACCCUCCGGCCCCCCUAGUCGGGGUGGCCUUCCUUUUCUUUCCUCCCCACGUUGGAGGGGGAGAGGCCUCUUCUUCCUCCUCCUCGCCUUCAUGGGAGGAGCGCGCUUCGGAGUCAUCGGACGAGGAAUCCGACACUACCAGGCGCCGGGAACUCUUUCGAGUUCCCGUGGCCUUCUUCUUGGCCUUCUUCUCCGGCACCACGUGAGGUGCCGGGACCAGCAGCUUCGCCAAGCGGGCAUCUGCUGGGCCUUCGGGCAAAGGAGCCGGAUAGUCGAUCUGUCCGGACUUCUUCUGCCAGUCCUGUCAAAGGAACGGAGCUUAGAUCCCGCAUAGAAUCAAACUAUGAAAAACAAAUAUCCUGUGAUGGGUAAAAUAAACUUACCGCGCUGGCUUGGCGCUUCACGCAGAAUCCGCGAUCCUCGGUAGUGGGAGGGUGAACUUCGGAGCCCUUGAAUAGCACCUUCCAGGCAUCUUCGUGCGUUGUGUCAAAAAGCCUGGACAAAGUUUGGUGCUGGGCCGGGUCGAAUUCCCACAAGUUAAAAGCCCGUCGUUGACACGGGAGGAUGCGGCGGAAGAGCAUGACCUGGCCUACGGUGACGAGUUUAACCUUCUUGUCCAUCAGGUUUUGGACGUAGGUUUGGAGUCCGGUCACCUCUUCCGAAUUACCCCACGACAGGCCCGUCUCUUUCCAAGAGGUGAGCCGUGUGGGGAUGCCAGAUCGGAAUUCGGGGGCCGCUGCCCAUUCAGGGUCACGCGGCUCGGUGAUGUAGAACCACCCCGAUUGCCACCCCUUGAUGGUUUCCACAAAGGAGCCCUCGAGCCAUGUGACGUUGGGCAUUUUGCCCACCAUGGCGCCUCCACACUCCGCUUGCCGGCUGCCCACUACCUUCGGCUUGACAUUGAAAGUCUUUAGCCAUAAGCCGAAGUGGGGCUUGAUGCGGAGGAAGACCUCGCACACGACGAUAAACGCCGAGAUGUUGAGGAUGAAGUUCGGGGCCAGAUCAUGGAAGUCCAGGCCGUAGUAGAACAUGAGCCCUCGGACAAAUGGGUGGAGUGGGAAGCCCAGUCCGCGGAGGAAAUGGGGGAGGAACACCACCCUCUCAUGGGGCCUAGGGGUGGGGAUGAGCUGCCCCUCAUCUGGGAGCCGGUGCGCGAUGUCGUUGGACAAGUAUCCGACUUUCCUCAACUUUUUGAUGUGCCCCUCCGUGACGGAGGAGGCCAUCCACCUGCCUCCCGCUCCGGACAUGGCUGGAGAAGGUUGAGGUGGGAAGUGCGGACUUGGGCGCUGGAGCUCGAGUGAGCGGAGAUGGGUAAGCAAAGGAGGAAGAAGGCGUAAAUGGAAAGAGUGGAUCCUUAUCCCCUUAUAUGGGCGGACGAAGCUAUGUACCCCCACCAGCCUAGUAAAACUCGCUUAUCUCCCAAGCGUCGUGAUUAAUGGCGCGGUUGGGUUACCCACGCCCGUAUUGAUGAGAAUCCCGGAAUAAGGGGACACGAUCUCUGCUUUGACAAGACGUGCCAAGGAAACCGCCUCGCUAAACGCGCUGAGGUGGGACAGUAAAACGAUUCGAAUACAGGCUUGGCCGUGGCGUGAUGUCACGCUGCGAAAUAUGUCAGCAGAUUAGAUUUAUACAAACAUUAUUCUCUCUGCGGUGGUAUGUGGAACUUAUUUUGUAGAGCCGGACACUAUCCUUGUGUUCAACAUCUUCUAUGAAGUAUUCGGAGGAGGAACCCGCCUUGCAAUGCCGAAGACAAUUUGCGCGCCGGACUCGUCGUCAUUGAAGCCUGGUUCAGGGGCUACUGAGGGAGUCCCGGAUUAGGGGGUGUCCGGAUGACCGGACAACGACCUUUGGCCGGACUCCUGGACUAUGAAGAUACAAGAUUGAAGACUUCGUCCCGUGUCCGGAUGGGACAUUCCUUGGCGUGGAAGGCAAGCUUGGCGAUACGGAUAUGUAGAUCUCCUCCCAUUGUAACCGACUCUGUGUAACCCUAGCCCUCUCCGGUGUCUAUAUAAACCGGAGAGUUUUAGUCCGUAGGACGAACAACAAUCAUACCAUAGGCUAGCUUCUAAGGUUUAGCCUCUCUGAUCUCAUGGUAGAUCUACUCUUGUACUACCCAUAUCAUCAAUAUUAAUCAAGCAGGAGUAGGGUUUUACCUCCAUCGAGAGGGCCCGAAACCUGGGUAAAAACAUCGUGUCCCUUGUCUCCUGUUACCAUCCGCCUAGACGCAUAGUUCGAGACCCCCUACCCGAGAUCCGCUGGUUUUGACACCGACAGCGAGGGCCCCUCCUGGCCCCCUUGGCCGUUUUCUUGGCCUUCUUCUCUGGCACAUCAUAAGGUGCUGGAAACAGCAUCUUCGUCAGUAAUGGGAAUUCUUGGUCUUCGGGUAGCUGAGCCGGGCAGUUAAUCCGCCCUGCUACCUCGAUCCAGGCCUGAAAACAUUGAUAGGAAGGCUUAGACUCUUUCCUCAAAAUAUGCUAGUAAAGGGUACACCUUGAAAACAUCAAAGAACUUACCGAAUUAGCCUGGUGUUUUAAGCUAAGCCCGCGAUCUUCGGUCGUGGGCGGUGGCGUCUCACCGGCCUUCAAGAGCACUUUCCAGAUUUUUUCGUGCGUCGUGCCGAAGAGCUCUAGUAGCGUCUGGUGCUUCGCCGGAUCGUACUCCCACAAAUAGCAAGUCCGGCAUUGGCACGGAAGGAUCCGACGAAUGAGCAUAACCUGGAUCACAUUGACAAGCUUGAUUUUCCUGGUUAUCAUGUUCUGGACGCACGUCUGUUGCCCAGUCAGCUUGUUCAAGGGACCCCAGGUCAGGCCCCUCUCUUGCUAGGAGGUGAGCCGCAUCAGGACUCCAGAUCGGAAUUCGGGGGCCGCCGCCCAGUUGGUGUCGCGCGGCUCGGUGAUGUAGAACCACCCCAAUUGCCAUCCCUUCACCGUCUCCGCAAAGGUGCCUGCUACGUCUUGAGCUUGCGUUGGUUUUCCUCGAAGAGGAGAGGGUGAUGCAGCAAUAGUAGCAUAAGUAUUUCCCUCAGUUUUUGAGAACCAAGGUAUCAAUCCAGUAGGAGGCUCCUCAAAAGUCCCACGCACCUACACAAACAAACAAAGAACUCGCAACCAAUGCAAUAAAGGGGUUGUCAAUCCCUUCACGUCCACUUGCGAAAGUGAGAUCUAAUAAAGAUAGUAUGAUAAGAUAAAUAUAUUUUUGGUAUUUUAUAAUAUAGAUGCAAAAAGUAAAGCUGCAAAUAAAGGUAGAUUGGAAGCAAAUAUGAUAAGAGAUAGACCCGGGGGCCAUAGGUUUCACUAGUGGCUUCUCUCAAGAUAGCAUAAGUAUUACGGUGGGUGAACAAAUUACUGUCGAGCAAUUGAUAGAAAAGCGAAUAAUUAUGAGAUUAUCUAGGCAUGAUCAUGUAUAUAGGCAUCACGUCCGUAACAAGUAGACCGACUCCUGCCUGCAUCUACUACUAUUACUCCACACAUCGACCGACUCCUGCUUGCAUCUAGAGUAUUAAGUUCAUAAGAACAGAGUAACGCAUUAAGCAAGAUGACAUGAUGUAGAGGGAUAAACUCAAGCAAUAUGAUAUAAACCCCAUCUUGUUAUCCUCGAUGGCAACAAUACAAUACGUGCCUUGCAACCCUUUCUGUCACUGGGUAAGGACACUGCAAGAUUGAACCCAAAGCUAAGCACUUCUCCCAAGGCAAGAAAGAUCAAUCUAGUAGGCCAAACCAAACUGAUAAUUCGAAGAGACUUGCAAAGAUAACUCAAUCAUACAUAAAAGAAUUCAGAGAAGAUUCAAAUAUUAUUCAUAGAUAAACUUGAUCAUAAACCCACAAUUCAUCGGAUCUCGACAAACACACCGCAAAAAGAGUUUACAUCGAAUAGAUCUCCACAAGAGAGGGGGGGAACAUUGUAUUGAGAUCCAAAAAGAGAGAAGAAGCCAUAUAGCUAAUAACUAUGGACCCGUAGGUCUGUGGUAAACUACUCACAACUCAUCGGAGGGGCAAGGAUGUUGAUGUAGAAGCCCUCCGUGGUCGAUUCCCCCUCCCGCGGAGCGCCGGCGAAGGCUCCAAGAUGGGAUCUCGCGGAUACAGAAGGUUACGGCGGUGGAAAUUGUGUUUCGUCUUCUCCCUGGAUGUUUUCGGGGUACGUAGGCUUAUAUAGGAGGAAGAAGUACGUCGGUGGACGGCCGAGGGGCCCACGAGACAGGGGCGCGCCCUCCUAUCUCGUGGAGGCAUCGGCUACUUUUUGACUUGCACUCCAAGUCCUCUAGAUCAUGUUCGAUCCAAAAAUCACGCUCCCGAAGGUUUCAUUCCGUUUGGACUCUGUUUGAUAUUCCUUUUCUUCGAAAUGCUGAAAUAGGCAAAAAAACAGCAAUACGGGCUGGGCCUCCGGUUAGUAGGUUAGUCCCAAAAAUGAUAUAAAUGUGUAAAAUAAAGCCCAUAAACAUCCAAAAGGGGUAAUAUAAUAGCAUGGAACAAUCAAAAAUUAUAGAUACGUUGGAGACGUAUCAGUGCCCUCGAGCCAGAUGACAUUGGGCAUCUUGCCCACCAUGGCGCCUCCGCACUCUGCUUGUUAGCCGCUCACCACCUUCGGCUUCACAUUGAAAGUUUUCAGCCAUAGGCCGAAGUGAGGUGCGAUGCGGAGAAAGGCCUCGCAAACGACAAUAAAUGCCGAGAUGUUGAGGAUAAAGUUGGGAGCUAGAUCAUGGAAGUCCAGCCCGUAGUAAAACAUCAGCCCGCGGACGAACGGGUGAAGAGGGAACCCCAGCCCGCGGACGAAAUGUGUGAGAAACACAACCCUCUCAUUGGGCUCUAGGGUAGGGAUGAUCUAUCCCUUGGCUGGGAGUCGGUGAGCGAUCUCCUUGGCCAGGUAUCCGGCCUCCCGGAGCUCCUUGAUGUCUUUCUUCUUGACGGAGGAGGCCAUCCACUUGCCUCCAGCUCCGAAUCCAGACAUAAUUGGAGUGCUUCUUCAAACGGAGAAGGCUAGAACUUGGGCGCUGGAGCUUGAGGACGGGAGGGCAGUGAUGGAGAGAAGGCGUGGGUGAGGAAAGGGAAUCCUUAUCCCCUUAUAAAGGCAAUGAAUAUCAAGCGCCUCCCCACUCGCCUUAAACUCGCCUUGACGGGGGGAUGACCCCCGGGUAGGCCCAAAGACGGCAAACGACGCUUCAAAACCAUCGGGGCCAGCAACGCCCCUCAAGCCGGCUCGCACUUGGCCGGGUCGCUCAACCCGGCCGGACUCCUCAACCCGGCCGCCCGGCCGGGUCCCUGUCCGGGUCCGGCUGCUCCAGCCGGCCUGCUACGAGAAGUCAACCGCUGCAUCAACCCGGCACCGACAAGACGGCCACACUGCGGCCACUGUUGCUGAUAAAGCACACACUGUUCACGCGUCACACACAACAUCAUCUACAGUGUACUUUGUCCCCCGGCAUUGAUUUAUAAAAUGCCCCAGGGACAAAACUUAGCCUAGCAUGCAAGAAAGCAUGGCUUGGAAUGUAAGCUACCCACUGUAGCUUACAUCCCAAGCACACACCCAUGCCAACAUGGCUUACACCACAAGCUAGCCACACUAUAUAAGCUAGCUCACACCCAUCCAUCCAGGGGGGACCUUCACGUGUGCACACACACUCAUACGGCCACAAGGCCACUCGCGCCACACAUGUACUAGUAGAUGAGCACAUAGCUCUCUCCUACCUGCUCUCAGAUACAGCUCCAGGAGCAACCAUGUACUGCUGUUUGCCCAAUCUCGUCCCUUGAUCUCCAAAGCAGUCUUGCCCUCACCACAAGCCACCUCGUGGCAUCUGUCAUCUCACGAACCCGCCCGCGAGAUAACCACGACAGUUUGCGCCCACCGUGGGGCAAGCUGUCGCGGAACCAUGGUCCGGGCGGGACCAUUUUUGUCAUCAUCACCGCGGCGUCGCCGUCGUCUCUCCGGUAGCGCUCGGGGGCUCGACAUCGACACGCCCCCGGUGCGACCGCGCGGGGCGGCGCGCCUCCGUCGUCGGCCUCGCCUUCUUCGUCAUCACCACCGCGGCGUCGACGCCGUCUCUUCGGCGCCGGUCGAGGGCUCGACAUCAGCCCGCCCCCGGCGCGUCGUCGUCGUCCGCCUUCGGUCUACGCGCUCACCGCUCCGGCCCUCGCUCCGCGCAACCUCCAUCCAUGUUCGUGUGCGCCGUGUCCGGCCUCCUCGACCUCCGGUGCAUCCUCACCGUCGGCCUAAACACCGCCUGCAUCGCUCCCUUUGCCGCCAUCUGCUGCAAUUGCAACUGCUUGUUGCUGCUUCUCCACUCAUACGCAAGCCAAGCAAUGGCCACGCACCACCCAGACAUUAGUCAUACACAAGUCGGAUAUUGCCCAUACAAUAGCCAGAUAAUUCCCUAUACACUUCCCAGAUAUGACUCGGGCGCUGCCCGAAUACUGCCCGUGCACUGGCUCGUUCCGGCCAGCUGCGGCGCUCACUGUCAUGCCCAUCUUCUGUUUCAUCUCCGUGGGCCUCCUCCCCGUGCUAAGUCGCAAGGAGCAGCAGUGCAUGACCUCUCAGCCGCGCCGCCUCUGCUCGUAGAAGAGCUCCCUGCUACCGCUGCUUUCUGCUGGCCCUCGCACAUCGACGCUGAAGCCCGAGCUCCGCCUCGCCUCAGCUCCUCUGUCCCAGCAGCGCCUCCACGGACCCGUCCCGCGCGCCCGGCCUGCUCCUCCCUGCAUUCGAGCGCUCGGCGGGCAUGCAGGGCCUCCUCUGCCCCGGGCACAUCCGCUCCUGUAUGUCGCCGCGACGACCGGCCCCGUCUCCUGCGUCUGCACCGCCCCGCGGCCUUCUCCUCCUCGGCGCCGCGCCCGGCGGCCCCGUCCGCGCCACCGCCCCAGCAACGUCUCCACAGACGUGCCCCGUCGUCGCGGCGACUAGCUCCCACGCCACCCAGCCUUGGCUCCCUGUUGUCGCUGCUCCGCUGCAGUCACGGCCACCAGAGGCCCCCUACGCCUGCUUCUACUCGCUCUCCACAAACGGCCCCGUCGUCGACUCCUUCGAGGUUGCGCCCGUCCGUCCGCGCCCCGCGCCCGCCGGUCUCUCCCGGGUCCGGCUCCCUGCGUCGGCCGGGCCGCCCCACGCCGGGUCCGGCUCUCGCGUCGCCCCUCGGCUGCCAGGCCCCUCGCCGCCUCCGGCUCGGUGCCCCGCCCGCCGGCCUCGUCUUCAACCCGGCCAGCCGCCUCCGCUCCCGCGCCGCGUACCGGCCGCCGGCUUCUACCGCGACCCGGCCGCCGGCUGCUGCGACAUCCCGGCCUCCUGCACUGGCUGCUGCCGUGACCCGGCCGCCGGCUGGUGCGGCAUCCCGGCCUCCUGCGCUGGCCGGCUCCGCCCGGCGACCCGGCCUGCCGGCUCUGCCCGCGCCGGCUUCGCUGACGACCCGGCCUGCCGGCUCCCCAGCAACCCGGACGCCGGCCUCUGGCGCGACCCGGCCGUUGGCUUCCGCCGCGUCCCGCUCCUGCCAGCUCAUCAGGCAGAAAAUAAAGAAAACAGAGAGAAGAAAAGUCAAGCCAGCAGCUGAAAAAAAAAGUGCCCAAGCCGGCUGAGAAAAAAAAGUGUCGCCGGAUAGAAGAAGAAAGAGAGCACGAACGAUCUAAGCUCGUUUGGCCUGCCGGCCUGCCCGCCUACUCCGACAUCGGGCUGGCUGGAGAGCAAGCCUGACGAUCCCGCCCGCCUCGACGCGGCGCCGCGUCCCGCUCUGUCGCCUAGCCGGUCGGGACCGACCGCCGGGACCCACUUCGAGCACCCGGAGGCUCGAAGGCUCCCCUCAGUGGGUGUGUCGGCGCUAGCGCCAAGCCAUGCCGGCUGUCAUUGACAACCUCCACCUCGUCUGCGUCAAAUCAAUGUGAGCUCCUCACCCGCGUAUAUUUUGCACCACGCAAGCCGGAUAACCCCGAGCGACACUCGGGGACCACCUUUGCCUUUAUUACAGUUGUACUACUGUUCGCCCCCGCGCCGGCUAGUCUCGGCCCGGAGGCUGGCCGCUCGGCCCGAUACGUUCGUUCCCGCAGACGGCUAGUAGCGCACACGGUACCAAAGGCCCACCUCUCAGCCAAAGACCGCAGCGCAGCUGUCCGGCUAAGCGAGAGCCAAAGCUUGAGGUCACCUCACGCGAAAAACGUUCGGGAGAAGACGGCUUGGGCAACCCGGCCGUUUCCUUUAUGAGUAUCUACUCGGUCGAAUCUGCUCCUGUAGUCCGAGUACUGUACGCUCCACUCCGCGGCCACUCUUCGUAACAGCUAGAGGCCGGCUCCGAGCUGUCUAGCUAACAAGAGGCAAAGCCAAAGAGCGGAGGGGGCAUGAAAAAGACUGAAGGGGGCUCGGACGAAACCGAGUCGGCACCCUCCGCAUAAAACUUACAAUGCUGAAAGCAAACAUUUGAUACAUAUCUGCGCGGACUAACUUUGUCUUUUACACGAUCAUCGCUGAGGGGAACCCCCUCCUCGCCCGGAGACUCGGAGGCUACACGCGGGUUGCGGGACCGACGCCGGCCGCAACCGGCGUUUCCAUCGCCGAUGUCCACUUCAUCAACAGCAAGACCCUCCGCGCAACUUUUCCAAGUUUCCCGGAGGCUCAGAGGCUACACCCAGUGAGUGCGCUCGCGCGCCCCCACUCAGCCGGCGGACUCCGUGUCCGCGCCCGGCACCCUCGACGUCAGCGUCGGCUUCUUCAUCAACAGCAAGACCCUCCGCGCAACUUUUCCAAGUUGCCCAGAGGCUCGGAGGCUACACCCAGUGGGUGCGCUCACGCGCCCCCACUCAGCCAGCGGACUCCGCGUCCGCGCCCGGCAGGGCCCCGUGCCCCCCAGCCGGCGGACUCCGUGUCCGCGCCCGGCAACCUCGACGUCACCAUCGGCUUCUUCAACAACAGCAAGACCCUCCGCGCAACUUUUCCAAGUUGCCCGGAAGCUCGGAGGCUACACCCAGUGGGUGCGCUCGCGCGCCCCCACCCGGAACACGCCGCGCCUGUUGCACGCCCGUCGCCGGCUGCAAUCGGCAUCUACUGCUUCAUCGACGCCUGCUAAAACCCUCCGCGCAACUUUUCCAAGUUGCCCGGAGGCUCGGAGGCUACUGACGGGGGGAUGACCCCCGGGUAGGCCCAAAGACGGCAAACGACGCUUCAAAACCAUCGGGGCCAGCAACGCCCCUCAAGCCGGCUCGCACUUGGCCGGGUCGCUCAACCCGGCCGGACUCCUCAACCCGGCCGCCCGGCCGGGUCCUUGUCCGGGUCCAGCUGCUCCAGCCGACCUGCUACGAGAAGUCAACCGCUGCAUCAACCCGGCACCGACAAGAAGGCCACACUGCGGCCACUAUUGCUGAUAAAGCACACACUGUUCACGCGUCACACACAACAUCAUCUACAGUGUACUUUGUCCCCCGGCAUUGAUUUAUAAAAUGCCCCAGGGACAAAACUUAGCCUAGCAUGCAAGCAAGCAUGGCUUGGAAUGUAAGCAACCCACUGUAGCUUACAUCCCAAGCACACACCCAUGCCAACAUGGCUUACAACACAAGCUAGCCACACUAUAUAAGCUAGCUCACACCCAUCCAUCCAGGGGGACCUUCACGUGUGCACACACACUCAUACGGCCACAAGGCCACUCGCGCCACACAUGUACUAGUAGAUGAGCACAUAGCUCUCUCCUACCUGCUCUCAGAUACAGCUCCAGGAGCAACCAUGUACUGCUACGGAUAUUCCACAUAUAUUCAAACAUGCAGGAGUAGGAGUAUUAUCUCUCCGGAGAGCUCUGAACCUGGGUAAAUCGCCGCGUGCUGUUUACUCAAUCCCGUCCCUUGAUCUCCAAAGCAGUCUUUCCCUCACCACAAGCCACCUCGUGGCAUCUGUCGUCUCACGAACCCGCCCGCGAGAUAACCACGACACGCCUAUUCCCAAGGACCGUGUAAACGGCACGGUUGGAUUACCCACGCCCGUAUUGAUGAGAAUCCCGUAAUAAGGGGACACGAUCUCUACUUCGACAAGACGUGCCGAUGGCAACUGCAUCUCGAAACAUGGAGCGGCGGACGAAAAACGGUUCGAAAUUAUGACCGGACAGACGUGAUGUCAUGUUGGAAAAGUUGUCAGCGGAUUGGACUCAUGGAAGUAUUAUAUUCUCUCUGCGGUUGUGUGUGGUGUGUGUUACAGUUCCGGAUACAAUCAUUGCGUCUGAAGAUUAUCCUGGAGUUCGGAAAAGGGGGGACCCGCCUUGCAAUAUCGAAGACAAUCUACGCUCCGGACUCCUCGUCAUUGAAGCCAGGUUCAGGGGCUACUGAGGGAGUCCUGGACUAAGGGGUCCUCGGGCGUCCGGCCUGUUAUCCUUGGGCCGGACUGAUGGGUUGUGAAGACAUGAAGGCCGAAGACUGUACCCGUGUCCGGAUAGGACUCUCCUUGGCGUGGAAGGCAAGCUUGGCGAUCAACUAUGAAGAUUCCUUUCUAAGUAACCGACUCUAUGUAACCCUAGAUCUCCCCGGUGUCUAUAUAAACCAGAGGAGUUAGUCCGGAUAUACACAUUACCAUAGUCAUACAGGCUAGACUUCUAGGGUUUAGCCAUCACGAUCUCGAGAUAGAUCAACUCUUGUAAUACUCAUAUUCAUCAAGAUCAAUCAAGCAGGAAGUAGGGUAUUACCUCCAUAGAGAGGGCCCGAACCUGGGUAAACAUUGUGUUCCCCGUCUCCUGUUACCAUCGACCUUUAGACGCACAGUUCGGGACCCCCUACCCGAGAUCCGUCGGUUUUGACACCGACACCACUCCCUACAGAACUUGUACAAACACUCAAUGGUGGUGGACUCGGCCAUGCGUCCAUAGUCUUCCAGUAUAUCACCGAGAGAUCCGUAUGCAAGCAUCCUCAUAGCUGCCAUGCACUUCUGGAGUGAGGUGAAUCCAAGUGUGCUAGUGCAAUCCUUUUUGCAAAUGAAUAAGUAGUUGUCGAACUCCCGGAUGGAAUUCACAAUCCUAAUAAAGAGCUUUUGGCUCAUCUGAUAACAACGCCGAAAUACUUUCUCACCGUGCAGUGGAACGUCGGCGAAGUAGUCGGCAUAGAGCAAGCAGUAGCCCUCUAGUCGAUGCUUCUGCUUGCUCUUAUGUCGACCCGGCGCCGAGCCACCUCGCCGCGGCUUUGCAUUGCUCAUGAACAGGCCGGCCAGAGUGGCGAGCACCAUGAGGUGCUCUUCGUCAUGGGUGUCGGCCUCGGCUUCCUCCUCCAGCAGCGCCGCAAACGCCUCCUCGUCGUCGGAGACCAUCGCCGAACAGGCAAAUCGUCGAACACCUGGCGGGCGUGGCAGGUGCCCAGCCGCUGGUACCCCCCACCGGAGCGCUGGAAAGCUCGCCCAGGAAUGGGAUGGAGGCUGUCGCGGCGGAACCCUCUCUUUCCGGCGGGGAAAUGGCCUUUCUAGCGGCGGACCAGCGGCCGUGGGCAGGUGGGCGGUGCCGGGAUCGGCACGACGACAAAAGGACAAGUGUCGUCCUACAGCGCGUGGGGCGAAUCUGGGCAGGGGGAAAUCAUUUUUCGCCUGACAGUGGUGGCCCACGCACCACUUUUCCUUCCUCCGGUGCCCCUAAGUGCCCCUAGUGUGCUGGGUUCGGCAUGGGAUCGCCGGGCCAAAAGAUGGGCCGAACGGGCGCAAUUCGGCGUCCAGGGGGGUGACUGGGGAUAUUCAGAUCCAUAAGAUUCAAAACAAAAGUUUAUUAUGGACAUAAAAACAAUAAUACUUCAAGCAUACUAAUAAAGCAAUUAUGUCUUCUCAAAAUAACAUGGCAAAAGAAAGUUAUCCCUACAAAAUCAUAUAGUCUGGCUAUGCUCCAUCUUCAUCACACAAAGUAUUUCAUCAUGCACAACCCCGAUGACAAGCCAAGCAAUUGUUUCAUACUUUUGGUGUUCUCAAACUUUUUCAACUUUCAUGCAAUACAUGAGCGUGAGCCAUGGAUAUAGCACUAUAGGCGGAAUAGAAUAUGGUGGUUGUGGAGAAGACAAAAAAGAAGGAGAAAGUCUCACAUCAACUAGGCGUAUUAACGGGCUAUGGAGAUGCCCAUCAAUAGAUAUCAAUGUGAGUGAGUAGGGAUUGCCAUGCAAUGGAUGCACUAGAGUUAUAAGUGUAUGAAAGCUCAAAAAGAAACUAAGUGGGUGUGCAUCCAACUUGCUUGCUCACGAAGACCUAUUGCAAUUUGAGGAAGCCCGUCACUGGAAUAUACAAGCCAAGUUCUUAUAAUGAAAAAUUCCCACUAGUAUAUGAAAGUGAAAUCAUAGGAGACGCUAUAUCAUGAAGAUCAUGGUGCUACUUUGAAGCACAAGUGUGGAAAAAGGAUAGUAACAUUGUCCCUUCUCUCUUUUUCUCUCAUUUUUUUGUUUGGGCUCUUUGGCCUCUUUUUUGGGGCUCUUUGGCCUCUUUUAUUUUAUAAAGCCUGGAGACUCAUCCCAACUUGUGAGGGAAUCAUAGCUUCCAUCAUCCCUUCCUCACUUGGGACAAUGCUUUAAUAAUUAUGAUCAUCACACUUUUAUUUACUUACAACUCAAGAAUUACAACUCGAUACUAGAACAAAGAUAUGACGGAACGGUGGAAGUUGCAUGGCACUAUAUCUCGGAAUGGCUAUGGAAAUGCCAUAAUAGGUAGGUAUGGUGGCUGUUUUGAGGAAGGUAUAUGGUGGGUGUAAUGCACGAGAGAGUUACGCGGUACUAGAGAGGCUAGCAAUGGUGGACGGGUGAGAGUGCGUAUAAUCCAUGGACUCAACAUUAGUCAUAAAGAACUCACAUACUGAUUGCAAAAAAAUGUAUUAUUCAUUGAAACAAAGUACUACAUGCAUGAUCCUAGGGGGAUAGAUUGGUAGGAAAAGACCAUCGCUCGUCCCCGACCACCACUCAUAAGGAAGACAAUCAAAAAAUAAAUCAUACUCCGACUUCAUCACAUAGCGUUCACCAUACGUGCAUGCUACGGGAAUCACAAACUUCAACACAAGUAUUUCUACCAAUCCACAAUUACUCACUAGCAUGACUCUAAUAUCACCAUCUUUAUAUCUCAAAACAAUAUGCAAGGAAUCAAACUUCUCAUAGUAUUCAAUGCUCUUUAUAUGAAAGUUUUUAUUAUAUCCCUCUUGGAUGCCCAUCAUAUUAGGACUAAAUUCAUAACCUAAGUAAAUUAUCAUGAUGUUUAAAGACUCUCAAAAUAAUAUAAGUGAAGCAUGAGAGUUCAUCAAUUUCUAUAAAAUAAAGCCACCGCCGUGCUCUAAAAAGAUACAAGUCACUGGUACAGCGAGGUGCUAUACAAACGGUUUUUAACCCCUUUCCGCGACGACGUUUGGAACCGUCACCUAGUGAGUGACUGAGACAGGGGGGUCCUUCCCACACGACCCAGAAACCCUCGGGGAUAUGCCCUCCUGGCACACACGCUCGGCAAAAUGAGGUCAUGUGCGACUGGCGAGCGACCAAAUACGGUUAUACGUACAGUAGUGCUAAAAAAUACAAUUAUACAGGCGAAAUCAUUUCUGGUCGUAAGUACAUCCCACACAGUCAGUCCCCAGUAAACGUUUCCGUUCGUAUGUACAUCCCACACAGUCGCUCCAAGGAAAACAUUUGCGGAAGGUCGCUUAACAUAGACAGAUUUCAUGAGAAUGUCGUGUGUGAUCGUUCAUUGAUCCAACAUGGUUUAUUCCUAGAAACUGUGUGCGUUGCCUGAGGUCAUCGCCCACGGUGUUUUCUCAAUAAUCGUUUGCAAUAGGAAAACCCAAUUAGCAGGCUAAUUGCACUAUUAUUAAUAAUCCAUUUAUUAAUCUAAUUGACAUUCAUAUUAAGCACAUAAUAUAUUUCAUUUCCAUAUUAAGGAAGCAGGAUUUCAUAAUUGAAAUACAUCCGAGUACAACAUGAUAUAGCUUCAUCACUCAGCUACCCCAUUACACAACUGCACUAGCACCAAGUUUCACAUGCAACAUCUAGAACCUUUCGAAAUUAGCAUCAUAGAUGGUACAUAGAUAGAUGCAUCUCAUCUGGAAACCUGCUGAAGCGGAAGGUGAAUAUUGAGCCUUCAUUCGUGUUGAAGGUCUUUGCAACUUUAGGCCAGUGCCUGUGGAUGAUUGACCGUCCAUCCUUCGUCAUCUUCAGGAACACUUCAAUAUUGAACCGUGGGUGUUGUAUGAAAACUUUCCUCGCCUCCUGGCCAUAGAGGUGGUUUGAGAGGUAAUCAUCAGUGAACUGCUUUGGAAAGGCCUAAAAACAAGGAUGUGCAUAAAUAUCUUCUCUAUAUUUGAAAUGGGGCAAAGGAAUAAAUAAGGCAAGGUAUAAUAUUUAGUACCAUCUUGUAGUGAACUGAUAUCUUCUUCAUUGUGCAGACAAAGAUUUUUGUUGUUUUUUGCCGCUAAUUUCUUUAUCCUAACAAUAUUUCUCAGUUUCUUGACUUGAUUGAUAUUCAUGGACAACUCAUUUCCCCAUAUGCAAAAAGGGUCGAACAAUGGGUCAAAACCUCUGGCAGCAGGACCUACAUGUGCAAGACCAAAUUGUUAAAAACCUAGAUAUUAGAAUGAUUCCUACAAUUGCACAAUAAUGUGUUAUUAGACAACGGACCAUGCACGUGAUAACCUCGAUUGUAAACCUCAGUGCUUCCCAUUGUUUUCCUGCAACAUAUAUAAGGUAGUUAGUCAUCAGGUUAAGUAAGGGUUCGCAAGCUAUCAGUAAAAUAUGUUGAUGAAAAAUAAGCACAUUGCAGAUUCAUCAGAUUAAUUAAAGCCACAUGGAAAACCCAUUUAUCCAAACCAAGCAUGAUUAAGAAUUAGGAAAUAUAGCACUUGUAUAUGUUUCUCAUGUAUUAAGUGCAGCCAAAUUCGAUUUAUUCCUCACAUGCACAACAAUACAAAAUUCUACCCACGACAAUUGGACAUCACAUUGCAAAAAUGAACUAAGCAGUUAACUAAACACCACAACAAAUGAACCAAACGUUAAGUGAGCACCACAUUGCACAAUAUAACAUACUCCUAAUAGAAGACCAGACAAUUAACCAAACCAAGCAUGCUUAACAACUUGGAAAUAUAGCAAUUGUAUUUGUUUCUCAUGUAUUUAGUACAACCAAAUUCGAUUUAUUUCUCACAUGGUAUAUACAAUAACAGAAUGCAGCCACAACAAUUGAACAUCGCAUUGCAGAAUUGAACCAAGCAGUUAACUAAACACCACAACAAAUGAACCAAGCGGUAAAUAAGCACCACAUUGCACAAUAUAACAUACUCCUAAUAGAAGAUCAGAGAGUUAAACAAACCAAGCAUGCUGAACAACUUGGAAAUAUAGCAAUUGUAUUUGUUUCUCAUGUAUUUAGUACAACCAAAUUCGAUUUAUUUCUCACAUGGUAUACAAUAACAGAAUGCACCCACAACAAUUGAACAUCGCAUUGCAGAAUUGAACCAAACAGUUAACUAAACACCACAACAAAUGAACCAAACGUUAACUGAGCACCACAUUGCACAAUAUAACAUACUCCUCAUAGAAGAUCAGAUAGUUGACCAAACCAAGCAUGAUUGACAACUUGGAAAAUUGCACCCUCAAGAAUUAAACAUCACAUUUGUAGAAUUGAACAAAAUAGUUAACUGAACACCCGCAUUGCACGACAUAUAUAACAUAUACACUAGAGCAGAAGAUUGCAUGGUAAAAGUAGAUAGCAUAAUUCACUAGAAUUUGUUAAGGAAAGGCAGUAGCUAGCAAACUGAACAUGGGUCCUUAUAGUGAGCUAAUAAGACAAGCUACUCCUUAUUGUCGGAGAUAUCGAUGACGAUUGGCUCCUUGGACAUGGAAGAGGGCGAGGCCUCCACAUCGUGGGUGCCCUCGUCGUAGUGGUGAGUUGCUUGAGCCGCUCUGGGCACCAACCUGCUGGCUCUCUAGAUGAGGUAAGCACGUGCACGCUGAGAAAACACCUUGUAGUCUUCGUCGAAGGCACCGAGGGUGGCCCCGAGAAAACGCCAUGAACUGUUGUUUAAAGCAGCCAUCCGCGUUGCGGCGUCGGCGCGUGAGGCGUCGAUGGUGGCCUCGACGGCGAGGUGAUCCUCCAAGAUCUGGGGGUCGGCACGAAUGGCAGCCAUCGCGGCCUCAUCCGCACGUGCGGCCGCGAUUUGCUUCUCCCUGCCAAAUGCUCCUUGAGAUCCUGGUUAUACUACGUGCACCAUGGCUUAGGGCGGCGCUUAGUUGGUGGAGGGGUCGGUGAUUUGGGUGGAAAGUGUCGCGCUGGCGGUCGGGGCAUGUGGGAUGUGGAAGGAGGAGGAUAAUGGGGGUCGGGUGUGGAUUACCUGCCUAGAUAGGCGAGGCCGAGCAGCGUGAAGGAGGGUCGCCGGUGAGGAGGUGGCACUGCAAGCAAGGAGUGAAGGUUUCAACUUGGAAAGGAAGGCGGAAACAGGGGAAAUGUGUCUUUUCGUAAGGGGGAGGGGCGGGGAGGUAGAUAUUUCUGCGGAAGCCGAAAAUUUGAAAUCGCUUCAGCGAAAAAACUGGCGCACAAGUGCCAUCAGACACGGUCCCUUAUUCAGACGGGGCUGUGGACUGUAGCCGUCACACCUUCUCGCGUAAGCCGUAUGCGUACUAUACUCCGACGGUGCUCCAAGAUAAACUGUGUGGAAUCUACUUGAUUUUUCGUCUUGAUUUGAAUUACAUAAUGGGGUCACAGCGGCAAUGGACGGUGUUUGAAUUGCUAGACCUUUUAUCUGCAGUGAACAUGCAACUAUGUGUGUGUCGUAAAAAAUUGGAAUUAUUCAGGGUUCGUUUGGAAAUUUUAUACAUUAAAUUAGUUUUCUACCCAUUUCAGGUGCACAAUUCAAAAUUAAAGCACAUGCACAUGCUUCGGUGCACCAACAUGGGUUUUAAAAUCAUAUAUGUGUCAAUGGGUUUAUGCUUAUGUCCCAUGCAAGAAAUUGAAGGAAAUAUGCCCUAGAGGCAAUAAUAAAGUUAUUAUUUAUUUCCUUAUUUCAUGAUAAAUGUUUAUUAUUCAUGCUAGAAUUGUAUUAACCUGAAACUUAGUACAUGUGUGAAUACAUAGACAAACAAAGCGUCCCUAGUAUGCCUCUACUUGACUAGCUCGUUAAUCAAAGAUGGUUAAGUUUCCUAGCCAUAGACAUGUGUUGUCAUUUGAUGAACGGGAUCACAUCAUUAGAGAAUGAUGUGAUGGACAAGACCCAUUCGUUAGCUUAGCAUUAUGAUCGUUUCAGUUUCAUUGCUACUGCUUUCUUCAUGACUUAUACAUGUUCCUCAGACUAUGAGAUUAUGCAACUCCCGAAUACCGGAGGAACACCUUGUGUGCUAUCAAACGUCACAACGUAACUAGGUGAUUAUAAAGAUGCUCUACAGGUGUCUCCAAAGGUGUUUGUUGGGUUGGCAUAGAUCGAGAUUAGGAUUUGUCACUCCGUGUAUCGGAGAGGUAUCUCUGGGCCCUCUCGGUAAUGCACAUCACUAUAAGCCUUGCAAGCAAUGUGACUAAUGAGUUAGUUGCGGGAUGAUGCAUUACGGAACGAGUAAAGAGACUUGCUGGUAACGAGAUUGAACUAGGUAUGAUGAUACCGACGAUCGAAUAUCGGGCAAGUAACAUACCGAUGACAAAGGGAACAACGUAUGUUGUUAUGCGGUUUCACCGAUAAGGAUCUUCGUAGAAUAUGUAGGAGCCAAUAUGAGAAUCUAGGUUCCGCUAUUGGUUAUUGACCAGAGAUGUGUCUCGGUCAUGUCUACUAGUUCUCGAACCCGUAGGGUCCGCACGCUUAACGUUCGAUGACGAUUUGUAUUAUGAGUUAUGUGAUUUGAUGUACCGAAGGUUGUUCAGAGUCCCGGAUGAGAUCACGGACAUGAAGAGGAGUCUCGUAAUGGUUGAGAGGUAAAGAUUCAUAUAUUGGAAGGUUGCAUUCGGACAUCAGAAUGGUUCCAAGUGAUUCGGGCAUUUUUCCGGAGUACCGGGAGGUUACCGGAACCCCUCGGGGAAAGAUAUGGGCCUUGUGGGCCAUAGGAGGGAGGCUAACCAGCCCACAAGGGGCUGGUGCGCCCCCCACAAGGGAGGAGUCCGAAUUGGACUUCGGAAGGGGGCGCCAACCCCCUUUCCUUCUCCUAUUCCCUCUCCUUCCCCUUUUCCCCCUCCGGUAGAAGGAAAAAUGGUGGGGCCGAAUCCUACUAGGACUGGAGUCCUAGUAGGACUCCCCUCUCCCUGGUGCGCCCCUUGUUGGCCGGCCUCCUCCGCCCCUCCUUUAUAUACGGGGGCAGGGCACCCCAAAGACACAACAGACAAUCUCUUAGCCGUGUGUGGUGCCCCCCUCCACAGUUUUACACCUCGGUCAUAUCGUCGUAGUGCUUAGGCGAAGCCCUCCGCCGGUAACUUCAUCAUCACCGUCACCACACCGUCGUGCUGACGGAACUCUCCCUCGGCCUCAUCUGGAUCAAGAGUUCGAGGGACGUCACCGAGCUGAACGUGUGCAGAUCACGGAGGUGUCGUGCGUUCGGUACUUGAUCGGUUGGAUCGCGAAGACUUCGACUACAUCAACCGCGUUACUAAACGCUUCCGUUUUCGGUCUACGAGGGUACAUGGACAACACUCUCCCUCUCGUUGCUAUGCAUCACCUAGAUAGAUCUUGCGUGAUUGUAGGAUUUUUUUUUUGAAAUUACUGCGUUCCCCAACAGAAAUGGGGAUGAAUUUCGAACACCACGGCACCGUGGCUCUCCGACAAAUGUUGAGGUGCUUUUGUAAUUCUAGUAAAUCCAAAACCCAUCUGAAAUUCAUGAACCUUGGCAUGCUAUCAUGGAAUGGCAUCAACAUGCUGGGGUAAAAAAUAUUGUCCCAUUUGGGGUAGGUUGUGAAGCUUCUCACAAACCAGAGCUUCUCACAAGAAAGCUUCACGGUUCCAUUAGGGAAACGUGUCACCUUUGUGGACAAAACGAUAUUCGUCGGCUUUUCUUCCUUUCAAUUUUUUCCUGGUGUCCACAUAGAACAACAGGAGUGUCGUGUUAAAUUUUGGAUUUUUUUCGGGGAUCGUUUGGACAAUUUUAUACUUUAAUUGAGUUUUCUAGGCAUUUAUGUGCAUAAUUCAAAAUUGAACUACAUGCACAUGCUCCAGUCCAUAAAAACGGGUUGCAAAAUCAAAUGUUUGUCUUUGGUUUGCAAGAUUAGGUCACAUGCAAGAAAUGAGAACGAAUGUCAAACACCUUGACACUGUCGCUCGGCCGCUAACAUUGAGAUACAUGGUUUUAAAAUUCUAGUAAAUCAAAAACUCGUCUGAAAUUUAUGAAACUUGACAUGAUAUCAUGGAAAGGCAGCGACAUGCCGGGGUAAAACUAUUGUCCCAUUUGGAGCAAGUGUGGGUAUAAGCUUCUCGCAAACCAGAGCUUCUGUCACAACAAGCCUGAUGGUUUCGGUAGGGUACGUGCCACCUUGGGGGAUGAAACGAUAUAUGUUGCCUCUUCUUACUUUCAAAAUGUUUCUCAUGUCAACAUAGAACAACACGAGUGUUGUGUCAAUUUUUGGGAUUUUUUGGGGUUCGCUUGGACAUUUUUAUACAUUAACUGAGUUUUCUAUGCAUUCAUGUGCAUAAUUCAAAUUUGAACUACAGGCACAUGUUCUAAUGCAUAUAAAUUAGUUGGAAAUUCAAAUUUGUGUCCUUGGUUGCAUGCUUCGGUCCCAUGCAAGAAAUGGAAAUGAAUGUCAAACACCCUGGCACCGUCACUCAGCCGCAAACAUUGAGAUACCUGGUUUUUAAAUUCUAGUAAAUCCAAAGCUCGUCUGAAAUUCAUGAAACUUGGCAUGCUAUCAUGGAGCGGCAUCAACAUGCCAUGGUAAAUUUUUUGUCCCAUUUGGGGCAGGUUUGGGGAUAUGCUUCUCACAAACCAGAGCUUCUCACAACAAGCCUGAUGGUUUCGGUAGGGAACGUCCCGCCUUUGAGGACGAAAUGGUAUCCAUUGUCUCUUAUUGCUUUCAAAAAAAUUCUCGUGUCAACAUAGAACAACAGGAGUGUUGUGUCAAUUUUUGGGAUUUUUGGGGUUCGUUUGGACAUUUUUAUGCAUUAAUUGAGUUUUCAAUGCAUUUAUGUGCAUAAUUCAAAUUUAAACUACAUGCACAUGCUCUAAUGCAUAUAAAUUGGUUGAAAUUUGAAAUAUGUGUCCUUGGUUGCAUGCUUAGGUCCCAUGCAAGAAAUGGUAAUGAAUGUCAAACACCCUGCCACUGUCACUCGGCCGCAAACAUUGAGAUACCUGGUUUUUAAAUUCUAGUAAAUCCAAAACUCGUCUGAAAUUCAUGAAACUUGGUAUGCUAUCAUGGAGCGGCAUCAACAUGUCGUGGUAAAUUUUUUGUCCCAUUUGGGGCAGUUUUGGGUAUAAGUUUCUAACAAACCAGAGCUUCUCACAACAAGCCUGAUGGUUUCGGUAGGGAACGUCCCACCUUUGGGGACGAAACGAUAUCCGCUGCCUCUUAUUGCUUUCAAAAAAUUUCUAGCGUCAACAUAGAACAACAUGAGUGUUGUGUUGAAUUUUGGAAUUUUUCGGGGUUCGUUUGGACAUUUUUAUACAUUAACUGGGUUUUCUAGGCAUUUUAUGUGCAUAAUUCAAAUUUGAACUACAUGCACAUGCUCCAGUGCAUAUAAAUUGGUUGGAAAAUCAAACAUGUGUCCUUGGGUGCAUGCUUAGGUCCCAUGCAAUAAAUAGGAAUGAAUUUCAAACACCAGGGCACCGUUGAUUGCCAGCAAAACGUUGAGAUACUUUGUUUUAAAAUUCUAGUAAAUCCAAAACUCGUCUGAAAUUCAUGAAACUUGGCAUGUUAUCAUGGAAUGGCACCCGACAUGCUGUGGUAUUUUUCGUGUCCAUUUUGAGAGAAGGCGCACUCGAAUAACAACCAACAAAGGCAUUUUGAAAAAAUAGCUGCCACUUUAAUAUCUCAAACAUUUGUAUAAUUCAAAUCAUGGGUGUUCUGUUAACCAUUUACGUGACGCCACGUGUCUUCGUUUUAAUGGCUAUAGGAGGUGCCGGCGGACGACUGCUUGACUGAACGGGAGGCGUGCGAGCGCAGUCCGGUGCGCGGGCUCACCGAGAGGCUCACCGGGAAGCGUGCGAGCUGUUCAACGUAGGAUUUGUGCAUCUCUUCAAUGCAAAUAGUUCAGAUUGAAUACGGUAUGAGCUGUUUAACCGUGCCACGCUUCAGUUAAGCAGUAAAGUGGCAAAAAAUAAAUCAAAAAAUAUACGUGCUGCCACACGCCCCGUGUGUCGUGCGAGCAGGCGUGAGUUGACGGGACGCAUGCGAGCAGUCUGCCCCGCAGGCAUGCCGGAAGGCGUGCGUGCAGGUGUGCGUAUUGACGGGGAGGCGUGCGAGUAGCUGUGUGAAAUGAUGGUAGGAAAGGCAGAAGUCCGCCGCGCAGGCUCACCGGGCGAGACAGCUUUUGACCGCUGCCUGCCUCGCUCCCACUGGUCCGUAUUAAUUGCGUGCUGGAGCCGCCGGCCUAAUAGGCAGCCGCACCCCCGGUCCACAGUGGUCACCAACGUCUGGACUCUGGAGUGUAUGACGAUGCCGCUGAAGCGCACCGUCGGAGGGAGUGGCGACGCCGGGGCUAGUGAAGCACCCGCACAAUGCGUGAGGCUAGGGAUAGAGGUUGCCUUCACCGCCGACGAGGUCUCGCGUGGGCAGCAGCACGACCUUGACUUCGUCGGCGCCGUCUGAUACGUCUCCAACGUAUCUAUAAUUUAUGAAGUAUUCAUGCUAUUAUAUUAUCUGUUUUGGAUGUUUAUGGGCUUUAUUAAACACUUUUAUAUUACUUUUGGGACUAACCUAUUAACCCAGAGCCCAAUGCCAGUUUCUGUUUUUUCCCUUGUUUUAGUGUUUCGCAGAAAAGGAAUAUCAAACGGAGUCCAAACGGAAUGAAACCUUCGGGAGAGUUAUUUUUGGAACGGAAACAAUCCAGGGGACUUGGGGUGUACGUAAGGGAAGCAGCAAGGAAGCCACGAGGUAGGGAGGCGCGCCCUACCCCCCUGGGCACGCCCCCCACCCUCGUGGGCCCCUCGUGGCUCCCCUAACCGACUUCUUUCGCCUAUAUAUGUCCAUAUACCCUAAAAACAUCGGGGAACAGAAUAGAUCAGGAGUUCCGCCGCCGCAAGCCUCUGUAGCCACCAAAAACCAAUCGGGACCCUGUUCCGGCACCCUGCCGGAGGGGGGAACCCUCACCGGUGGCCAUCUUCAUCAUCCCGGUGCUCUCCAUGACGAGGAGGGAGUAGUUCACCCUCGGGGCUGAGGGUAUGUACCUGUAGCUAUGUGUUUGAUCUCUCUCUCUCUCUCUCGUGUUCUUGAGGUGGUACGAUCUUGAUGUAUUGCGAGCUUUGCUAUUAUAGUUGGAUCUUAUGAUGUUUCUCCCCCUCUACUCUCUUGUAAUGGAUUGAGUUUUCCCUUUGAAGUUAUCUUAUCAGAUUGAGUCUUUAAGGAUUUGAGAACACUUGAUGUAUGUCUUGCGUGGGAUACCCGUGGUGACAAUGGGGUAUUCUAUUGAUUCACUUGAUGUAUGUUUUGGUGAUCAACUUGCGGGUUCCGCCCAUGAACCUAUGCAUAGGGGUUGGCACACGUUUUCGUCUUGACUCUCCGGUAGAAACUUUGGGGCACUCUUUGAAGUACUUUGUGUUGGUUGAAUAGAUGAAUCUGAGAUUGUGUGAUGCAUAUCGUAUAAUCAUGCCCACGGAUACUUGAGGUGACAUUGGAGUAUCUAGGUGACAUUAGGGUUUUGGUUGAUUUGUGUUUUAAGGUGUUAUUCUAGUACGAACUCUAUGAUAGAUCGAACGGAAAGAAUAGCUUCGUGUUAUUUUACUACGGACUCUUGAAUAGAUCGAUCAGAAAGAAUAACUUUGAGGUGGUUUCGUACCCUACCAUAAUCUCUUCGUUUGUUCUCCGCUAUUAGUGACUUUGGAGUGACUCUUUGUUGCAUGUUGAGGGAUAGUUAUAUGAUCUAGUUAUGUUAUUAUUGUUGAGAGAACUUGCACUAGUGAAAGUGUGAACCCUAGGCCUUGUUUCCUAGCAUUGCAAUACCGUUUACGCUCACUUUUAUCAUUAGUUACCUUGCUGUUUUUAUAUUUUCAGAUUACAAAAACCUAUAUCUACCAUCCAUAUUGCACUUGUAUCACCAUCUCUUCGCCGAACUAGUGCACAUAUACAAUUUACCAUUGUAUUGGGUGUGUUGGGGACACAAGAGACUCUUUGUUAUUUGGUUGCAGGGUUGUUUGAGAGAGACCAUCUUCAUCCUACGCCUCCCACGGAUUGAUAAACCUUAGGUCAUCCACUUGAGGGAAAUUUGCUACUGUCCUACAAACCUUUGCACUUGGAGGCCCAACAACGUCUACAAGAAGAAGGUUGUGUAGUAGACAUCAAGCUCUUUCUUGGCGCCGUUGCCGGGGAGGUGAGUGCUUGAAGGUAUAUCUUUAGAUCUUGCAAUCGAAUCUUUUUGUUUCUUGUUUUAUCACUAGUUUAGUCUAUAAAAGAAAACUACAAAAAAAGGGAAUUGAGGGUGCCUCAUAUGCUUCAUCUUUUUAAUGUCUUCCGUGAAAAUAAGGAUUCCGAUAAUUGUGCUCAAUUGCUAGAGGAAGAAUGCAUUAAAAUGUUUGGCACUAAAUCUUUGAAUGAUGAGCAUGAUUGCAAUGUUGUUAGUAUGAAUUCUUCGAAUACCCAUGAUGCUAAUGAUAUGCAAAGCCACAAGCUUGGGGAAGCUAUGUUUGAUGAAGAUGAUAUUUUUUGUCCCCCAAGUUUUGAUGAGCAAAUAUAUUAUGAUGAUAGCAUGCCUCCUAUCUAUGAUGAUUAUUGUGAUGAAAUUUAUGCUAUAAAGAGUAAUGAUAUCCAUGAAACUUGUCAUCAUGAUUUUAAUGCUCAAAUUGAUUAUGUGAAUAAAGUAUCACAUGAUAGUUAUUUUGUUGAGUUUGCUCCCACUACUAUUCAUGAGAAUAAAUUUGCUUAUGUGGAGAGUAAUAAAAUUUAUAUGCUUGUGCAUCAUGAAAAGAAUGCUUUGUGUGAUGGUUAUAUUGUUGAAUUCAUUCAUGAUGCUACUGAAAAUUAUUAUGAGGGAGGAAUAUAUGCUUGUAGGAAUUGCAAUAAUAUCAAGUUUCCUCUCUAUGUGUUGAAAAUCUUGAAGUUAUGCUUGUUUUACUUUCCUAUGCUAGUUGAUUCUUGUUCCCAUAAGUUGUUUGCUCACAAAAUCCCUAUGCAUAUUAAGUGGGUUAGGCUUAAAUGUGCUAGUCAUAUGCUUCAUGAUGCUCCCGUUAUGUUUCAAUUCUUAUCUUUUAUGUGAGCAUCAUUAUCAUCAUCAUGCCUAGCUAAAAAGGCAUUAAAGAAAAGCGCUUGUUGGGAGACAACCCAAUAUUUACCCUUACUGUUUUUGUGUGUUCACAUGAUUAUGCUACUGUAUUAAUCAUGUUUUAUAGCUUUUGUUUCAAUAAAGUGCCAAGUAAGACCUUUAGGAUAGCUUACGGUGAUAGUUAAUUUGAUCUUGCUGAAAAACAGAAACUUUUGCGCACACGAGAUUAGUUUUCAUAAAUCACAGGAACGUGCUUUUCAGUUGAUUCUUUUUGCAGUAGAUCAAUAAACAAAUUAUAUAGGACUUCCUAAUUUGGUAGAAUUUUUUAGGUUCCAGAAGUAUACGUUUGAUACAGAUUACUAAAGACUGUUCUGUUUUUGACAGAUUCUGUUUUCUAUGUGUUGUUUGCUUAUUUUGAUGAAUCUAUGAGUAGUAUCGGAGGGUAUGAACCAUAGAGAAGUUGGAAUACAGUAGAUAUUACACCAAUAUGAAUUUAGAAUGAGUUCACAACAGUACCUAAGUGGUGAUUUAUUUUCUUAUACUAACGGAGCUUACGAGUUUUCUGUUAAGUUUUGUGUUGUGAAGUUUUCAAGUUUUGGGUGAAGUUUCGAUGGACUAUGGAAUAAGGAGUGGCAAGAGCCUAAGCUUGGGGAUGCCCAAGGCACCCCAAGGUAAUAUUCAAGGACAACCAAGAGCCUAAGCUUGGGGAUGCCCCGGAAGGCAUCCCCUCUUUCGUCUUCGUUUAUCGGUAACUUUACUUGGAGCUAUAUUUUUAUUCACCACAUGAUAUGUGUUUUGCUUGGAGCGUCAUUUUCUUUUGUUAGUAUUUUCUUGCUGUUAUUUAGAAUAAUGUUUUGCAUCUUUAUUUUCAAUAAAAUGUCAAGGAUAUCCUUUACCAUGCUUAUUUUGCAAGUAUACAUGUUGCUGUUUCAAAACAGAAAGUUUACCGCUGUUGCAAAAAUUCCCUAGAAAAGUCAGAAUAUCAUAAAAUGUUGAAACUUUUUGAAUAUUGAGCUCUGAUAAAUUUACUACAGUGGGAAUUUUCGUUCAUAAUUUUUGGAGCUAGGAAAGUAUUGAUACUCUUGCAUUCUUUACAGACUGUACUGUUUUGGCAGAUUGCUGUUAUGUUUGCAUUGUUUGCACAUGUUUGCUUGUUUAAUGACUCUAUUUGAGGAUAGGAGUAUUAGAUAUGCAGAGACAUUUAGUAUGCAAUGUUGAAUGAUAAUUUUUUUGAUUUGCUACAGUAGAGAAUUAUAAGGUUUUUGCAUUGGUUUAUACUAACUUAUCUAACGAGUUCUUGUUGAGUUUGGUGUGGAUGAAGCUUUCGAGAUUUAGGAAACCGUGAUAUAAAAGGAAUUAAGGAGACACAAAAGUUCAAGCUUGGGGAUGCCCAAGGCACCCCAAGAUAAUAUUUUAAGAAGUCUCAAGCAUCUAAGCUUGGGGAUGCCCCGGUAGGCAUCCCGCCUUUCCUCUUCAACAAUUAUCGGUUAGUAUCGGUUGAACCUAAGUUUUUGCUUCUUCACAUGAUAUGUGCUAUCCUUGAAAUGUCAUUUUAUUUUGUUUUGCUUGCUGUUUGAAUAAAAUACCAAGAUCUGAAAUUAUUAAAUGAGAGAGAGUCUUCACAUAGCUAUGUAAUUAUUUAACUACUCAUUGAUCUUCACUUAUAUCUUUUUGGAAUAGUUUGUCAUUUACUCGUGUGCUUCACUUUUAUCCUAUGAGUAAAUGGUUGAAUGAAUUGAAUAUCAUAAAUCUGAAAUUAUAUAUGUUUCAUAUGCUUAUCCCAUGGGGAGUAAUGACUUCACAUAUAAUAAUUAGAGGUGGUAAAUUUAUUGAAGUUUAGCAAACAUUGUAUUGGUCACUUGAACAAUUCAUGAAAGAAUAUCGAAGGAAGAGAGAUUUCACAUAUAAUAUACUAUCUUGGACAUCUUUUGUAAUUGUGAGCACUCAUUAAAAUAUGACAUGCUAAAAGGUUGAUGUUGGACAAGGAAGACAACGUAAUGGGUUAUGUUUUCUUAUAUCCGAAAUAAAGUAUAUUAUCAUGGAUCGCCCAACACGUUGAGCUUGCCUUUCCCCCUCAUGCUAGCCAAAUUAUUUGCACCAAGUAGAGAUACUACUUGUGCUUCCAAACAUCCCUUAAACCAGUAUUGCCAUGAGAGUCCACCAUACCUACCUAUGGAUUGGGUAAGAUCCUUCAAGUAAGUUGUCAUCGGUGCAUGCAAUAAAAAUUGCUCUCUAAAUAUGUAUGAUCUUUUAGUGUGGAGAAAAUAAGCUUUAUACGAUCUUGUGAUAUGGAAGCAAUAAAAGUGACGGACUGCAUAAUAAAGGUCCCUAUCACAAGUGGCAAUAUAAAGUGACGUUCCCUCGCAUUAAGGUUUUGUGCAUCCAACUAUAAAAGCACAUGGCAACCUCUGCUUCCCUCUGCGAAGGGCCUAUCUUUUACUUUUAUGCAAGAGUCAUGGUGAUCUUCACCUUUCCUUUUUCCUUUUAUCCUUUGGCAAGCACCUCGUGUUGGAAAGAUUCUGAUAUAUAUAUCCAAUUGGAUGUAAGGAAUCAUGAGUUAUUAUUGUUGACAUUACCCUUGAGGUAAAAGGUUGGGAGGCGAAUAUAAGCCCCUAUCUUUCUCUGUGUCUGAUUAAAACUUUGAACCCAUAAAUAUCGCGUGAGUGUUACCAAUUGUGAAACACUAAAUGAUAGUUGAGUAUGUGGAGUUUGCUAAAUCAAAGCUCUGACAUAGACUCUUCCUGAAAAUAAGAUGAAUUGUAAUUGUUUGAUGACUGAUAACACGGUUUGUUAGUUUUCAAGAAGGUUUAUGAUCUAUACUUUAACAUGUGAAUAGCUUGUUACUUGAUCAUGAGAAGCUUUAUGAGAUGAGCUACUAUUAUGAUAUAUAAUGAUGCUAGAAAAGGUGAAUGAAAUUAUCAUUGAUCAAACUUGUGCACCUGCUAGCAUUCACACUUCAUAAAUUAUUUCUUUUAUCAUUUACCUACUCGAGGACGAGCAGGAAUUAAGCUUGGGGAUGCUGAUACGUCUCCAACGUAUCUAUAAUUUAUGAAGUAUUCAUGCUAUUAUAUUAUCUGUUUUGGAUGUUUAUGGGCUUUAUUAAAAACUUUUAUAUUACUUUUGGGACUAACCUAUUAACCCAGAGCCCAGUGACAGUUUUUGUUUUUUCCCUUGUUUCAGUGUUUCGCAGAAAAGGAAUAUCAAACGGAGUCCAAACGGAAUGAAACCUUCGGGAGAGUUAUUUUUGGAACGGAAGCAAUCCAGGGGACUUGGAGUGUACGUAAGGGAAGCAACGAGGAAGCCACGAGGUAGGGAGGCGCGCCCUACCCCCCAUGGGCGUGCCCCCACCCUCGUGGGCCCCUCGUGGCUCCCCUAACCGACUUCUUUCGCCUAUAUAUGUCCAUAUACCCUAAAAACAUCGGGGAACAGAAUAGAUCGGGAGUUCCGCCGCCACAAGCCUCUAUAGCCACCAAAAACCAAUCGGGACCCUGUUCCGGCACCCUGCCGGAGGGGGGAACCCUCACCGGUGGCCAUCUUCAUCAUCCCGGCGCUCUCCAUGACGAGGAGGGAGUAGUUCACCCUCGGGGCUGAGGGUAUGUACCUGUAGCUAUGUGUUUGAUCUCUCUCUCUCGUGUUCUUGAGGUGGUACGAUCUUGAUGUAUCGCGAGCUUUGCUAUUAUAGUUGGAUCUUAGGAUGUUUCUCCCCCUCUACUCUCUUGUAAUGGAUUGAGUUUUCCCUUUGAAGUUAUCUUACCGGAUUGAGUCUUUAAGGAUUUGAGAACACUUGGUGUAUGUCUUGCGUGGGAUACCCGUGGUGACAAUGGGGUAUUCUAUUGAUUCACUUGAUGUAUGUUUUGGUGAUCAACUUGCGGGUUCCGCCCAUGAACCUAUGCAUAGGGGUUGGCACACAUUUUCGUCUUGACUCUCCGGUAGAAACUUUGGGGCACUCUUUGAAGUACUUUGCGUUGGUUGAAUAGAUGAAUCUGAGAUUGUGUGAUGCAUAUCGUAUAAUCAUGCCCACGGAUACUUGAAGUGACAUUGGAGUAUCUAGGUGACAAUAGGGUUUUGGUUGAUUUGUGUCUUAAGGUGUUAUUCUAGUACGAACUCUAUGAUAGACCGAACGGAAAGAAUAGCUUCGUGUUAUUUUACUACGAACUCUUGAAUUGAUCGAUCAGAAAGAAUAACUUUGAGGUGGUUUCAUACCCUACCAUAAUCUCUUCGUUUGUUCUCCGCUAUUAGUGACUUUGGAGUGACUCUUUGUUGCAUGUUGAGGGAUAGUUAUAUGAUCUAGUUAUGUUAUUAUUGUUGAGAGAACUUGCACUAGUGAAAGUAUGAACCCUAGGCCUUGUUUCCUAGCAUUGCAAUACCGUUUACGCUCACUUUUAUCAUUAGUUACCUUGCUGUUUUUAUAUUUUCAGAUUACAAAAACCUAUAUCAACCAUCCAUAUUGCACUUGUAUCACCAUCUCUUCACCGAACUACUGCACCUAUACAAUUUACCAUUGUAUUGGGUGUGUUGGGGACACAAGAGACUCUUUGUUAUUUGGUUGCAGGGUUGUUUGAGAGAGACUAUCUUCAUCCUACGCCUCCCACGGAUUGAUAAACCUUAGGUCAUCCACUUGAGGGAAAUUUGCUACUGUCCUACAAACCUCUGCACUUGGAGGCCCAACAACGUCUACAAGAAGAAGGUUGUGUAGUAGACAUCACCGUCGUGCCCCCCUAGCCGGAGCCGGAGGUCAACAACAACUCCGGCAACGACUGCAACUCCGACAGAAAACCGGUUAGUCAUCUAUAUACCCAUUUGUGCGGCAAACAUAUCAUGUGUUUUCUUUGGUUAACCCCCCCCCCCACCCCGCCCCUCUAUAAUUUUUCUGGAAUACAAAUCCUAUGGUUAUGUUCUCUCAGUCCAUGAAAUCAGAGUAAUUAAGAUCCGUUAGAUGCACGUAGUGUAUUGAUUGUUUGAAUGUUAUCCGUAUAGAGUUAGUGAUUAAUUGUUUGUUCUAUACAAAUGAUUUUUGCUAAUAAUCCGACUAGGGUUAGCUUGCGUGCUAAUAAUUCGUGGCCAUAUCUUGAGAAUUGAUUUUGAAUGUCCUACAUAUAUGUUUGUGCUUUUUUUCUUCCUGAUCUUGAGAAUUGAUUUUGAAUGUCCUACAUGUUAUGCCAUUUUUUUCAUUCAGAUUGGUAUGUACAUAGAUGAGGCUCCGACCAGCGCAGCUGCCGGAUGUAGAUCAUGGAUCCGGCUGUGCGGCCAGAAGCACCCCCUGGACCCGAGGAACCAGUAGAAUCUCCAUCGGAUCGCAUCAGCGAUCUCCCGGACAGCAUCCUUGGGGAGAUCAUCUCCCUUCUCCCCACCAAGGAUGGAUGCCGCACACAAGUCCUCGCAUCUCGGUUGCGCACUCUGUGGCGCACCGCGCCUCUUAAUCUCGACUGUCGUCAGCUAUCUUUCGAUGAUGAUUCUGAACUCCCCGGAGCCAUCAUCUCCUCCCACGAGGGCUCCUUUCAACGCAUAUGCAUCCCGGCAUGCUACCUGCUGGACAUACCCUGCACAGUGGCCGCCUGGCUGACAUCCCGUCAAUUCGAUAAACUCUAGCAGCUUGAGUUCAACCAUUACUAUAGCGAUAGUUUACCACCAAGAGCUGCAUCUGUGCCCUCACCACAGAUGCCCAUCUCAAGGUUUUCCUCCUCUCACCACACCACCACCUUGACCCGGUGCCAUCUAGCAGACUAUCUGGUACAAAUGCUUCGACUGCCACUGCUGAAAAAGCACUUGUAAUUCUGGCAAUGAGCACAAAAGUUUUUGUUUUUCAGCAAGAUCAAAUCAACUAUCACCAUAGACCAUCCCAAAGGUCUUACUUGGCUCAAGCACUAAUUAAAACACCAAAAAAAUUACUACAGAAGUAAUAAUGUGUAUUUAUUGAAAAACAGAACAAAAAACAAAGAACACAAAAAUAAAAUUGGGUUGCCUCACAACAAGCGCUAUUGUUUAACGCCCGUAGCUAGGCAUAAAACAUAGAUCUAGGUAUUGUAAUAGAAGUGAGGGAGAUCAUCCAUGCUCAUCUCAUACUCCCUCCUUUCAGCAAUAAGCUUUCUUUGUGGCAAGCAAAAAUAAUCAAAGGGGCUAGAUUUAAUAGGGUAGGUGUUGGGGAUAUUACUACUGGGCGUAAACCGGCCAGGAGAGGCCGGGUUAACUUCAUCAGUAGUCUAUUAUGUUUGAAGCCCAUGAAGACAGACGGUGACAUUGUGUAAAGGCCCAGAGCCCAGAAAUCGGUUUAAGGCCUGUAGCUAUAACCGGCGUUGAUAUGUAACUUGCAUUGUAAGGUAGAAAGAGCGGAGACCGAUCCGGACACGUUUAUGAGCCGGCCUCGGGACUCUGUAAACCGAAGGGCGACAACCCAUGUAUAUAAGGGGACGACCCGGCGGCGGUUCAGGACAACAGACAACAACUCGAGACUCAGGCAAAGCGUAUUCGCUCCCUGGUCAUCGAAACCCCAUCAAUUCCAGCACAACUAGACGUAGGCUUUUACCUUCAUCGUAAGGGGACGAACUAGUAUAAAACUCGCUUGCGUCCCUUGUCCGCGUUAACCCCUUUAAGCUAACCCGUAGCGAUGACUCCACGACUAAGUCCUUUCAUGAGGACAUCUGCCGUGACAAAACCACGACAGUUGGCGCCUACCGUGGGGCUAUCGCACGAUGGUUUCAAGUUCUUGGAGGGCAGCUUCGAAGGACUCAUGGGUUACGCUGUGGGCCGGAUAACCAAACGUCGUCGCGGCAAGCUCUACGCCGACAAUGCAGGGUGGGGCCCCGAGGCCGACUCAAUCGAGUACGGGUACCGGGUCCCCUUUGGUGGCAUACACGUUUUCAUUGGCAAGAUCGGCGAGCCGGGCCCUGAGCCGGACAUCUGCACCGACCUCGUCGAAAUGGCUCAGCGUGCGCGAUCUGCCCGGGUCAAGCCUGCCAUGAAGCGUGCCUUCGUAGGAGUCAUCCAUGGAGGGGAAUACGAGGACAGAUCGGAAUCUGGUGGUGAGACCGUCGUUUAUUCCGGCGACGAGUCAUCGACCGGAGAGACCGAGUAGUUAUAUCAGCUACAAGAUGGCUGGAUUGGAGGCUGUUCCGAUGGCGACAGUAUUCCAGACCCCUCUGAUCUGCCAAACCGGGUUGGAAUCUUCAUGGCCGGUACACAGCCGGCGCUCCACUCUUCGACCGCAGCAGCAAUGAUCUCCGGAUCAGUAGCGGCGCCGGCAGCCAGGGCAGGAGGCCCUAUGCGGCCGCGGGCUCAGGUUUUAUCUGAUCUAUUUGAUGUGUUGGCAACACUGAUGGCAGAGGCUAACCCAGCGAAUCAGGAUGCGCACAAUGCGGAAAUCACGAAAGUAAAGGAUCAAAUUACUCAGGCCAAGGCCGAUUUGGCAGCUGAGGAUACCAGGAUGGCCGUGGAGCGGGCCGCUUUGGAUGCGCAGGCUUACCGACUUAUGCUGGAUCAGAAUGCAUCGCACGAAGUCCUAAAGAGAAGGCAUCGGUCUCGCCCGCCUCCGGUUUAUGAUGCUAGGAACCUCUUUAACACCCCAGGUGCGGGGACCAGUAACCCGCUGGUAGCAAACCGAGCGGAGGCACCUGGAGCGGGGGCGCCGGUUCAGCCCCGUUUGAUCGAUCCGCCUCAUCAGAACAACAUUGUGACGCAGCCUGUCCCAACACCACCGGGUCAUUACUCUACUCCGAUGGACAAUCUUGUUGCUGCCGCUUCAUUGCUGGAGGCUAUCCCAAUUGAAGGCGAUUCUCCGGCGGCGGUCGAGACGCGUCGGGUUAAAGAGCUUCUUCGGACAGCCUUGGUGCAAUAGGAGGCUUAUUCAUACAGUCGUGAUCAGAUUCAUUCCACCCCCCGUCCAAGCCGGAGUUACAGCAGGCGCAUGGAUGAACCGGCCGUGUCAAGCAAUGCGCGGAACCGUGAACCGCCCCGUGGCCACAACCCGGCAGGGGGCGCUGGUGAUGCUCAGGAACUGGUGGACAGGGCUCGUGCACGCAGGGAGGCCGAGUUAGCGGCGCAGCAUGAAGCCCGUCAGCUUGCUCCGGUUCGUCCAACCACAUCAGUAGAGCCAGGAGUCACCUCUAGUUCCUUGGGGGUGUCGUGUCUUGUACCGGCAUUGCGCAACGUGCGCCUGCCCAAGGAUUUCAAAGGCCCGCGCAAGGUGCCAAAUUACACUGCCGAUUUAUCCCCUGAGACAUGGGUUGAAAGUUAUGAGAUGGCCAUGGAGAUGUUGGACGUGGAUGAUGCGGCAUGUGCAAAGUAUUUUACCAUGAUGUUGGAAGGGAUGGCCCGUACUUGGCUAAAGAGUUUACCGGCGAAUUCUAUCAGGUCAUGGGCCGAGUUAAGAAACUGGUUUAUCCAGAAUUUCAAGGAUACAUGUAAGCAGCCUAUGUCGAUUGUGGACUUAGCUGCCUGUGUCCAGGAGGAAGGAGAGUCAACAACCCGAUGGGUGCGCCGGGUUUCAGAAAUUUUGCAUUCAUCAGACCGCAUCAAUGCGGAUACUGCAGUUCUGACCUUAGAAGGCAAUUGCCGGUUUAAACCUCUGAAGUUGAAGUUGGGACGGCUGAAACGCCAUUGCAAUCACAUCGGAACCCUCAUGGCCGCUUUAGUAAAGUAUGCUGACUCUGAUAGUACCAAGGAUCCUGAGUCUGAUGAUGAUAAGACAGGGAAGGGAAAGAAGAGCGGCAACGCCAAGGGGCACCACCACAACCCGACGGGUCAUGGAAAUGGCGGCAAACGUAAAGCGGAUCACAUCAUGGACUUUGUGGCCAAUACCAGCGCACAGGACAAAGGCCAACGGCGCAAGGGUAAACCGCCCCAGCGCGGUGGAGCACCUAGCCCUAACCCGGACCGCCUGUCUUACCUAUUGAACCAGCCCUGCCCGAAACAUGCACUACAAAAAAUACACUUCCGUGAUGAUACGUGUUUGUCACAGUAGGUCGCAUUUUUUGUCAUGCAUGUACAUCCAUGACAAAUUUAUGACAGAAUCAAGAUAGUCAUACCUGUGCUGUCGUAGAAGUGUUCCAUGACAUUACCAAAAUUAUCAUCACGGAAGUGUCCACUUCCAUGACGAUAAAUCGCGUGUCACAGAAGUGCUUUCGUCAAGGGUGACCGACACGUAGCAUCCACCGUAACGGAACACCGUUAAGCUAUCGGGUCGGGUUUUGGAUCCGAUAACCCGUUAACAGCCCCGACCAAUGGGGAUUUUCCACGUGUAAAAUCAUCAUUGGCUGGAGGAAACACGUGUCGACUCAUCGUUGGGACAGAUGUCAUCCACUCAUUGGACAGAAGGCGCCUAUGAUACGUUGACACGUGGCACGGCCCAACAGAGGCCCAUUCCUGUGAAAAGGCUGGCCCGUUUGACUUGGUCAAAAGAUGGCGGGCCGGCCCAUGGAAAGCCUGUUAACGGCCCGUUCGCAUAUAGCCCAUUUACGGCCCGCUAACCCAAGGCCCGUUACGCCCUAUCCGAAUUAGGCCCAGUAGCGUCAUCUGGACCAUCCAAUAUGAUUCCAGCCCAUUUUCACUUCUGGCCCAUGACGUCUUUCGGCCCAUAUGAGGCUCUAUGUAACUCUUGGCCUAUUAACGGCCCGUGGUGAAACUGGCCCGCAAUGAACAGUGUAUCACUUUACACCCAUUAACGGCCCGUGGUGAAACUGGCCCGUAAUGAACAAUAUAUCACUUUAUACCCAUUAAGGUCCCGUUAUUCAGUUGGGCCGUUUCCAGCAAAUGUUAUCUUUCGGCCUUCUCAGAGCCCAUUUAUUCUUGGGCUCAUUUCCAGUGUUCGUUUACUUACGGCCCGUUACUGUCAUUUUCUGCUUGUGGGCCAAAUUCAGCCCGUGGUUACAUCGGCCCGUUUGUGGUCCGUUAAUACGUUGGGCCAUUUUCAUAGCGUCAUCAAAUACGGCCUAUUAACGAUGGCCCGUUAUGGUCAUACGGCCCAUAUAAGGCCCAUUGAUGAUACGGCCCGUAGAAGCCCCAUUGUUUCUACGGCCCGUAGAAGGUCUACUGUUUCUAUGGCCCGUAGAAGGCCCACUGUUUCUACGGCCCGUAGGAGGCCCAGUGUCACUACAGUAAAUAUUAGCCCAUGGUUAUUGUGGCCUAGUUUUAAAAAGAACUGCACUGACUACAAGCAAACAAAUAAACAAGACAACAAGGAAAUAAAUAAGCAAGCAACUUAUGCUAGGCUAUCACGGUUGUUACACAUAUUACAUCCACUGGGCAUCAAAGUUCGCCACCAGUGCAAAUAUAGGGAACAAAGCAGCAUAUCAUAUACACUGGUUGUCAAAGUUGGCGACCAGCACAAAUAAACGCCGCAGCAAAACAAAUCCAGAACUGAAACCACUUCAGAAGAUCUCAAGAAAUAAUAUCCUGGGUACCCAUAAUGCUGGCAAGAUGCUUAGCAAGCUUAUUAACUUUCUCUUGUUUGGCGCUUAAAUCCUCCAGCGCUUGCUGUUGCACCAGAAAAUAUGCAUCUGAAUUCUGCAGGGACUUCCUCAGUCCUUCAGCUUCCUGUCGCAGCACAUCUGAUCGAUGUCUUUCAACUUUAAGUUGAGACUCAAGAAGACGAACUGAUUCAGGCAGCGAGUUCGAAGAGCUUGUGCCAGCAGUAGUGGCCAGUAACUCGAACACUACAUCAAGACAGGACUUUUGGGUUCCCUCACUGUCGUCAAGAUAGUUUUUAUCAGCUUUCUUGGAGACCAACACGGAUGUCUCACUAUCUUGAACCUUAUCUGCAUUACUUCCUUUACCAUUGGAUAACGCGGUACUGUUCUCCAAUAUUUUGUCCGCAUUCUAAAAGAGAAACAAGCAGACACAUCACAUGUUUACCAUGUUGUAUAUGAAACUCAUUUUGGUAAAUGAGUUCAGUAGUAAAGUGGACAGGAUAACAGCAUGAAACAAACAUAUAUCUAUGUACCAUGGUCACUUUAUGGUCUAUAUCAUUCUAGUUUUUGUUGCCAAAUCAAGAUAGAGACACAGUUCAAAUAAUAUUUUCUCAAGACAAAGCAGAAUAGACAGAAUAUAAGUGUGGGUAACUAUAGAGCAAUAACAACACUUGUAAUGUGCAUGACAUGAGAACAUAACUGUUUAUUCAAUUGAAACUGAAAUCAACAUAGAGCAUGUUACAACAGCAAACCAGUUAAAGAAACAGGUUUAAAACAUACCUGUUGCGCCAUUGGAGUUUCAAUUCCAUCCUUCAAAUUUGAAAAUAGUUGGUAUGAGUAAAUACAGUAAUGCAAGAGCAAAGGAGUAUGAACCAUAGCUACAGAACCUGACCUGAGAACAAAUCUUCUUCUCCUUUAAGCGUUGAGUUGGGAUUCGGAGUGGUGGUCCUCGUGCUUUGGGCACUGCAGUUCCCUUACUAACCACUCGUGUUUGGGUGCUCUGUGGUGGAGACGGUGCUGUGUCAACUGGAACUGGGUUACUAUCUGCCGGGGUUGGGGUUAGAAGGGGUGUAGCUGGUUCUCUGUCCAACUGGGUAGGGGUACAAUCUGCGAGAGUCUGGGUUAUGUGUGGUGGAUCUGGUCCUUGGGCAAGUACAACCGUGGUUCUAUCUGCAUCAACUGGUAGCACUAUCUUUUCUGAAGACCGUGUUGUUACUCCCUUAGAUACUGCCAUCACGCUCUCCAAUUCAAAUGGUUGAUAAACAAGAAAAGUAAUCGAAAGUAUAGACAUUGUAUGAUAGACAGGUGCAAUGGAUAGUGGGGAAUAAAAGAGGGCAUGAAAUAAUUCAUAUUUAUGUUGUCUAACCAAACAGGAUAGCAUGACACAAUUUCACAUAUAUGAUGGCUAACUAAACAGGAUAGCAUGACACAAUUUCACAUUAUGAUGGCUAACUAAAAAAGAUGGAAAGACAUAGUUCAAAACAUGAGACUAUGUAAACAGGAUGACAUGACAUAACUAUAUAAUGUGUUUAUUAAAUAGGUUGGCAUGCCAUAAUUCACAUACAUUCAUGGAUAGAAUGCCAUAAUUCUAAAUAUGAUGACUGUAAACACUAAACAGGAUGAGAUGAUAUAACUAUAUGAUGUCUUUAUUAAAUGGGUUGCCAUGCCAUAAUUCAGAUAGAUGAUGUGUAUGUACUAUGUAAACAUGAUGGCAUGAUAUAAUUCAAAUAUAUGAUUUAUAUAGUAAGCAAGUAAGCAGAUGGCAAUCUAUAUAUGAUGUAAAAACUAAGCAAUGCAAGACAACAUGCAUGACAUGGGUAAUAUAACCCUGCCAAGUUUGGGCAUAGACCUCAGGGGGAAAUAGGACUGGUCAUCAGUCUCUGAAUCCUCCUCUGAGGAGCUCUCUAUAGCCAGCAAGAUGUCUGCUUCAGCAGGUAGCAUUGUCUGCUCUGAAUACCUUGUUUUCACUCCAGAUACUCCCAUCACCGCUUCAAAUGGCUGAUGCACAGGAAGAGUAGUUGAAUAUACAAACGUUGUCGACAAAUGGAACACGUAGUACAAAAAAAUGAUAGCAUGAUAUAAUUCACAUACAUGAUGAUUGGCUAAACAGCAUGGCAUUGAAUAAUUCACAUAUAUAAUGCCUUUGCAACAAGAUAGCAUUGUAUAAUUCACAUAUAUAAUGUCUUGCAACAAGAUGGCAAUGCAUAAUUCACAUAUAUGGUAAUUAGACAUUGAACAGGUGGCAUUCACACAAAGCAUGUCUAAACUAAUCAAAUGGCAUAGCAAUGCGAGACACCAUACGCACGAUAUGAGCAACAUAACCCUGCCAAGUUAGAGCAUACACCUCGGGAGGGGGGAAUAGGACUGGUCAUCUGUCUCUGAAUCCUCCUCUGAGGAGCUAUCCGUAACCAGCGAGAUAUGCGCUUCGUCAGAUAGCAUAGUCUGCUCAGAAGACCUUGUUUUCACUCCAGAAUUUGCCAUCACCGUGUCAAAUGGCUGAUGCACACGAAGAGCAGUUGAAUGUACUAACAUUGUUGACAAAUGUAAUAUGUAACGGAAAAAAAAGGAUGGCCUGAUAUAAUUUACAUAUAAGAUGACUGGCUAAGCAGGAUGGCAUUGGAAAAUUCACAUAUAUGAUGCCUGGCUAAACAAGGUGGCGUUGCAUAAUUCACAUAAACGAUGAAUAAACUAAACAGAUGGCAUUCGCACAAAGGAUGUCUAAACUAAGCAGAUGGCAUAUUUGAUGUAUAAAGUAAGCAAUGCAAGACACCAUAUGCAUGAUAUAACCAACAUCAGCAUGCCAAGUUAGAGCGAAGACCUCAGGGGGUAAAUAGGAGUUAUCUUCUCCUUCUGAAUCCCCCUCAGAACAGAUAUCUUCCUCUCGAUUACAAUCCAAAAUGCGUGGAGGAGGGGCUGCCUUUGCGCCUACCAUGGAGCGACGUCUGCAUGAAAUUAUAUUGCCACGCAAGGCUCGUCUCUUUUGCUCUACAUGUUCAGUUCCAUUGUUUACAAUAACUGUCAUGCAUAGGAAUAAAACAUAGUGAGAUUAUGUAAGGAGUGCAUGCAGAAAUCCAGAGUGAUGGUAGCAACCUGUGGAUAGACACAAAACCAAUAAUAGCAGGCAGAUAAUGGCUUCAGUUAAUAAAUACAGAUAAUGGCUUCUUUACUGUUUGUUUCCCACCCAACAUGAAACUCAUAGCAGACACCGGAGAUUAACCAGAUAGUAGAUAGAUACUAUUGAUAGCGGCCCCGAUAUGUACCCCAAAACCAUUUAAAAACUCAAGUUUGACCAUUAGUUUGGAGCUGACUCAGAGUCUAAUCGGUGAACAGGACGAUAAAAUAGCAUGUAAUAUUAAGCGAUGCAUAACGUAAGCAGACACGAAAGAGUGCGACCUCUCUUGCGGACCCGUGUAGUCCUCGAGGUCAUCUGCUCGGUUGAUGAUGGUAAUGCAGUUUUCAUGGCUGCCAGCGGCGGGGAAGAAGAUCUGAGGCGGCGAAAGACAGUCUGGAGGCCGGAUCCCUGCUGUGCUGGACCCUUCUGUCGUUGGAGCAGCUGAGCUGGGGUGGACAACGGCGCAGCAGGAGCGGGACAAACCACGCAAGAUUUUCUUUGACAACUAUCUGUAAGAGAAGUAAUUCUGUAAGGGCUCGUUUGAAUUGGAGGAUUCCAACAAUACAGGGAUAGGAAAUAGACAGGAAUAGGAUAGGAAUGCACGUGCAAAACAGAGAAUUUAAAAACACAGGAUUUCUGCCAAUCUGGGUGUUUGAUUCACAAAAAUUGGAAGAUCACAGGAUGCAAAGAAGCAUGGUGAGAUUAAGUCAAACCACAAGAAAAUGUACGGUUAUAAUGCUAUUAUGCUACUAUCUCUUAGUCUUGUGCUUCAUGAAUAGGAAUUUGAAAAGGAGGACAAGUGAAAAUUAAAAUUCCUACGUUUUUUCUUUCAAGGAGACACUAAAGGAACAAAUCCGUGUGUUCAGUGGACAAUAUAUAUAACAUGUAGAGUAAAAAAGAGAUGCAACAAGUGUACAACCUCUUUGGCAAAGCCAUGUUGAUCUCAUCGUGAUUGGGUUGGCCAGUGAGGAUGCUCCGGCUGACUUUGCUGUCGGAGGAGGGGAAGAAGAUCUUAGGCGUUUGGAGAUGGAGCCCGAGGUACUGCUCCGCUGUGAUGGAGGGUUUCGUCGUUGGAGCAGCUCCGGUGAGUUGUACGACGCCGAGGCUGAAGCAGGACAAGAGAGACAACGAACAACGUUAACCUGAGUGGAAUUCUAAUAGCAUCUCCAAUACAUGACGUAAAAUACAUAACCACAAAGUGCUAGAUGUAAAAUACAUCAGCCGCUCAUCUCUGAACUUAACUGUCGAAACUGAACUUAACUGUCGAAACUGAACUUAACUGUCGAAACUGAACCUAACUGUCGAAACCGAAUUUUGUUGUCGAAACUGAAUUUUGCUGUCGAAACUGAACGCACUAGCAAGGUGAGGCUACACGUCGGUCGACUAUCUUUUUCAUCUCUGGUCAGUCGAUUUUGCAGCCGUUGGAUACGAAAUCAAGGGCCUGCGGUUCAUCUUCAACCUCCACCCCCCCUGAGCCGCCAGCCACCACCGGCCAAACAGCAGCCCCCCGCCGCCCGCGGCCGGCGGUGCGCCGCCCCGCCCGCCCCGAAAACACUCCNNNNNNNNNNNNNNNNNNNNNNNNNNNNNNNNNNNNNNNNNNNNNNNNNNNNNNNNNNNNNNNNNNNNNNNNNNNNNNNNNNNNNNNNNNNNNNNNNNNNNNNNNNNNNNNNNNNNNNNNNNNNNNNNNNNNNNNNNNNNNNNNNNNNNNNNNNNNNNNNNNNNNNNNNNNNNNNNNNNNNNNNNNNNNNNNNNNNNNNNNNNNNNNNNNNNNNNNNNNNNNNNNNNNNNNNNNNNNNNNNNNNNNNNNNNNNNNNNNNNNNNNNNNNNNNNNNNNNNNNNNNNNNNNNNNNCCGUCCAUCCCUCUAGGCCCCCACGUGCCGAGCUUUUUCUCCGGCGAUCCCCACGCCACCGCCCCGCCAACGCCCCGCCACCGCCGGCGACCACCGCCCCCAUCCUGAACCCUAAGAUAGAUAGUGGGGUACCUCUCCGGCGAGCCCCCCUCCCCGCUGCAGCUGGUUCUUCCUUCACCCCGGCGAGCCCAUCCCUUGAAAAUUGACUGACCCAAAAGUCGAUUCAGUCGACUGAAGUGUAGCCAAAUCGGAGCAGCAUCGCAAGCAAGAGCAAGAGCGAGAGCAGCAGCGCGAGCAAGAGCAGACCAGGCAGGGGACCGAGAGCAAGAGCAGCGCAGCAGCGCGAGCGAGAGCUAAAGCAGCAGCAGCUCCUACUGAUGUGGACGUCGCCGCCGAGGGAGCGACGCCGUGGAGGAAGUGGCCGGCGACGCCGCCGUGGAUGGAGCCGCGCCGUGUCGGCUCGGGACCGAGCGCCGACAGCACCGUGAGAUCGAAUCAAGAAGAAAAUGUGGCGAUUAGUGUACAACCUCUUUGGUGGCGCCGAUUAGGCCGCAGCUUCAUCCGAGGAAACGGUGAUGAUGAUGCUCUUCCGGUGGUGCAGGUGAAGACGGCGGUGUGGGAAUGGAGGUGGCGCGAAAGACGAGGGGAACGUCGGGGCAGCUCCUUGGAGGUGGAGGAUGGGGUGGCUGAACCGGCGGGACGAUGAGAUCGACGACGGAUCCUCAUCCGGUACGGUGGAUGAGGGACGUCGAGGUGUUGCUGUGGACGACGUCGUCGGGGAAGAAGCUCCGGCUGGGUGGCGGACGGAGCAGGGUGUGGGGUUUCGUCGCGGGUUUUCGUGGCCUCGGUGUACGAAUGGGUGGGCGGAUGGGAUGGCAGUGGGGAACCAUGGCUUAGAGACGCGCUUGUCCGAAAUGUGGGGUAAGUUACGAAAGUACCCCCCACCGAUUUGAGGCGGUUCUUUCGGUUCAGGGGUACCACGGGCAUUUCGCGUGUCAGGAUUUCACAGCAGGUGGGAGUUUUUGCGCGCGUUGUAAUUUCGGAAUAGCAAGGCGCGGGUUGAGAUGGAGGGAGUUGAAGGAUCACAACGAGACAAAGAUAUAUCUUAAAUAUUUCGGGCUAACAAGGCGCGGGUUGAAAUUUCCGGACAAGCCUAACGUGUACUGUACCAAAUCAAUGCGCACUACAAAUGUCAUUCAAAACUUUGAAUUCAUGUUAUGUUCAAUUAAAAUAUUUCGCUACGUGUAUAAUGCAUGCAACCUACUACUCAAAUGAACGUUUUAGUGCAUUCCAAACGUAUAUACUACCGCUUCAAUAUGAACUAAAUUUGAAUAAGAUCUACAGUAAUGAUUGUUGUGAAGUCAAAGCAUUUGAAUUCGUUUCUCUGUUUUAAUAAGAUCUACAAUCAUCAUUAUUGUCAAGUUAAACCAUCAUUUGUGUAUUAUCUUCACAGCACACCACAUGAUUAGUCUCGAGUUACAUAUGAACUAUGUGUACUAUAUGAACUNNNNNNNNNNNNNNNNNNNNNNNNNNNNNNNNNNNNNNNNNNNNNNNNNNNNNNNNNNNNNNNNNNNNNNNNNNNNNNNNNNNNNNNNNNNNNNNNNNNNNNNNNNNNNNNNNNNNNNNNNNNNNNNNNNNNNNNNNNNNNNNNNNNNNNNNNNNNNNNNNNNNNNNNNNNNNNNNNNNNNNNNNNNNNNNNNNNNNNNNNNNNNNNNNNNNNNNNNNNNNNNNNNNNNNNNNNNNNNNNNNNNNNNNNNNNNNNNNNNNNNNNNNNNNNNNNNNNNNNNNNNNNNNNNNNNNNNNNNNNNNNNNNNNNNNNNNNNNNNNNNNNNNNNNNNNNNNNNNNNNNNNNNNNNNNNNNNNNNNNNNNNNNNNNNNNNNNNNNNNNNNNNNNNNNNNNNNNNNNNNNNNNNNNNNNNNUUUUGAAUCCACUUUAUUUUGAUUUCAAAUCACAUUACAUUUCUAGCUCUAGCUAGAUCUUCAUAAUCUAAACCAUGUCUCAUAUGUAUAAUGUGUUUAUCACAUUAUGUAUGGUGCCCCGCCCCCUACGCCUACAAGUAUUUAGAUGUGAGUUGCAAACACCACACAUUACCACAAAUUCAAAUAAAAUGUGAGAAUGUUCGAUAUAUAGUAUUGUUUAGAUUGCUCGAUAUUUAGUUGUAAGCUGCAAACGCCGCACAUUAUCACAAAUUCAAAUAAAAUGUGAGAUUGUUUGAUGUAUAGUAUGGUUUAGAUUGUUCGGCAUUUAGCUGUGAGUUGCAAACGCCAUGCAUUAUCACAUUAUGGUAUAACAUGUGCACAGCACGUGUAUCACCGCUAUAUUCAUGCAUGCAAUGUUUAAAACACUAUGAUCUCCUAUUCAAAUAUAUGAAUCCGCUUUCAUAUCAAAUUAUGAUCUUUGUUAGCCUCUUAUACCCACACAAUCCUCUAGCCUUUGUAGCUACCACUAACUUUCUCUCGUGCAUGCACACGCCCUCCUCGCCCUCCCCCUCCCUCGGCAUUCUAUCCACCGGGCACAUUCAUUUUUUUCUUUAGGUCGUUCUCCCAGAGUCUCCACAACUCCUUUCUGACACACACCGAUCGAUAAACCUCUCCAGCGAUGCCUGCCUACAGCAUACACACACAGCUUCGAUCUCCUCCUUUAUGUGUCCUUGCCUCGUGUCUCUCAUAUGGUCAGACACACGUGUAAACUCUCGCCCCUCUUUGCAUCGAUCUCACAACCGCACACUCCUCCCCCUAUCUAGCUAGUAGUUGGGCCUCUCGCACCACCUCCUAGCUCCAUUCUCUAUGUCUAUCCGUCUCGCUGGGCCUUAUUUGCCUCUAACAAAUGGACGUACACCGACCGAUCUCUCGCUAUACAUAUAGCCAGCUAGGUCCUUAUAACUCGUUUUUACCCACACAUCGAUUGAUCUACCUCAUUAGUUGUGUCUCUCCCUUCCUCCAACAAACAACAAUUGACCGAUCUAGUUAGGUUUGCUUACCAAACACAUGGUUCCCCUUCAUCAUCCAUGGAUGCGUCCCGACAGAUCUAUCACGCACAGGCACACACAGAAACACAUCCCCACUCUUAUUGAUAACAUUGCAGUUCCACCCUCAGUUUGUCUAGUAGGCCUCUCCCAACAUCUCUGAGAAGCAACUUCAUCACCCAUCCAGCACUCUACCCCUCUCCCUCCCUCUCCCUCCCUCUCUCUCUCCUCUCUCUCUCUGUCCCAUCAUAUUUCCCGUCCUUCAGUUAUGUAUGGAUGUCGACCGAUCUCCCUCAAGACAUAGCUGGGUCUCUCCUUCUCAACACAUAUACGAGUCGUUCUACCUCUAUAGUUAGGCCUCUGCCUACCCCUCCCCCNNNNNNNNNNNNNNNNNNNNNNNNNNNNNNNNNNNNNNNNNNNNNNNNNNNNNNNNNNNNNNNNNNNNNNNNNNNNNNNNNNNNNNNNNNNNNNNNNNNNNNNNNNNNNNNNNNNNNNNNNNNNNNNNNNNNNNNNNNNNNNNNNNNNNNNNNNNNNNNNNNNNNNNNNNNNNNNNNNNNNNNNNNNNNNNNNNNNNNNNNNNNNNNNNNNNNNNNNNNNNNNNNNNNNNNNNNNNNNNNNNNNNNNNNNNNNNNNNNNNNNNNNNNNNNNNNNNNNNNNNNNNNNNNNNNNNNNNNNNNNNNNNNNNNNNNNNNNNNNNCGAUACAUCAAGCGCUCUAGUCAUGUCUACCUGCCACACACAAACUUGACAUGUGCCCUCUAACGUUCCGGUAGGCCAGUCGCCCUAUAUCUUUGACUUGCACACACACACACACACACAAUUUCGAUGGAUCUCUUCAUCGAUCUCGCACCCACCCACUUGAUCCUCUCUUCGACUCUAUCGAUAGCUAUGACCCCUCCCUCUCUUCUCGUGGAUUGCCCGACCCUCUAUGUAUGAUAUGGAUAGGCCUCAAUUUCACACACGUUGCAUGCAAAAUUUUGUUUGAGAUGUCAUCAACACAUAUUCCCACAAAUAAUUCACGAAAUCAACCCCCCACCCCCGACCACAAAACAAAAAACACUCACGAACGCGGUUUGUAUCUCUCACACACACCCACGUAGGUGGGGGCGUGCACGAAGAGAAGAGGUGCAUGCACGGCGCACGUACUCCCGUCUCUUUCCCAACCACACCCGCGCGGGUACACGGUGGAGCUCAUUUCUGUACGAAAAAGGCAUCCCACGUGGUAAUUUGGCACGUGUACUGGUUGUCCACUUGGUGGAGGGAGGAUCGUCUACCACGGGUGAACAAACAAAUUGCGACUUGACGCGUUAUGUUAAAUUAAAAAAAGAGGCAAACCAUGUGGGGCCUACCUUAGAGGCAAGGCUCUAUACACCGAAGUACUUUUGAUGUGUCCCGUCAACUCGCAGAACGAGGAGAAGCUUGCUUAGUAUGCCGUCUCCCCCGCCCACGGGCGCGGUGGCUUGCUGGAUGAGGUGAAGCUUGCUCCUCCCUCGUCCAUGCGCGCGGUGGCUCGCAGGACGAGGAGAAAAAUUUACUACUCCCUCCGUUUACUCCUCGUCCCUACUACCUUGGUUAUAGAGAUUAUAUCAUAUUGUUUGGAAUAUAUAUGUCCUUUAGUAGAUUUCAAUAUGUACUACUAGUACAUACUCCAAACACUGAUGUAUAUAGACGUAUUUUAGAGUGUACAUUCACUCAUUUUGCUCCGUAUGUAGUAGCACUCUCCCUCGCCCCUCGACCCUCGCCCACGUGGUGGACGUGCAGCAAUUCAUUCGGUCUCAUAUAGCCAGAAUGAUAUAUACUGCACUACCAUUAUUGCUCGACUUCCCGAAGAGGCGAAGAGCCAAUCGCAAGGUUAAUAUUUUGGAGAUGCCAAGCGCAAGGUUAGUAGGUGCCGCGUCAUUUAUAAAUAUAUUUUUUUCUUCAGUGGCACGUACGCAAUAUGAUAGGUUCAUAUGGAGAGAAAAGGAAACCGCUCCACUAUAUACAUAGUCAGGACGGGCCAGCCUACACGGUUGCUUGCUGGGGUUGCUCUCUUCACACUCUCUCGCAUAAAAUGACUGUGGCCACAUCUCUAACAUCCCGGCGGAUCACGUCCGCUUGGGGAAGGGGUGGAUGCUUAGUGUAGAUGCGGUGGCCGUCGCCGACGGCGAAAACCCACUGUCGGCACGUCCCGAUCAAGGAUCCCCGCCGUUCUCUCUCACAAAGCCGGUGAGGUUGCCUUCGUCCCUUGCUCACUGCCGCGACGUGGGCAGUUGCCGCCUCCCGCCGCCCUCCUCAAGGUUGAGCUACGUCCCUCAGGUACAACUCCCUUUACAGCCGGCUUGCACCACUGCUCCAGCUGCCCACAUCACUCCCUGUGGAUAUUUCUCUACUUCUUUGCCCCGCACAUACCUGAUACCUCUAUUGGCUUCUACGUACUGUAUUUGUGAUGAGUUUAUGUCUCAUCAACUAGUCCUAGUAAUCUUAUUCUAAUCACGCUUCUUCAAUUUCUUUGCCACAGGGAUGCUCAUCUCGAUUUUGGUGAAACUGCACAAAAUGAUCCGAUGGCCAAAAGGUUGCAAACUUCAUUUAUUAGGAAGCUCGAAGGUUGCCAGCAAAUUGAAGCCUGGUCAGGGUUCACGGUUCAAGGGCUAGGGACUGCAUGGAUCAUUUUUUUCUUUAGCUGCCUCUGUUCCAAAAUAAGUGUUAACUUUAGUAGUAGUACAACUUUGUAAUAAAGUUUGCACAAAGUUGAGACACUUAUUUUGGAACGGAGGGAGUACAUAUUUGCUAUGAUCUGUCAAUCAUUGAGAUGCAAUAGCAUGCAUGUUAGUCUCCUUUGUAUUUGAUGAAAUGUUGCAACGGGCAACCUUGGACGCAAGAUACAUGUAACAGGAGCUGGAAGCUUCAUAGCAUUGUACAAAUUUAUCUCGCUGAUAAAUUACAGUACGUACUAGUACUAUACUAGUACUUCCUCUGUUCCUAAAUAUAAGUCUUUGUAGAGAUUUCACCAUUAACCACAUGCGGAUGUAUAUAGAUGCAUUCUAAGUGUAGAUUCAUUCAUUUUGUUCCGUAUGUAGUUCACCUAGUGGAAUCUCUACAAAGACUAUCUACUAGUAAUAGCUAGCCCCCACUACUAGGAAUUCUCUAUCCUCUCCUUGAGCCACAUCAUCAAAAUUGACGUAGCCGUUAGAUGAAGUAAAUCAGUCAUAAUAGCCGUCUGAUCUAGACGUUGAGAGGCUCCGCACUAAGCCACAUGCAAGCAUGCAGAAAUACCGUGGCACAUGCACGUGAGUGGGUUUUAAAUCACAUCAACAUGUCUGCAUGCAAGCAUGCACCGGUAGCAUGCAUGUAAGUGAGCUUUUAAGUCCCAUUAACAUGUCAAAAAGAAAAAUAUAAUCCCAUUAUGCAGUAGGAGUUGGCUGAUCUUUUUUCCUUACGUGGGAUGAUCUAAAUGAUGAUGGGAGUUUAUUUAGUUUGGCUACCACAUUUGUCAUGUGGUUAUAGAUUUUUUUUAGUUCUAUGAAAUCGAUAAUUUUGCGCAGAGAGAUAUACCGCUGUUCCGCGGCAACGCGCGGGGACUCAUCUAGUAAUAUUUAGGAACGGAGGGAGUACUAUGUAAAGAGUUAGGUGUCGCACGGUGAUAGUGUGAGGUGGGCCAUGUAAUCACUGAGCCUGCGUGUUUUCACUGCUCUUGCACUCCUCCGCUGUAAGAAUGGAGAAAAUUGUAAUCUACUACCUCCUUUCGCCGAAAGCAUGGGACAUCCAGCAGUCCUACCACCUCAGUAAUAAAGACCAAUGAGCCGUCAAAUCACAUAGACCCAACAGUAAGUUGGACGGACGAAGAAACCAUCACUCUUGCGCCAGUGAGAGGUCGUGUCCGCUCUGCCCGGGCAUGAAUGCGGCACCGAUUCUUUGGAGCGGCGCUGACCGUUUCGGGCGGGAAGCGCGCGCGGGCGAUGGAGGGGCUUUGGGUGGGCCAGGCUGGUCAGGAGCGGGCGUGGCAGUUGUCCGCAUGUCCCUACCGGACACGCCCGGAAACGAGAGGAUGCACCGACUCUCGCGGCUAAAAUCGUACACUACACACCAUAUCUCUGUAGGAGUAGGUCGAUCUGUCGCACUCUCUAACACACACAUGCUGUUAAACACACACACGCACACGCACGCACCUUGGUCCCGUUGCACCUUCUAACGUGACUUAUUACACCUAGACGGAGGGAGUAGUAAGUAUACGAGAUACGGUGGCACACUGACUUAAGUCGAAUACAAGUGCCCAAAAUUUGUGUGCAUGUUAUAAUAAGGAUUCACUUAAAAUAGUACGUGAGCGAACAGAGGGAUCAAUUGGACAGUGUUCCCGAGUAGUAGCGAGAUGUGUGAGGUAGUAAGAUACACCGCUGGCGCUUCUAAUUUUUCUUAUUAAUUUGUUUGUUUCACCCUCUGACUGGUGGGACCCAACGUACUACGUGGAGAGAGGUAAGGUGACUAAGGCUGCAUUAUUUCUACACCACUGUGGAUAGUCUUACCACCAAAGCCACAUGACACGAUUAUGAUUGAAAUCCUAAUGACUCCCACACACACACAAAAACACGGCAUGCCUGUCACACGAAUGCAGGAAUGUAUAAAAGGUUAUUUUCCUCUCGUUGAACAUAACGGGAGGGUUGUGUAGCUGGUUAGCCUGUUCGCUCAUCAAACUUGAGGUCUCGGGUUCGAUAACUACACUUGAGCAUAAUUUUUGCCAGGAGGAUUCUUUGACUGGUCAAAAUGUUUUCUAGGGUUUGCACGCUUCACACUCUCUCUCGAGUAUAUAUAUACACGCUGGAGCCUCAGCGCUUGUAGUUGCUCUCUUCACACUCUCUCGCCCUCUCCCGCUGGAGCCUCAGCGCUUGUAGUUGCUCUCUUCACACUCUCUCGCCCUCUCCAGAUCUAAACAAGACUUUGUUGGCCUCUCUCUCCCCUCACUGCAGCUCAAAGAGCCGGCAGAAUCCGUUCACCGGGAAGGGAAGGAGGCUUAACGUUGUCGCCGUCGGCGAGGGAGGGAAUCCACUACCGGCACUGCUGUUCACUUUCCACCCAGCGGCGGCGCGGGAGGGCCUCCGACCCCUUCUUCUUCGCAGCCGUCCCGUCGCCCACCGAACCACGCCCCAAGAACCUUAAGGUAUAUUUUACUUACUCCACAUGCAUUGCUCUAGCUGCAUGUAUACCAUGAAUCUAGGACGUGGUUCAAAGAGGAAAGGAGUGGGGGAAAGUAGUGGGAAAAGUUGUAUAUAGCAUGAAUCUAGGAUGUGGUUCAAAGAGGAAAUGAAGGGGGAAAGUUGUAUAGCAUGAAUCUAGGACGUGGUUCAAAGAGGAAAGGAAUGGGGGAAAGUAGUGGGGAAAGUUGUAUCGCAUAAAUCUAGGAUGUGGUUCAAAGAGGAAAGGAAGGGGCGAAAGUACUAGUUCAAAAAGGAAAGGAAGGGACAAGGCUGUAGAGUUUGAGCAGGACAGAUUUGUUGCGCUCACAUAGGGAAAGGUGUCUAAAGAUAACAAAACUGGGACCAGCACAAAUAUGCUCCUUGGUUGUUUGUUAUUUGUUGCAACAGACUGUGCAUGACCACAGUACAUCGGUAGAUGCACAUGGUGCUGGUGCGUCCACUGUCCCGUGCAACUCAUUAGCUGUUGUUAAUCUAAGGCCCUGUUUGGUUAAAAACUCCCUAGUCCCUACCUGCUUGGUUCCAGGGACUAAACAUGGACUAGAGGUUAUUAAAUGACAUGAUAAAAGACCAUGUUACCCCUAGUAAUGAACUAAUAGAAACAAGGUGCGAUGCGUGGCAGGGGCAACUGUUGGAAAAGUCCCAAAAAGACUCCCUCGGGGUCUUCUUUCUUUAGUCCCAAAUGCCCACUUUUAGUCCCGAAAAGUCCCUCCUGUUUGGUUUAGAUGUGACUGACACGGAGUUUUUUUAGUCCCUACACCAAAAUGUCCCUGUAAACAAACACCCUCUAAUAAUGCCGCUGGAAAAUUGAUGCAAUGCCACAGUUAAAAGCAAAUUACAUGUUUAACGAAUUUUAUUGUUAAUAUAAUCUCUAUGUUAAUAUUAAUCAAUGCCACCGUUUGAGAAAUGCUACUGUCUUGCUUUCUUUCCCAUUUAGAUAAGGUAGAUGCUUAUUUUUGUUGGCUUCUGUGUCAUCCACCGUUAUUGACCACUAAUUGUUUCCUUUGCACCUCUGUGUAAACAGGGUUAUCUACUUCACCUCGUUGCCAUUGUGACCUUUUGUUGCACUGCACAAAACACUUUUGUUUUAAGAGUGUUUUGUGCAGUUCAACCAAAAUGUCACACUGACAACGUUGCUUGAUUGCUUGAUCUUAGUGGAACUGCACAAGAGGAGAUCUUACUUCCUAUCCGUUAAGGCGAAUUUGGUUCAGAUCUUCUUCUUGUGAGUUGUUUGAAUUCCGCAUCAUGAGAGGUCAGUACUAGCCUUCUUUCACAUGAUUCUGCAGUGUGCUUUCAUAUGUUGUGCUACUUGUACGAUAAUGUUGCUUGAUUUUAGUGAACUGCACAAAUGGAGACAAGACUUCCAAUCUGUAUGUGCACCAUAAUAUCCCAUUGAGGUAAGAUAAGGAUAUUUCACAACUGCUGGCCUGUAUUUUGCCACUUUCAUCAGAAAAUUAAGUUUAGUACUAUACUUUUGCUCCCUAAUUGACAUGUCAAAUCUUACAUUGAAGGCGAAGCUUGUCUGUUAUUGAACCAAGUGAUGAAGGGGAAGAACAAGCGGAAGAAAAACAAAAAUCAACUCCCGGUGCUGUAAUGAAGCACUGGAACUGUGAUGACACAAGUAAUGAUAUAGUUUUGCAUCUUAAUUUAUUGCUAUGGCUGGAACGAGCAAUUGUUUUGCCACUGAUUUGAUGCCAUACGUAAUUAUCUCUACUUGUGCAAACAGGGAUCUUCUUUGAAGAUACCAUAUAUUUUAGUGGAACUACACAAGAAGAUGUUGGAAACAUUAAACUAAACGAGGAGUAUAUAGUAAGCAUGGCCACCCCCGUAGAUAGCAAAAGAUGGUUCCGGAGAAGUGCUUCAUCUGUAUGCUCUACACAAUCAGCCUCCUGACAAAUGUUGGUACUCACCCACUGAUUUCAUCCAUAUGAUUGAGCUUUGUCAUCUCUAUUGGUGUUGUGCUACUGUUUAGAUACUGUCAUGAAAAAGUGGUAUUGUCCUUGAGAAUUGCUUCAUCUGUGCUGUUUUAAAUAUUUCCUUUCCUUUUUUUCGAGCAAACAGGGAUCAUCUUCCUCUGAAGAAGAAUAUGGAGUACGUGAAGUGACUAGUUCCGAUUAUGCCAGGAUGAAGAAGCCCUGUCUAUCUUCUCAUCAGAAGGAGCACUUGAAGGAUGGUUACAUUACUCCCCACAAGACCAAACUAACUUCAGCUCAGAAGGACUGAAAAAUCUCCAUUUUUUGCUGUGAUGCGCGAGUACAAUGUUGUUCUAAGAUUCUUUCUGGUGAGUUCCAUUUUUCUAAAAGUGUGCUCUACAUGGACCAUGUAUGUGCCUGUUGAAACUGUCAAUUCAUAGUAUAGUUUGCUUUAUACUAAUCACUUUUUUGUAUUUGUGCAAACAGGGGUGCUCAGCUUGAUUUCAACGGGAACUGCACAAAAUGUUCAUGAAUACAUCGAAUCAUUCAUUUCCACCACAAGAAAGGAGGUGCCCAUAAGUUCAAGGCGUUGCAACAUAUAAGGGCGAAAUCAUACAAGCUACGCACGAAUUUGGUUGAUUUUGGUGGAACUGCACAAAAAAAACAGCUGGUUUAUUUAGCACGAGGUGCCAUGUCAAUGUCCGAACUGAUGGCAAACCCUGCCCAUUUCACAAUCGUAGGCAUUUGAUAUUUUGGAAUGGGACAACCUUGUCAAAUUUUGCUCAUUGAUUUUAGCAAGAUAUGCAUUUGAUAUUUUCGAAUGGGACGCCCUUUGCUGUCAGCAGCGGCGAUUAAUUUUUUCUUUAUUCUUUAGUUGUGAAGUAAAUAUUGCCUCUGACAUGUGAGUCGCUGAGAUGCAUAAUCAUCGAUUGUUUUGAAUGUUCUCUAUGAAUUUCCAGGCAUGUGUGUUUGAUUGCAAUGUACAGAAACGCUAAAAAGCUGCUCAAACUCUUUGUACUCCUUCUGUUCCUUUUUACUUCGCACAUUGUGAAAGUGCAUACUUUUUUGUAUAAGAUUGGUCAAAGUAGAGAUACUUUGACUGCAGACAAAACUUGUAUGCAGACUAGAAAGGACCAGAGGGAGUACAUGUGAAACUGCUGCAAACGUGGUGAUCACCCUGGGAAUAAUGCUAGUACGUAUUGUUUUGCAUGUUCAUCCAAUGCCAGUGAUACAGGAAUUCGAACUAAUCGAAAUAAAUUCAUUCAUACACGGCCGGAUUUCAUAUAAACAUGCUGGAUUUCAUUACAUUUCAUACAUUCUUCAACUAAAAAGGGGCUUUGUGGCCGCAUGCAUCUCCCAGAUGCAGAGGCUGGGGGUCAUCCUCCUUUUCGAAAAAAAAACUAAAAAGGGGUGCGCUGAAGGUAUAAUUAAUUAACCGAAGCUACCCACCUGUGUCCCGCUGAGCCAAACAGAAGCUUCAGUGACUUAACUGCAGGUGCAAUUGCGUAACUGACAUGUGCCCUGUUGGGCCCACGUGUCAGUCAGCCAACUGCACCAGCAGUUAAGUAGAAGCAGCGUUCUUCUCCAGCGCAGCUCUCCGACUCCACGUCGCCGCCAAGAAGCUAACCGGCCGUCAAUGGUCAACCCGCCUAGCUUGGCUUCAACCGGAGGGUAGCAGCGGUGGCCUUACUUGGACCCGAGCGGCGGCGUCCUACCGUGUUCUACUCUUCCUCGUUUUCUGUGUGGCGCGGCCUCGUUGGCAGCGGGGCGGGGCCUCGGCGGAGCCGGCGAUGUCCUCUGUCUCGUUGCCGGCGGGCGGCGCCUCAGCGGAGCGGUGGAAAUCCUCCCCCACGUUGAUGGCAGGGUGGGGCCUCGGCUGAGCCGGCGAUGUCCUCUGCCUCGUUGUUGGCAGGGAGAGGCCUCGGCGGAGCCGGCGGUGUCCUCUGCCUCGUUGUUGGCGCCGCGGGGCCUCGGCGGAGCAGGGCGUCGUCGACGCCAGUGGAGCGGGGACUCGUCGGAGCCGGCAUUGUCCUCUGCCUCGUCCUCGGUCUCGCCAAACAGCCCCUCACCCGCUUCAUCACCCUCUUUGCUAGCCUCUUUGUAGGCGGCCGCAGCCUCCGCCACCCGCAUGCGGUACCGCCAGUGCUCGAGGCGGCCCUUGCGGGCGGAGCGGUACGAGUCGAGCAGCGCCUCCUGCUCCGCCCGCUUCGUGGUGAUCUGCUCCUCCGCCUGCAGGUGCUCCUGGAGGAGAUGGUGGUUGUAGGCGGCGUCAGCCUGCGUCUCCCGGAACUGCUCCUCACGCAUCGGCCUCACCCUUUCCAUAUAUUGGGCACGGGCCUCGCCGAUGGUCAUGGUGCAAUGCACCGGCGAGGAUGGCGCGGAGGAGGGGGUUGGCGCCGGAUCGUCGACUACCAUGUUCUCCAUUAGGACGUCGACGUCCUCCGGCUACCUGCCGGCCAGCCGGUCGGCAGCAAUGGCUGCCAUCUCCUUGUGGUCCGUCGUCCGCCCGUCCCAAAGAGCGCUAGAGCGCGAGGAAGCCAUGGUGGGCAGUAGUGGUGUGGAUAGGAGAAAGGGAACGGAUGCGGAUGACUGCGGCUAUGGCCGGCGCAGCAGUUUAUAUAGCAAUGGUGGGCGGGCGGAGGGACGGACGUGUGGCGCCGGAGUAGCCGCCUCGGCAACCGCGUAUCAUUAAUGUGUGCGGUAGAUGGACGGACGGAUGGCACUUGUGUCGUUUGAAGGAGGAGCAAUCGCCUGCACCGGGAAGCGGGGCGGCCGGCGCUGACUGUUUCGGGCGGAAAGCGCGCGGGGGCGAGGAGAUGACUUUACUUGGAUAGGAUGACAAUGGGGACCCACCAGGUCCAUAGCCUCACGUACGCAAGUGCCUCCUUAUUAUAUAUAUAUAUAACUAUAAUUUAUUUUGCUUCCUCCUGGUUUCCUGACAUCACGGUCCCACACCAUUGUCAACCUAUGUACUCCCUCCUUUCCGGUUUAUAGGGCUUAUCUCAAAAUUUUAGUUUUUCCAUUUUAUAAGGCUCAAUUUGGCUGUUUUCCAUCACAUGUUCAGAUUCCAAGGUACAUUAAAUCAUUGCAUGCAAGUAUUAAGAGAAAAUUGACCAAUGCAUGUACUUUAUGCAUGCAUGCAUUGCAAUUAAUGCAUUGAUAAACAUAAUUUUUUGAGGAUAACAAGAGCAUUAAUUAGGUGCUUUUGCAAAACUAUAAAAAGUAUUCCACCACUCGCCAUCUACCUUGAUUGGUGAGAUUUUUGAAUUGAGCAUUAUAAACCGGAAAGGAGGCAGUAGUCAAUAAACGAGGAAUUGCACAAGAAGCGGCCGACAGCUGGGACCAAGCAGCUCGAGCAGUAUUUGUGUUUUUGAGGUGUGAGCACUGCAGAUUUUUUUCGAUGUUUACCCUAGAUAUUAAUUUUUCUCCUCUGAACAACAACGAAAACAUCACUGCAGGUAUUAACUGGGCGGGCUGUGGCCCGUCUAGCCCAGGCCAGAUAUCUAGCCCAGAUAUUAUUUUUUUUCAAGAUGAAAAUAGCUAGCCCAGCUAUACUUUUUUUUAGGAAUACCCAGGCAAGGUCAAGUUGUUAUUCACCGCCCCGCUGGGCUGAAAAUCUUUCCUAGGAGGGAUGCAUUAGGCUUGACAAGAAAAUGGGCUUUAAGAAAUAAUAAAUGGGAUGUAAUUAUAAAAACUGGGUAGUAACUAUUAAAAAAUGCACCAAACAGUGAUUACUUUAUAAAAUAUUAUUUUUGGAAUAUUGAAAAUUUUAAUUUCAUUAAUUGUUGCGAGCGCAAUGUUUCGUUGGAUUUUUACGUAAUAUAAAUUUAUAUUGAAAUUGUAUUUUAUCUGACUAGAAAUUUCGGGAUAAAAAUAUUUGGAUCCCAUCAAAAUGUGGGAAAUUUUAUUGAAUUCUGUUUUGAACGGUUGGUUGAAAUGGGUUGUACUUUUAACAAACUGUAAAUGGGAUGUUCUAAAUUCCAUUAGAAUUCAAAAAUGGGCUACACAUUCUUACAAAUCUCAAAUGGGCUAUAAGUUCUCUGCCACACACUUCUGGCCUUACUAAGUUGACGCGUCCCCUAAAAAAACAGAGUUGACGCGUAUGCAAGGCUUUGUCAACUUAUAGUCAACACACGGUUCUAGCAGCAGUGGCCGUUGGAUGUCCAUCCAAUGGAUGCCGUGCUUCUUCUUCAAUCUCGGAUAUUCUAGCUUCACCCGCCCAAAAAAUGAUUCCUCCCCCUGACAUCUGGGGCGCACCGUUUCGGAAGCUGACCUGUGGGCCUACUAAGUUGACGUACCAAGGGCUUUGUCAACUUAGUCAAUAAUAAACGAUUCUAGCUGCAGUGACCGUACGAUGUCCAUCCAACGGCCGUCGUGCUUCUUCAACCUCUGGUCUUCUUGCUCCAGCCGCCCAAACCAGCGCCGGUCGUGCCUCGUGCUCCUGCCUCCCGUUGCCGGUUGUGCUGCCGCGGAGGCCUCACCGCCCCCUACUACUCCCACCGCUAGCCAGGCCAUCCCUCCACUCACCCACACCCCCUGUUAUUCUGCGGCGACGGCAGUGCAGCCAAACCAGUGAACCCUCAUACUCCUCUUCGUGUGUGCAUCCACUGCCGCGUCUUCCCCGGCUCCAUGUCGUCCCCUUCCUAGGCCUCACCGUCGUCCACCGCCGUGGUGCUCUCGGCGCGGCAUGGUCAACGUGGUCAAGGAACGACUUCCAUCGGACGUGGACUGUACGUGGAGAGGCUGAUAGCUGGGUCCACGGCAGCUGCAAGGAAGUGCCUCCUUAUUACGCGCAAAAUAAUUAUUCCUCCACCUGACAGCGGGGACCCACCGGACGGGCCACCGUAUUUCGCGAAAAAAAUGAUUCGCCCCCUGACUGCUGGGACCCACGAGCUACAUCUUCGCACGCAAGGAAGUGCGUCUGGAAAAAAAAUUAUUCGCCCCCUGACUGCUGGGACCCACCAGCUACAUCUUCGCACGCAAGGAAGUGCGUCCGGAAAAAAAGAUUCGCCCCCCGACUGCUGGGACCCACCAGCUACACCUUCGCAUGCAAGGAAGUGCGUCCGGGCAAAAAAAAACNNNNNNNNNNNNNNNNNNNNNNNNNNNNNNNNNNNNNNNNNNNNNNNNNNNNNNNNNNNNNNNNNNNNNNNNNNNNNNNNNNNNNNNNNNNNNNNNNNNNNNNNNNNNNNNNNNNNNNNNNNNNNNNNNCGGGCAAAAAAAACGAUUCGCCCCCCUGACUACUGGGACCCAGCAGCUACACCUUCGCACGCAAGGAAGUGCGUCCGGGCAAAAAAAACAAAAUGAUUCGCCCCCCUGACUGCUGGGACCCACCAGCUACAUCUUCGCAGGCAAGGAAGUGCCUAACAGUCGGGACCCACCUGGUCGAAGCGUACGUAGCGUUGUCAUCCUGGUCGCGAACAUGUACGUACAUACUGGUCGAUGUAGAGGCGCGCACGUGUCGUAGUAGAGGCGUGCACGGGUCGUAGUAGAGGCGCACACGUAGCAUGUACACGUACGUACAGCGGCUAGGGUGCAAGAAAGAAAAUACGGCCACGUAUGUGUACAUACGGGCGGGGUCUCGAACGCCUAGUCGCGCAUACGUACGGCGAGGGCUCGUGUUCAUGGGGAGGCAACGGAAUGCGUCGUGUUCAUGGGGAGGCAACGGAAUGCGUCGUGUUCAUGGGGAGGCAACGGAAUGCGUCGUGUUCAUCGGGAGGCAACGGAACGCGUGGAGCCAACCGGCUUGGACGGAACAGGCGAUGGAAACGAGGCCUGGCGUACCGCAUAACGGAGGAAACGGCCUUGUGUUCGACCGGCCACGUUCGGAACGGGGUCCUGUUGAUCGGGAGGGGUGUGGCGUACCGCAAAACGGAGGAAACGGACCUCCUACGGUCGAAACGGGGGUCCUGUUNNNNNNNNNNNNNNNNNNNNNNNNNNNNNNNNNNNNNNNNNNNNNNNNNNNNNNNNNNNNNNNNNNNNNNNNNNNNNNNNNNNNNNNNNNNNNNNNNNNNNNNNNNNNNNNNNNNNNNNNNNNNNNNNNNNNNNNNNNNNNNNNNNNNNNNNNNNNNNNNNNNNNNNNNNNNNNNNNNNNNNNNNNNNNNNNNNNNNNNNNNNNNNNNNNNNNNNNNNNNNNNNNNNNNNNNNNNNNNNNNNNNNNNNNNNNNNNNNNNNNNNNNNNNNNNNNNNNNNNNNNNNNNNNNNNNNNNNNNNNNNNNNNNNNNNNNNNNNNNNNNNNNNNNNNNNNNNNNNNNNNNNNNNNNNNNNNNNNNNNNNNNNNNNNNNNNNNNNNNNNNNNNNNNNNNNNNNNNNNNNNNNNNNNNNNNNNNNNNNNNNNNNNNNNNNNNNNNNNNNNNNNNNNNNNNNNNNNNNNNNNNNNNNNNNNNNNNNNNNNNNNNNNNNNNNNNNNNNNNNNNNNNNNNNNNNNNNNNNNNNNNNNNNNNNNNNNNNNNNNNNNNNNNNNNNNNNNNNNNNNNNNNNNNNNNNNNNNNNNNNNNNNNNNNNNNNNNNNNNNNNNNNNNNNNNNNNNNNNNNNNNNNNNNNNNNNNNNNNNNNNNNNNNNNNNNNNNNNNNNNNNNNNNNNNNNNNNNNNNNNNNNNNNNNNNNNNNNNNNNNNNNNNNNNNNNNNNNNNNNNNNNNNNNNNNNNNNNNNNNNNNNNNNNNNNNNNNNNNNNNNNNNNNNNNNNNNNNNNNNNNNNNNNNNNNNNNNNNNNNNNNNNNNNNNNNNNNNNNNNNNNNNNNNNNNNNNNNNNNNNNNNNNNNNNNNNNNNNNNNNNNNNNNNNNNNNNNNNNNNNNNNNNNNNNNNNNNNNGCUCACUGUUCAUCCAAUCGAUCGGCUUCAAUUAGCAGCAGUAGCGAAGGAAUCGCUCCAUCGGGUUCAGUUAACAGCCAUCGAUCAAUCGCUCGGGUUCAGUAACGCGUAGCCUGCAGUGCAAUCGCUCGGGUUCAGUUGGAGCCCAACGCCUCGCUCAGGUUCAGUUAGAGCCAACACGCCUCGCACACACACGCGUACGUGUACGAGAGAAACGCGCAUCGCUCGGCCCCCGACCUCCCACCGUAACCGGCAGCUCCCCGAAAUUUUCCUACCCCUCGCUUCUACCAUGGUUUUUUCCGUCAUGGACGGCCCAAAGAAUGUCAUGCAGUUGCGUCUCCGGCCCGCCCAGGACGAAAAGCCCAUUUUCUGCCAUGAUUUUUUGUCAUAGAAGUAGGAGCCCACCACAUCUAUGAUGAUACCGGGUUCUGUCACAAUUAUCGUCAUAGAAGUGUCAUAUGUAUGACAGAAAAAAAAUUUGUUCGGCCCAAAAUGUCAUGGAUGUGUCUUUUUUUUGUAGUGAUGGGACGAAGGAGAUGCCGGCCACACACCUCUGGAAGGACUGCUACAUCAUGCAAGAGUUCAAAAAUUCUAAUGCUUUCCGGUAUGAUCACGGACCGGGUGGCGGCUCAGGCCCUGGUUCUCAUGGGCCAGGUUAUGGUGGAGGAAAUUCCGGUUCAGGCUUCCAUGGUAAUCAGGGCGGACAUAACAAUCAAGGUAAUCAGGGCAACCAAGGUGGCUACAAUAAUCAGGGCAAUCAGCAGCAGCAGCAGCCGGGUUACAAUAAUCAGGGCAAUCAGAGCAAUCCGAAGCAGUUGAAUAGUGGGCAAUAUCAUGUCUUCACCACUAGCUUGGACAAGUGUGACCACAAGCUUCAUAAGAGGGCAGUGAGCUCCUUGAACCGGCGGUGCCCCGUUACCUACGCUGGUCUGAGCAGCCGAUUGUGUGGAGCAGAGAAGAUCAUCCACCCCAGGUUGACAAUCCAGGUCAUCUGGCAUUGGUGGUGGCACCUCAGGUAGGAGGUUAUAAGUUCACAAAGGUACUCAUGGACGGAGAGAGCAGUAUCAAUAUCUUGUAUUAUGAAACUUUCCGUCGCAUGGGGUUAACAGAUAAAAAUCUUAAACCGUUCAAUACGGUGUUCCAUGGUGUGGUGCCUGGUAAAUCGGCAUAUCCUGUUGGUAAGAUAGCUCUGGAGGUGGCUUUUGGAGAUGAUCAUGACUCGAGAUCAGAAGCUUUGACCUUUGAAGUGGUGAAAAUCAGAAGUCCGUAUCACGCCCUGUUUGGACGGCCGGCUUAUGCUAAAUUUAUGGCACGACCUUGCUAUGUCUAUCUUCGGCUCAAGAUGCCGGGUCACAAGGGAACUAUAAUCGUCCAUGGGAGCCGCAAGAUUGCUCUGGAGUGUGAAGAAGGUGAUGCAGCUUACGCUGAGUCGGUUUGUGCCACAGAAGAGUUAAAGUUUUACAAAGAUAACGUUGAUCCGGCAGAUAUGACUUCAUUAAAGAAGCCAACUACAGAGCAUGAUCCGGCCUUGAAGUUUAAAUCGGCUGAUGAGACUAAGCUUGUUGACUUCGUACCUGGUGAUUCGUCCAAGCAGUUCAGCAUCAGCGCUAACUUGGAUCCGAAAUAGGAAAGUGCGCUCAUCGAGUUCAUCCAUGAGAAUCGGGACAUCUUUGCGUGGAAGCCUUCUGACAUGCCAGGUGUACCGAGAGAACUCGCUGAGCACACACUUAAUGUUGAUCCUAAGUAUAAACCGGUCAAGCAGUUUCUCCGCCGGUUCAAUGAAGAAAGACGUAAAGCUAUUGGAGAAGAAGUGGCCAGGCUCUUAGCGGCCGGAUUUAUCGUUGAAGUUUUCCAUCCUGAGUGGUUGGCUAAUCCGGUGUUGGUGCUUAAGAAGAACGACACUUGGCGGAUGUGUGUGGAUUACACAGAUCUCAACAAAGCUUGUCCAGCAGAUCCUUUUGCCCUCCCCCGUAUUGAUCAAAUUAUUUAUGCUACGGCGGGUUGCGAGCGUUUGAGUUUUUUGGAUGCAUAUUCCAGUUAUCAUCAGAUCAAGAUGGCAGUUAAGGACCAGGAGAAGACGGCCUUCAUAACCCCCUUUGGAGCCUUCUGCUAUGUGUUCAUGCCCUUUGGGCUCAAGAGUGCCCAGGCGACUUAUCAACGGUGUGUGCAGAAUUGUCUUCAUACACAAAUCGGCCGUAAUGUUCAUGCCUAUGUGGAUGAUAUUGUGGUCAAGUCAAGGAAGAAGGAGACGUAGAUUGAUGACUUAAAGGAAACCUUUGAUAACCUGCGGGUUUACAAGAUGAUGCUUAAUCCGGCUAAGUGCGUUUUUGGUGUACCGGUAGGCAAGCUCUUGGGCUUUCUGGUGUCUAACAGGGGCAUUGAGGCUAAUCCGGAAAAGAUCAAGGCAAUCACCUCCUUGGCUAAACCGAAGUGUAUCAAUGACGUUCAACACUUGGCAGGCCGGAUUGCUGCGUUGAGCCGGUUUAUCAGCCGCCUUGGCGAGAAGGCCAUUCCUUUGUAUCAGAUGCUGAAGAAAACGGAUAACUUCGUCUGGAGUGAUGCCGCGAAUGAAGCGUUUGAGGAUUUAAAGCGACAGCUAGCUAACCCGCCGGUUCUUGCUGCCCCGGUUGACAAGGAGCCAUUGUUGCUAUAUGUGGCAGCUAAUGCUCGGGCUGUCAGUGUGGCUAUUGUGGUGGAGCGCAAGGAGGCAGGAAAGGAGUAUCCGGUUCAGCGUCCGGUUUAUUAUAUCAGCGAGGUACUUAUUGAGUCCAAGAAGAGGUACCCACACUGGCAGAAGCUGGUAUAUGGGGUUUUCAUGGCAAGCCGGAAGCUCAAGCAGUAUUUCCAAGGUCAUCCCAUCACAGUGGUCAGCUCUGCUCCUUUGGGAGAUGUAAUCCAGAACAGGGAAGCAAUUGGCCGGAUUGCCAAGUGGGCCAUAGAGCUCGGGCCUCAUGGGUUGAAGUAUAUACCCCGCACGGCGAUCAAAUCUCAAGCACUUGUGGAUUUCAUCAACGACUGGACAGAACUACAAGCGCCUGAAGAGAAGCCGGAUCACACUUAUUGGACUAUUCACUUUGAUGGGUCCAGGCAAUUGGAGGGCUCGGGGGCUGGAGUCGUAUUAACUUCCCCACGAGGUGUUAAGUUUUGUUAUGUUCUCCGUUUAAUGUUCCCUUGCACUAACAAUGCAGCUGAGUAUGAAGCUUUACUCCAUGGUCUUCGGAUGGCUAAGGAGAUGAACCUAAGCCGAGUUAAGUGCUUCGGUGACUCAGACCUGGUGGCUCAACAGGUGUCUGGCACUUGGGAUUCCAAGGACCCACUCAUGGCAGCAUAUCGUCGUGAGGUGGACAUUGUUGCUGGUCACUUUAAAGGUUAUCAGGUGGAUCAUGUGGACCGGCGGAAGAACGAAGCGGCGAACGCUUUAAGCCGCCUGGGUUCUCAACGUAAACCGGUUCCGCCUAAUGUCUUCUUGGAUGUUCUGUAUAAUCCGUCCGUCAAGCUCCCUGGUGAAGAGGAUUUGGCUAUUCCUGAUCCGGAAGCUCAGUUGGUGGCGGCUCUUCAUGUUAUCCCGGAUUGGACGGUUCCUUAUCUCGCAUAUAUGAACCGGGGCGAGUUACCAGAGGAUGAGACAUUGGCCAAGCAGAUAAUCCGGCGGUCCAAGCCUAUGACUAUUAUCAAUGGAGAGUUGCAUCAUUGCAGUGUGACAGGGGCAUUUCGGCGUUGUGUGUCUCCUGAAGAAGGCUGUGAAAUUUUGUGUGAGAUCCAUGAAGGAGACUGUGGUCACCACGCCGGUUCAAAGUCUUUGGUGGCCAAAGCGUUUCGUCACGGUUUUUAUUGGUUGACAGCUCAUGCUGAUGCCGAGGACUUGGUCAGACGAUGUGAUGGCUGUCAGAAAUUCUCAAGGUGUGCUCAUGUACCGGCUCAAGAAUUGAGGAUGAUUCCAAUUACUUGGCCGUUUGCGCUUGGGGGCUAGAUAUGGUUGGGCCUUUUAAGAGGUCCAAAGACAAGAAGACCCACCUUUUGGUGGCGGUUGACAAGUUCACAAAGUGGGUCGAAGCAGAGCCCGUUAGCAAGUGUGACGCAGCCACAGGGGUUCAAUUCAUCAAAAAGGUGAUCUUCCAGUUUGGCUUUCCACAUAGCAUCAUCACCGACAAUGGCACCAAUUUAUCAAAGGGUGCCAUGAAGGAGUUCUGUCAACGUGAGCACAUCCGGCUUGAUGUAUCAUCAGUGUCUCACCCACAGUCCAAUGGUCAAGCGGAGAGGGCCAAUCAAGAAAUUUUGAGAGGCAUCAAACCCCAGCUUAUGGUUCCCUUGCAGCGGACGCCGGGUUGUUGGGUUGAGGAGCUACCUUCAGUGUUAUGGAGCAUCAACACCACACCCAAUAGAUCGACAGGAUACACGCCGUUCUUCAUGGUUUAUGGAGCGGGGGCAGUUCUUCCUAGUGACAUCCGUCAUGACUCACCUCGUGUAGCGGCAUAUGUUGAAGCUGACAACGAGAAGGCACGGCAAGAAGCUCUCGACCUGUUAGAUGAGGAGCGUGACAUAGCGGCCGCCCGUUCAGCGAUUUAUCAGCAAGAUCUACGUCGCUAUCAUAGCCGCCGGGUUAGAACCAGAACCUUUCAAGAAGGAGACUUGGUGCUUCAGCUCAUCCAGGAUCAGACGGAUAUGCAUAAGUUAUCCCCACCUUGGUAAGGACCUUUUGUGGUUAGCAAGAAUCUAGACAACGGGUCAUACUACCUAGUCGAUGUUCGAGAGCGCAAAGACUCACGUAAAUCGGAGGAGGAGACCAACCAACCGUGGAAUAUUGCUCAUCUUCGGCCUUACUAUACUUGAGCUAUAGGCUCUGCUUAUGUACAUAUUAUGACUAUGUAUAUAUUAUGAUCAAUAUAAUAAACCGGAACCUCAGCUAAAGCGUGGUAUCUGUUGUUUUCUUACAUCAUGUGUGGUUACAUGGAGCUUCUGUUUCUAAAGCGGCGUCCGGUUUACCCCUUGGUUUAGCUUUUCAAAGGCUUUAUAUUAUAUCACUUGGGGGCUUGGUCGUAUCCGAACCAUAGCUACACCUUUUGAUAGGCGCAAUGCCAUAGCAUCACUUGGGGGCUUGGUCGUAUCCGAACCAUUGCUACACCUCUUGAUCAGCGCAAUGCCACAGCAUCACUUGGGGGCUUGGUCGUAUCCGAACCAUAGCUACACCUCUUGAUCGGCGCAAUGCCAUAGCAUCACUUGGGGGCUUGGUCAAACCUGAACCAUAGCUACACCUCUUGAUCGGCAUAAUGCCACAGCAUCAUUUGGGGGCCUGAUCGAACCCGAACCACAGCUACACCUCUUGGGGGCUUGGUCGUGUCCGAACCAUGGUCACACCUCUUGAUCGGCUCAAAGCCUCGCCUACAAUGGUUCUUAUUUGCCUUUGUUUGAGUUCCAUUCUCUUUUUUGAUAAAGAUUUUUUUUUCUUUUUAGACCGGCGUUAAACAACCCGGUCCGACUGUCAAUUAAAAAUUGACGGUACACGAUCAAAUCAUAGUCCGGAGACUAUUUGCCCAGUCUGAUUUUCAAUUAAAAUUUUAUUAUGGAGUAAACCGGUGUUUAUCAUAACCCGGAACGGUUUUCAUUAUAAACCGGCCUUAUAUCAACAGAAGUGGUUUUCUCCUAAAAGAUUUGGGUUAUAAGCCCCGCUACAAGGUUGGCCAGCCAACAUCAUGCAUAAAGGUUGCAGGUAUUAUAUAUUUACAUUUUGGUUAUAUGUCACAACCUAAGUUAUCAUCUUCGGUUAUAUAUAUAUGAGUAUCAUGACCCGCCCGGCGGUAAACCGCCAGGGCGCUUUAAGCUUCUUGUCUGCAGAAACAGUUUGGACAAAUGAAUAUGUAGAUCAUAGCUUACGUAUGACGAAUCAAGCCAGUAUCAAUUGUAGAUAAAUAUGCGCGAAGGCAUAUCAGAACAAAUAUUUUAACUAAGCCUAUUACAAGGCUUUCCAGUGCCCAACAGGAUCAUUGUUUUCUCAAAAUACAUGUCGCGGCAUGUAGAAGACUAAACCGGCCUCCGGUUCAUGAUUGGUCACCAACUUGGCCUGAUGGUUGCGGGUCAUCUCGCGCCGGUUCAGCUUCUUCUUCUCUACCCAGUGGCUGGAAAUCAACAGUUGCCCAGUCGAUCCCAGUUAGGGCUUGGAAUACAUCUUCAUCACUUAUCAGCGUCGACGGUUCAAUGUCAGGGGCAUAAGUGUGCUUACGGAUUGGCGGGAUAAGAUUCUGAGCUUCGGGGAUUGGUGCAGUAACCCGCUUGUUCUUGUCAUCAUAGUUUGCUUGAUAGUAUGACAGGUCCGCUUCUUCAACUAGUUGACAAGCCAGUGGGCAUACCUCCCGGUUUAUGAUUCGGAGAUCAUCUUCGCCAAAUUCUGUCCCGUCUUCCUUCAAACUGGGAUAACCUUGGGCCGCUUCAAUCGGAUCAAAGUCAGGUACCCAUGCCUUUGCCCGGGUCAGUGCAGCCAAAGCGCCCGUCCUAGCAGCAGACUUUUUCAAUUCGUCAACCCGAGCAGGAAGCAUGGAUAACCUUUCUAAGGUAUCUUUAAUCAAGGUGGGAGGAGGAUUGUUGUGAGAAGCAGUAUAUAUGAUCCGUUGCGCGUCGGUAUACAACUGCACUAUCAUAGUAUAGGCUGCUUUUAACUUCUUCUAAACGUCAGAUCCCAAGUGGCCAAUACGAGUUCCUCUAUCAUUGCAAGGAUUAGUAAACCGGUAGAUACAUGAAAGAAUAUGGUCAAAUCGGGAGUUACGGAUGCUUACCAAACACGGCUGCGGUCAUGGCAUGAACCUGCCGCUUUAUGCUGGUCAGUUCAUCAACCACCGGUUUAAGAGCAGCUUCUGCUUUCUCAGCCCUUUUGAUCAAAUCGGAUUUUCACUUUCCCAAUCCGACCGUUCCUUGUUGAAGCUUUCUUUCAGUUUCUCCAUAGCGCCUAGAGCGCUAGUCAACUCUUCCUUCGCCUUGGAGGUUUCAGCUUGUUGCAAUUUAAGGUUUUCCUGGAGAUCAGUGGUUUGGCUCUCUUUUUUGCUCAGCUCAGCCUACAAAGAGACAGUCAUAUGGUGAGGUGACAGUACAUACUUGAAGUACCAAGCCCAUAACAAGUUAUGCCCUUGGCACUUGGGGGCUAAUGCAUAUUUGCUCUGUCAGACAAUUUUUUUGAAGUCCCAAGCACAAUACAAGUAUUAAGCUUGGUACUUGGGGGCUAAUGUGUAUUUGCUCAUAACUUGCUAAAAAAGGAAUUCUUCUACAAAGUCCCGCUUCAUCUUUAUAUAGUUAAACCGGCCCUUGGGGGCUACAUCGGUGAAGUUAAGAUGCAUUGUUGCAAGCUCGAGAUUGCUAUUAAAGUCCCGGUUUAAGUUGCUAUCUUAAACCGUCACUUGGGGCUACUGGAAUUGAUAAGCUGCAAAAACAAUACAGAAAGAGAAGCAUGUAUAAAGUUCCCUCAUAUUUUCUUUCAUCAUAUUGACCAGACCGGCUUCAUAGUCACGGCUGGUGAACAGACGGUUCAGAUAGCCGGAAUGAAGGUCUUGAGCGUUCAGAUGGGCGUAGGUGGACAGAUCGGCAUUCCAUUUGCCUUUGCCAAUUGCAGAAAAUUCCUCCUUGGCGGCAUGCUUCGACAAAGCGACAGGAUUCCCUGGAUCCGUAUAGCCAACGCCAGUAAUCAGAACAUCACCACCCUUCUCCUCAGCAGCUUGUACUGGGGUCGCCGGUUUGUCGAUAUUCUUUGCUGGACUUGCCGGUUUGUCAGUCCGGAGACAACUGGCCGGUUGGUCAGCAUGGCCUGUGGUGUCAAUUUCUGCCUGCUCAGCAACAAAGUCAUAGUCUUGAGGCGGUGGGUCAUUCAGCAUAUCAUCAAGGUUGGCUUCUACAGGAUCUGGAGUUUUCUCCGGUUCAGGAGCUGUGUCUUCUUCUGUUGGUUUGUUGAAGCGAGCUUUCUUGCUUGGUCUGGGCUUAGCGCUGACGAAGUAAAACAUGAAGGUCAGUAUAGCGUGUAAAAUGCAUGUCAAGAAUAAAGCAACUGAACAACUUACCCAAUAACCGUUUUGAGGGGUGGAAGUUUGGUGGCUGACGACUCGCCAGAGGAUGAAUGAGAAGUGCCCUCAUAAUUGGAAUCAGACGGAUUAAGAGGUUGACGAAAACAACCUACUUUGGGGCAUGACAUGUCAAGGGAAUUAGAGACCUCUGAUCGGUGUUUCUGAACCAGACUGUUCAGUAAACCGGCGGAGGUAACUACCUGGACACUAUGCCGGGUUGUGCGGCGAGCCUCGUGUUUAUGCGUCUUCACAAGAAAGUUUGGAUCCAAAUAAGCAAGAGGAUGUGAAAUUUUAACUUUCCGGUUUGCUCGACGGGUUUUUAGUGAAGGCAAAGGGUUUGAAUCGGAGGAAAGAACAAUUACCUCUACAGCAUCGGCGUGACUGACUUCAGCGUCAUCCUGGCAAUAAUCAUCAUCAAUAAGGCGUAUGAAAAAUGAACCAAGUGAGUCAAGUUCUACCUCAAAAUCCGGGUUACCCACAUCAUCAUCAGCCGGUGGAUCGGAGGAUGCAGUGGUUCUCUUUCGGUUGGCAGGUUUUUUCACAGCUUUGGUCUUUUGGCGGGUUGGCUUCACCGGUUUGUCUUGCGGAGGUUUCUUGUUCCAGAACGGAUCAUCGCCCUGCCAAAAAAUCAUCACAUUUUCAGAGAAUAUUGGGAUAGAAGCAGUUUCUGAUAAACAGAUGGUAUGAUUCUUACAGCUGGCGGUUUGUUGAUGGCGCAGAAAGGGAGUAGUCCGGUUUGAGCACAGGUAGCCUCUGGUUCAUUCAACAUCUUUUUUACAGCCUUAGUGACUUCGUCAUCUGUAAGCUGAAUAUCAAUGUGCCGCUAAGCAUCCUUCAAAUUCCCUGUAUACUCACACAUCAAACCGGGGCGCUGGCUUAAGGGCAAAAUGCUCCAGGUUAUCCAGCAGCGCGCAAAAUCAACUCCUGUCAACCCGUUUGCCAUAAAGGCCCUAAGCUUGGAUACUUGAGGAGCAUAUUUGAUUCUCUCUUUAGCUGUCAGCCUUUGAGGAAAAGGGUGUGUGUUGCUCAGGCGUUCAGGACGGUAACCCGGCAGGGGGUUUUCAUCAGCUGGAGACGUAUCCUUGCAGUAAAACCAGGUCUGGUUCCACUCUUUGGGGUGACUGUGGAGAUUGGCGUGAGGAAAGGUUCCUCUUGAAGGUAAACCUCACAAAACACUUGAAAGUGGCAGAUGUUGGUUACAGAGUUAGGGCCGAUGUCUUGUGGGCGCAGUUGAAAGUUGGCCAGUACAUCCCGGAAGAAUUUUGAACCGGGAGGGUUGAAACCCCGGCUUAAGUGAUCAGCAAACACGAUAACCUCUCCGUCCUUGGGAGUAGGAGGACAUUCCGGGCCAGAGACCCUCCAGUGAAUGACAUCUUUCUUGCUUAAAGCACCCGUUUUGACAAGAUUGUCUAACUGCUCUUCAGUUACUCGAGAAGGGACCCAAUUGCAUUCGUAAACUUGCUUGGCCAUGGCAGUAAUGGAUCUACAAACAUGAUAAUUACCGAUUUAAAGAUUUACGGUGGACAAGCUAUGGGGCGGUUCAAAGAUGUAAGCACAUUGUCAAACCAGGGUUGGUUGAUCAUAAACCGGAGUUUAUUAAAGCAAAGGCUAAAUAUGACGUACAAUGGCGGUUCAACAAGGGGACUAAUGGUAUAUACUGGAUUGUCAUUUUUUCUACAAAGUUAAACCGCCUAGUCUGACAUUGAAGAUUCAAGUCUGCAGAUGUGUAAGUGAAGGAAAAACAGAUUUCACAAACUGGUAUUAUAAUUUUGGAUCCCCGCAUGUCAGAAAAGGAAAGUAUAUUCAAGACCUAGGAAGCAGUACCGCAGCAAUGGGGGAAGGUUCAGAUGAGAUCUUCUGUUUUGAGAUGCAUAGAUGGAAACAGAGACUAAAGGCUAUCAUUAUACGAAACAGAUAUUCAGGAUUCUAUCAAGAGUCAUUAUAUGAGCAAAGAACGCUGACGAACACCGAAGAACGCUGAAACCCUAGAACAGAUCUAUGGCGGAAAGAGCAGAGAGCUUACCAGUGCUGAUGAAGAAGCGGAGAGGCGCCGCAGUUUUCUGGUGCGUUCAGGGUGAUGCAGCGGCCAGAGUCGAAGCAGAGGCGACGGUCGACGGUGGCGGCGGAGCUCCAAAGGCUGAGUGGCGCAAGGAAGACGACGACGCGAAGAGGCGCGAGGGGAAAGGUGAAAAUGACCCCUCGGCCCUAUUUAUAAAGGCAAGGGAUAAGUGUCAGGCGCGAAAAUCGAGGAGCCAGAAAUUUGGAAAGCGGAGCUAUCGCCUCGAUUGUCGGAGACCCAUUAAUGAAGAUGUGUCAUACACCGUUUUUUAUAACAGAUGAUGUCACGAUGGUUUACCACGAUCUGGGAAGAUGACGUCACGGCGGUUUACAAAAUUAUGUGAAAAUGUUGAAGACGAAGUUUUCUUGAGGACUGACAUGAACCAGUUCAAAUCAGUCUGGGGCCUAAUGUUGGGGAUAUUACUACUGGGCGUAAACCGGCCAGGAGAGGCCGGGUUAACUUCAUCAGUAGUCUAUUAUGUUUGAAGCCCAUGAAGACAGACGGUGACAUUGUGUAAAGGCCCAGAGCCUAGAAACCGGUUUAAGGCCUGUAGCUAUAAACUGACGUUGAUAUGUAACUUGCAUUGUAAGGUAGAAAGAGCGGAGACCGAGCCGGACACGUUUAUGAGCCGGCCUCGGGACUCUGUAAACCGAGGGGCGUCAACCCAUGUAUAUAAGGGGAUGACCCGGUGGCGGUUCAGGACAACAGACAACAACUCGAGACUCAGGCAAAGCGUAUUCGCUCCCUGGUCAUCGAAACCCCAUCAAUUCCAGCACAACUAGACGUAGGCUUUUACCUUCAUCGUAAGGGGCCGAACUAGUAUAAAACUCUCUUGCGUCCCUUGUCCGCGUUAACCCCUUUAAGCUAACCCGUAGCGAUGACUCCACGACUAAGUCCUUUCAUGAGGACAUCUGCCGUGACAAAACCACGACAGUAGGGAUCUAUAAGGUCAAGUUUGGGAGGAAUAGGUUCCUCCUUCAGCCCUUUGUAUUUGAUAAUUAUUUCUUCAUUGUAAGUAUUCCUUUGAUUGAGCACCCUAAGUCUAUCCUUAAGCACAAACCCUAAUCCAUUAUUUUGUAUAGCAAAAUUUUCAUUGAGCUUAGAAAUUUUAUCAAUCAAAACAUCGGUAGGGACCUUCUUUCUUAGGUUUUCAUUGUAAGCAGCAUAAUCCGGAGAUUGUAAUCUCCUAGUUUCUUCUUGAAUAAAAAGGAUUUCUUCUAUAGGAGGACAAGCACCAUUAAUAUUAUAAUGAGCAAAUAUUUCACCAGCUUCUUUCAUAAUGAACCUAAACUCGUGAGCUAGAAAUAUAGUGGUGACACACUUAAUUGAAGGAUCAUGAAUAUUGGAAAAUUCUAGUAAAAGCCUUUGUAUGGAAGGAUGUAUGUGAACAAAUUGUCUUUCAAAUUCCACUAUGAGCAAAGAUAUCGCAUCCGCAAGGCUAAUAAUUUUAUUAAGGAUAGAUCCUCCUAGCAUGGGUAUUGUACCAGCACAAGUAAAGAAUCUUGAAUAACCCCUUUUCCAAUGAUAUUACCACUAGUUACGCGGAGUUUUUUAAUAACUUCAUGAGGAUCAUUAUUAGCAAAGUCAUCAAAGUUUUACUCAAGAUUAUUACUACCCUUUUCAGCCAUAACCUCCUCAGAUUCAGACAUGGCGGCAAGAAACCAAUCUAGCACACAAGCAACCAAAGGCAAACGAAAGAAGGGCGAAUAAAAAGGCAAAUAUUUUUGUGUUUUUUCUGAAAAUGUUUUAGAAGUGGGGGAGAGGAAAACGAGAGGCAAAUGGCAAAUAAUGUAAUGCAAGAGAUUAGAGUUUAUGAUGGGUACUUGGUAGGCUUGAUGUAGAACCUCCCCGACAACGGUGCCAGAAAUUCUUCUUGCUACUUCUUGAGAUUGCGUUGGUUUUUCCCUUGAAGAGGAAAUGGUGAUGCAUCAAAGUAGAGAUAAGUAUUUCCCUCACUUUGAGAACCAAGGUAUAAAUCCAGUAGGAGGUACAAGCAAGUCUCCAAUCUAUGCACAUGCACAAACAAUCAAACAUUGCGCCCAACGCGAUAAAGGGGUUGUCAAUCCCUUCACGGUCACUUACAAGGAUGAGAUCUGAUAGAAUCAUUAAAUAAGCAAACAUAUGCAAACAAUGCAAACAUAACAGCAAUCUGCCAAAACAGUACAGUCUGUAAAGAAUGCAAUCGUAUCAACACUUCUUAAACUCCAAAUAUUAUGAAAAUUUACCACACCGUAGAAAAUUUAUUACAGCUUAUUAUUCAAAAAGUUUCAACAUUUUAUCACAUUCUUACUUUUCUACGGAAUUUUUGCAACAGUGGUAAACUUUCUGUUUUGAAACAACAACAAGUAUACUUGCAAAAUAAGCAUGGUAUAAGCUAUCCUUGACAUUUUUAUUGAAAAGAAAGAUGCAAAACAUUAUUCUAAAUAACAGCAAGCAAAUUCUAAAAAAAAUAAAAUGACUCUUCAAGCAAAACACAUAUCAUGUGACGAAUGAAAACAUAGCUCUAAGUGAGGUUACCGAUAAUGUUGGAGACGAAAGAGGGGAUGCCUUCCGGGGCAUCCCCAAGCUUAGUUGCUUGGAUAUUCCUUGAAUAUUACCUUGGGGUGCCUUGGGCAUCCCCAAGCUUAGGGUCUUGUCACUCCUUAUUCUCCUCAUAUCGACAUCUCACCAAAAACUUGAAAACUUCAAUCACACAAAACUUAACGGAACUUCGUGAGAUAGGUUAGUAUGAUAAAGAGCAAACCAUUUCACUUUGGUACUGUCAAAGACAAGAUUAAUAAUUGUUUCCACACAAUGCCUACUGUAGCAUAUCAUUUCCACAAUUUAUAUUGAGCGAUAUAAGCCAUAGAAACUAGGAAACAAGCAAACUAUGCAUUGAAAACAGAAUCUGUCAAAAACAGAACAGUCUUUAAUGAUCUGAAUUGUUCUCAUACUUAUGCAACUCUAAAAAUUCUGAUAAAUUAGGAAAACAUAGGUAAUUUGUACAUCAAUCAUCUAUAAAACAAUUCAGAUCAAAAGCACGUUCCAAUGAAUUAAAGAAAUUCAUGGACUGGGCGCAAAAGUUUCUGUUUUUGGACAAAAUCAAGUCAACUAUCAUCCACACUAUCCCAAAGGCUUUACUUGGCACUUUAUUGAAAAAGCUAUAAAACUGUAUUACUACAAUAGCGAAAUCAUGAGAACACACAAAAACAGUAGGUAAAAGUGUUGGGUUGUCUCCCAACAAGCGCUUUUCUUUAAUGCCUUUUUAGCUAGGCAUGAUGAUUUCAAUGAUGCUCGCAUAAAAGAUAAGAAUUGAAACAUGAAAAGAGCAUCAUGAGGCAUAUGACUAGCACAUUUAAGUCUAACCCACUUCCUAUGCAUAGGGAUUUUGUGAGCAAACAAUUUAUGGGAACAAGAAUUAACUUGCAUAGGAAGGCAAAACAAGCAAAGCUUCAAGAUUUUCAACACAUAGAGAAGAAACUUGAUAUUUUUGCAAUAUGUAAAAGCAUAUGUUCCUCUCUCAUAGUAAUUUUCAGUAGCAUCAUGAAUGAAUUCAACAAUAUAACUAUCACAUAAAGCACUAUUUUCAUGAUGCGUAAGCAUAGAAAUUUUGUUAUUCUCCACAUAAGCAAAUUUAUUCUCAUCAAUAGUAGUGGGAGCAAACUCAACAAAAUAACUAUCAUGUGAUUGAAAAUAGAAAUCAUGAUGACAAAUUUCAUGGUUAUCAUUAUUCAAUAUAGCAUACUUGUCAUCAUCAUAAUCAUCAUAGAUAGCAACCUUGUUCUCAUAGUCAAUUGAAGCCUCAUCCAAAAUGGUGGAUUCAUCAUUAAAUAAAGUCAUGACCUCUCCAAAUCCACUUUCAUCAUUAUAAUCAUCAUAAAUAAUAGGCAUGCAAUCAUUAUAAUAAUUUUUCUCAUCAAAACUUGGGGGAGUAAAAAUAUCAUCUUCAUCAAACAUAGCAUCCCCAAGCUUAUGGCUUUGCAUAUCACUAGCGUCAUGGAUAUUCAAAGAAUUCAUACUAGCAACAUUGCAAUCAUGCUCAUCAUUCAAAUAUUUUGUGCCAAACAUUUUAUUGACUUCUUCUUCUAAAAAUUGAGCAUAAUUUUCCGAUCCAUCAUUUUCAAGAAAGAUAUUAUAAAGAUGAUCAAUAAUAUGAUGCAACCUCAAUUCCAUUUUUUAUGUAGUUUUCCUUUAUAAACCAAACUUAGUGAUAAAACAAGAAAAUAGAAGAUUCAAUUGCAAGAUCUAAAGAUAUACCUUCAUACACUCACCUCCCGGCAACGGCGCAAGAAAAGAGCUUGAUGUCUACUACGCAACUUUAUUCUUGUAGACUCGUGUUGGGCUUCCAAGCACAGAGUUUUGUAGGACAGUAGAAAUUUUCCCUCAAGUGGAUGACCUAAGGUUUAUCAAUCCGUGGGAGGUGUAGGAUGAAGAUGGUCUCUCUCAAGCAAUGCAACCAAUCUUUGUUGGUGUCUUGUAUUAUUGCAGUAUAAAGUCUGUAUAUCUGAGCUUGUCGUUUAGGUUGCUGUAGAAUCAAUGUGAUGUUGUGGCGAGUGCUACUCGUCUCGGUCUUUUCUUGUUUUGUAUCCACACAAGUGCUGGCACACAGCAUAGGAGAGGUGCAUUUCAAAAAAGGAUAAUGUAAAUUUGGAAGUUUAUUAUCUGCACUUGACUUGUCGAAGUUGUAAAAUCAACCAGUCUGUUUGUUUGUUUACAAAGGCAAAGAGAUAGAGAGAAUUGCUGCGAAAUGAUACUUGUGAUUGAUCGAGAUGCUGAGAAAUUCUUGGCUUAAAUAUGCAUGGAGAGCAUUGUUCUCCUAGUGAUUCCUUUGCAGAGGAAUUCAGUUGUGAAAAAUGAUGAUUGUGUGUUUGUGGAAUUCUUCCACUUGAUUGUCUUGGGCUAAAUCUUGCUAAUCAUUUGGGUAAAAUCGUUGAGAAGAAGAAUUUGGAUAUCUUUGCAAUCGGGCGGGAAUAAUGUGGAAGUAAAAUCAAGAGCACCAUAAGACUUACACGUGCACGCUAUCGUGAUGGCAAGCUUCCUUCCAAUGUAGGAGCAAGCAAUCAAGCUAGCUAUUAAAACAUUAUGUAUGAUUGCUCGAUCGGUUCCCAACAGCAAACAAACAUUAUGUAAGAUAAGCAAGCUAAUAGGUAGAGACUAUCUAGUCUCAUUUUCUUUUCUUUAUUCUUUAGUUCAUGUUUUAAAUAUUUGACACUAUUUAAAAAUCAAAACUGAUUCAAGCUAGUUUCAAAUUGCUUUGAAUAAUUUUAUGUGACUUUACUGGACCCUCCCAACGCUGCAUAAUAUAUUUCAGGGAUUUUGAAUUUAUAUUCUAUUAUAUUAUUAUGAAUAUAAACAUAAUUCAAAUACAAUAUUUAUUUAAAUUUAAUACCCUUUUAAAUGUUCAAAAAUCUUGGUUUGACUAAUAACCCUUGAAACAAUUCUCAAAUAUUAAUGAAGGGCAUUUUGGGUUCAUUGAGUACUUUUUUUUAGAGUUUUAGCCCUUUAUUUAUAUUUUGAGGCUUUGAAUUUCAGCAACUCAAAUUUAACUGAAUUAAAACAUGAUGCAUCGAUCCGCCGAAAAAACAAAAUGAUGCAUGUAUAUAUUGUUCUAAUGCAACAAUUUACACUAUUGUCUGAAAAAAACUAUGUACACUAUUUGAUUCUAGGGCUGUGACACGAAAACCUUGAGCUCCUGACUCUAUUUCUCAUAUGCUUGUAAAUGACCUAUCUAUUAUUUGAGAAAUAAAGUUGUAUUAUUGUUAAAAAAACUUGAGGGGUGAAAAAAACGGAAUAUAUAAUAAUAAUAAGUAUAUAUAGGAAAACUAACAUAUUUCUCGUCCGAUUAAGAGUCGUUCUCCGUUUUAGUAUAAUAAAGAAAAGGCGAUCCAGUGGGCCGGUGCCGGGCUGGGCCGAGCGUGAGACGGGAUAUGUAUAUGAAACCAGCACUGCCCCUGGCGUCUGUCUGGUUGAAACCCUAGUAGGACACCAGGCGAGCGGCGGCGGCGGCGGCGUGGUUAGCCAUGUCUUCUCUUCUCAGCCCACCAAAGCCAGAAAUCGAGUUCAAAGAGGCGGAGGGGAAGGAGGAAAGAAGAUGGAAAGCGAGUCCGCUAUGGGGACGGAGGGGGAAUCCGGCAAGGAGCAGGAUUUGCUGUUGGAUCCGGGGAGGAAACUCGGGAAGAUGGAAAUCGAGUUAGGGAAGUGGACGGAGCAGGCUUCCGGCAAGGAGCAGGAGACGGUGCGGGAUCUGAAGAAGAGGCACAGGAAACUCAGUAAGAAUCGUAGGUACCUCUUGCAAGAUAUCGUCUCAGGGAAGUUUAAGGAAUUGUAUUCCGAUUCCGGCCGCAACAGGGUAAUGGGGAUUUUCAGGGAAGCCGAGGAGCUGGACAAGGAGUUGAUGAUUAUUAAGGAGAAGGAGAAGGAGAAGCAGGAGACGGUGGUGGAUUCCGGCGAGGAGGAGAUGGGCAGGGAUUCGGCGCGGCACCAGUCCCUGAUGGAGGGGCAACUCAGGAAGGAGCAGGAGAGACUCAGGAAGGUUCGGUACCAACUCAAGAAGAAGAUGAGGAGCGAGUCCGACAAGGACCCGGCGAUGCAGAGGAUGCUCUUGAGUCAGCAGCAGAUACUCUGGACCAAGGAGCAAGCACUCUUGACGGUGAUGAGGCAGUCCGGGAUGGGGAUGGGGAUGGGGAUGGAGAUGGAGAUGGAGAUGGAGAUGGAUUCUGAUUCUGAUUCUGAUUCUGGCUCUGGCUCCGGCUCCGGUUCCGGCCAUGAGAUGGACGAGAGGGAUUCCAGCAAGGAGCCGGUGAGGGAUGCCGGCGGCAAAGAGGGGCAGAUGGCCAAUGACUUGGUUGGUGUUCUUUCCGGCCACCUUGGGAUGCUUAAGAGGGAGAUCUCGUUCCUGAGGACAGAGGUCAAGUCCCGGGGAUUGGCUGGAAACAGGGCUUGUCAAGAGCAGAUCAUGUCUAACCUAAGGCCCCUCGAUGAAAAUCUUCUCAAGAAGGUGAAUUUGCCUUACCUAGGUUCCAACACUGAGGAGGUGAUGGAUUUUCUGCUGGUCGAGACGCAGCAGUUGCUCUACCGCUUCAACUCUCUCGCAUCCAUUCUACAAAAACUCAGAAUCCCCAUAUCUUCCGACAAGAUUGAUAAGCUGCGUCUCAUAUCCAAUGCACUUGUGGGCAUCUCGGAGCUUAUCAAGAGGCACAAAUCUGUUGCUGCUGACAAGCAAGAUGGUGAAGAUCGUUUGGACUGUGCCGGCUGGGAGGCUACAUGGGGAAGCUCGACAGGAAGACAUGGUUGCUUUGACGACAUAAGUAAGCAAAAAUAAAUACCGUCAUCUAGCUAUCUUUUCCUCUCUUUAAUUGGGCCUCAGUCAAUUCAAUGCACUUUUCCUUUUUGUAUAUGUCACUGCAAAGCAAAGUAGAACUCUUCUUAUAUAUGCAUAGAUUUUAAUCUGCUAAUUUUAUUAAUAGCUCGAUCUCUAACCGUCCGCAAUCUCUUAAUUUUGUGCUGCAGCAACAUUGAGUCCUAUGCAGUUUACGGCUUCCACACCUGGAAGCUUCCCAUCAUCGUCCGUGGCUGGUCCCGCCUUGGAGAUCUACUCAAUCAAGCUCAUUAAUCUGAAUCCUAAUCUGAGUUGGCCCAUUGAUGUCUAUGGUGUGGUCGCUGCACGGGAUGAUUUUGACCACAACCGCAACAUUCUCUUCUGCCGGUCAAGUGCAGACUGCCAAAGAAUUAACCAAGAGGUUUGUAUAAUGUCUAUCUUCUCGUCUAAUUGUUAUAAAGGAUUAUGUGUAGAGCAUUUGUUGUGUGACAAAGGAUUAAGUUAUAAUUGUUGCGUUAUGUUUGUAGUUUAAACUUAGUUGUUUGGUUACCUACAUACCUUGGAAUUGUUGUGUGUAAUCAGAUUCGUUUAAGGUUCAAACUAGUCGGUAUCAGCUUUAGGCAAGUUAUGCAGGCCAGGGAGUAUGUACUGACCUGCACCGUUGAAAUUUUUCUGCCAUAUUUAGUGAGCAUAGAGCAAAUCAGCAAGAAAAGCAAUUAAAGUAGUCUCGCACUUGCCGAGGCUGUUUCUGGAUGAUAGCAGGGCACAUGCCACUGUUAUGUUUAUUUCUGUAUAUCACACAAGUAAUGCGGCACAUGGGCAAAGGCCGAGCGAAUAUGGCUGACAUUGGCCGCCUGAUUGGGUGGCUGUGUGAUUGAAGGAGGGUAGAGAUAUGCAAAGGUUGUAAAAUCGACUAUGGAUAUUGACCUGCUGUUUCUUUGGGUGUAAAAGCAGAAGGUGUCGGUUCUAAAUCCAAAUUCAAAACCUGUGUAUUAUAGUGGUACAGAUUAUUAGGAUCUGUUUGCGAACGGAGUAUUUUUUUUCCAGAUUUUGGCCAUAUAAUAUCUGUUAGUCUAUGUCUAGUUAAACUAGUUGAACUGAAUUGUUAUUUUGCAUCAUGUGUGUGACUGAUGUUGAUGAACAUGGCGCUUGCAGGACCCUUUUUUGCACUUGAUUGGCCCGUCUCGUGCAAUUGUAGCUGAAGAACCUGUGAUGUUUCAAAUUGAACUGAAAUUGAAGUAUGGAGCAAAUUUCAAAGAUACAGCAUCGUUCACUUCCAACCAAAGUUAUCGCUCCAUCAUGCCAUAUGAUACCAUGCAGAUCUAUAACCGCUGUUGUACAGCAGAGAUAAGCCUCGGGCGAGUUGCUCCAGCAAUCCAGGCCACAAUUGUAGGUGUUUGUGUGACUAAAGGGGAGUGGCCUUUUAAGUAUGGAUGUAAAGUUUCUUGCUUCUUUUCUCCUGCUGAUGCAACGGAGGGAUGCGAGGCAGAAGUCGUUUUGCUUGACCGCCGUGCUAAAAGGAUGCGUGCGGGAUCAGAUGGGUAUCUUUCUUUGUCAAGAAAUGUCGUGUCAGUGGGAUUGCAGGGCACACUCCGAGUCGUCACAGAAGCAUACUCAGAGUCCGGACUCAAUAUUGUUCGAAAAUAUCACGCUGAAUUUCCUAUCCAGCAGAGUCAGAUAGAUAGUCGUGAGUGCUCAGUUGACGGCUCCACAUUGAAGAUAGUUGUUGCUUGGUCUCGCCUUGUCAUUGACAAGGAUGAUCUUGUACUCGAUGGUUAUUGAAGGUGCGUCGACCUAGCUUGUUGCUGCUGCUGCUAGUUUGUCAAAUCUUAUGUAACAGCUCUUGUUCUUGCAUAUAUACUAUAUUUGAGCAUGUAGUUAGUUGUCAACCUGUGCACAAAAAGGAACCUCUUGUUAGGCAUAGGUUUGGCAAAGCAUAAUUAUUUUUAUGGCAGAUUUGACUGGCUCCAUUUAUCUUUUCUCUCAUGCCUGCCAUUUGGUCUUGUAGGAGGAACUGAGGAUGCACAAAGGAACAAUGGAGCUGGUGGUGCUGUGUGUUAAUUCCUUAGUUUAGAAUGGAGCUGGUGGUGGCAUGAAGACGUGGUUCCUUAGUUUAGAAUGUUGAAUCGUGAUGAUGUCUAGUUUGAAAGACGAGAAUUAUCAUAUGGUAGUACUGCUGAUGACUAAAAAACUAUGCAUGUUGAGGACUUUGUCCAUGGUUUGAUUCUGUGGGUUGAGAGCUACUGUAAUUUGGUUGGCUUCCUCGACAUUAUGCCUGUGAAUUUUUUGUGCCUGAGAAAAUUGUUGUUCUUGCCUCACCAGGCCAGAAUAUGGAAGAGGGUCUGGCCUGGUGGACAUUAAUUUUCCACAUCCUCCUCGUUUUAUUUUCAGGCUGAUGCACCAGGCGUCCAAAAUGGGUGGCCUGGACCAGGCUAACCGUGCUGCCUCAUGCUUAGUCCUGGCCAUGGGAAGCCCGGCUCGGCCCGAAAAAGCCCGACCGGGCCUGGCCUGAUGCUGCUCCCGGGCUGGGCUUGGGCCUAGAUUUUGAGCCUGAAGGCCGGGCUGGGCUGGGCCCGGGCCUGUCGUUUUUGCAAUUUCCCGAAGAGGCCUGGCCCGAGGCCUGUUGGGCUUUUAUGUGUUCGGGCUGGGCUUGGGCCUAAAAACCAGGCCUGAUGGCCGGGCCAGGCUCAGGCUUGGGUUUUUUACUUGGGCUUGGCUAGGCCCGGCCCGAGUUUUUUGCCAGGUAUAGUCAUGCUCCAUCCAGGCUAACUACUUGCUCCUAUUCUCCAGGCCAGGCUGACGCCACCAGCCUCAGGACAUGCACCAAACAUGAACGAGGCAACUCUCAGGGAAGCUCCCAGGAGCUGUGGAAACGAAGAACCAAAUGGCUCAUAAUCUUGCUAUGUUCUCAGGCCUACUACAAGUAAAAAUAAUGAUAAAACCCAGGCACUGCUUGAGAUUGAAAAAAAAAUGUCUCAACUUUGUGAAAUGAUUUUCAACAAAACAAAUAUAUAAAUGCAUGCACCUCAUCAGCAGACUUUGUUCAUCUUAUUACCAGCUAUGUAUGUAUGUAUGUAUGUUAGGCUCAAUCUUGCAGAGCCUACUCACCCGUAACAACAUGAACAAUAAUCAUCAUGCAUUACAUACAUACAUCACAUUGUUGGAAAUAUUAGCACUUUUUCGAUUAGACUUAUCCACGAGUAAACAGUAAGCAGGGCAUAAAAGGUAUGCAUCUCAUAGCGAUACCUAAGCAUACUAGCACGUACAGAACAUAGAAUCGAACCUUCUAUGAGCAGCACAUAUACGGCUAGCAUAAGUACGAGUAAACGAGGGAUGAACAGAUCAUACCCUCCGGUUGGCCAGGCCAACGCGGCGGCGGCAGCAGCAGCCUCGGCGUCGUCCGUGGCCUUCUUCUUAGCGGCGUCGUCGUCGGCCAUGGUGUCGAUGCAGAGGAAGUAGUGAAAGCAGAGGCGAACGGAGUUGGGGACGGAUCGGGAGCAGUCGCGUCGAGACGCUCCCCAAAAACCUUAUUGCCGUUCUCCCGGGCAGGAUCUCGAACGACAGGGUUCCGGAGGCACCUGCUCUCUCGACCAGCCGUGCACGCGGUCGUCGGGAUGGGAUCGCCGGAGGCAGCACAGAGUGAGGAACAGUAGAUGACGGCUAGGUCACGCGAGAGGGAGAGAGUGAACCGAACUAGGUUACUCAACUGGCCAGAGCCUUCUUAUAUAGUCUGUAAGGAAGAAAGUCAUGGGCCUUGCGGAGGCCCACGAUCGAGUCGGCCCACUCCCGGCAAGGGAGUCGACGAAUCCCGACAAGGGGGUCGACGAAUCCCGGCAACGCAAGUCAGCCCACAGUCCAACGUCUUGGAUAGUGGCCCACAUGUCAGCGACUCGUUAAUUAAUCCCUGAUUAAUUAAUUCGUUCCUGAGCGGCAAAAAUAAGCUUCGGCUCAUUCCCGCAACCCGCGGCGCGCGCGUCGUGACGAGGCGAGGCAUGGCGAGGCAGGCGGCGGAGGAGGAGGAGCGCGCGUGUACCACUCCUCUUCCCAAGCUCCCAAUGGCAAGUGGUAGAGCAGCCCUUAUAAAGGGGUCUCAACUCUCCUCAACUAGCAAGGUGUGACUAAACUUCCCACCACCUGCCAUCUCAUACAUGGGCCUCAAGAUUAACCAGGGAUUAGUGUCUUAUAUGGGCCUAAGCCCAUCCAUAAUCCAACAAUCCCCCACCAGAUCUCGAGGCACAUAAGUUUGUCAACUGUUCCAAACAAUGUUUGAUAUACCAGAAUUUUCAGUGGAGACUGUUAAGUUGAACUUCCACCUAGAGCAACAGGAUUAGACUUCUUCACAACUGAACAAUGGACUAUGCCUUGAAUUGUCAGUUUGGCGUGCAGAAGUUUCGCCUAUUGUCAGCUGAUACUCGGCUGCCGUAGGCUAAACCCCACGGGUGGAGCUUAUUAGUCAUACUCCGCACCUUCUCAUGAGCUUACUAGAGAUUACCCAAUCACAUAGACUGUGACCAGCAGUCGGGCUCACAUAUGUGUGUUCCUCCAAGGAAUGCUCUGUAGGUUAGCUUCUUGCUUACAUAAGCUUUGGAACACAUUAAGACAAAAGUCAGCCUGCCUUACAGAAUUGAGAGUAUUACUGCAUCUUCAACGGAGUGAGUUUAUUAAGGAUACUCUCCUUAGUUGACCGCUGGAUUGUUUUUCCAGGUCCUAAUUCACGGGAUCUCCGAUCACAUAGGUUGGGUUACCCCCAUGGCAACUUCUGUGGGUCUUAUACCCAUCUCCCUCGAUGCAUUUUCUAUCACAAUCCGUGAUAGCCCUUUCGUAAAAGGGUUUGCCAGAUUCUUAGCCGUCUGGAUAUAAUCCAACGCCAUUACUCCGGAGUUUCUUGAUUUUCUGACAGAUUUCAAUCUUCUUCUUAUGUGCUUUGUGGAUUUCAUGUUGUCCUUUGAACUCUUAGCCUUGGCAAUCACUGUUUGAUUGUCACGGUUCAUAAGGACAGCCGGCAUUGGUUUAUCAACCACCGACAAAUCCAUCAAAAGCUCUCGAAGCCAUUCUGCUUCGACGCAUGAUGUGUCUAAUGCUGUGAGUUCUGCUUCCAUAGUCGAUUUGGUUAAGAUCGUCUGCUUGCAAGACUUCCAGGAAACAGCACCACCACCAAGUGUGAAGACAUGUCCACUUUUGGCUUUCAUCUCAUCAGCAUCAGAUAUCCAAUUCGAAUCACUAUACCCCUCAAGUACCGUCGGGUACCCAGAAUAGUGAAUUCCAUAGUUCGCAGUACCUUGCAAAUAACGCAUCACUCGCUCAACAGCAUGCCAAUGCACAUCUCCCGGAUUGGAAACAAACCGGCUCAGUUUGCACACAGCAAAUGAGAUAUCAGGACGAGUAGCACAUGCUAGGUACAUCAGUGAACCAACCACUUGAGAAUAUCUCAAUUGCUCUACAGCCGUGCCUUCGAACUUUCGAAUCCGCACGCUAGGAUCAUAUGGUGUUGCAGAAGGUUUGCAGUCCGAAUAUCCAAAACGGCUCAAAAUCUUCUCAACAUAGUGGGAUUGCAAAAGUGUAAUUCCACCCUCAGAAUUUCUCAGUAGCUUGAUGUUCAGGAUAACAUCAGCCACACCCAGGUCCUUCAUCUCAAAGUUGUGAGAUAGAAAAGACUUGACCUCCUCAAUGACCUUGAGGUGGGUCCCAAAUAUCAGUAUGUCAUCGACAUACAGACACAUUAUAACUCCUUCGCCCCCACCGUAGCGAUAAUAUCAGUAUGUCAUCGACAUACAGACACAUUAUAACUCAUACCCUAGUUUUCGUUUUUUAAAAUAGAUCGGUUUUUCUCCGGUUUAUUUAUUUAGCGAGCGUUCGCUCGUUUGUUCGUUUUAACGAACGCGUUCUUCGUUUAGAUCCAGAUAACGAACGUUCGUUCGUUAGUCUGUUCGUCAGUUUUCUUUUUCUCGGAUUUAUUCCGCGAUUUUUCUGAUUGCGAUUUCUGAUCCGAUCUUAGUUUUUGUUUAUCUUUUCGCUCGUGAGUCGGAAUCAGGCGAUUCAAGCGCCUAGAUCUUCGUCUCGAGACCCUCUUUCUGUCUAAUCAACUUAAACAAGAUUUUGAUACUGUAAAAUUUGACCUUAGUUCAGAUUAGUAAACGGAUCUUGUUUCUUUCGCCGUUUGAGUUUCGUUGUUCCGUUUGGUUUGAUUCUUUUUGCGAACCGGAGUUCUUAAGUUGAACUUUCUGGUCAGCCUCGUUUAUUUGAGUUUUGCUUGUGCAUCUUUGCUUGUUGCUUAUGUAAGUUAUUGUUUGCUUGCGAUAGAAUUCCCGGAGUGCGAAGUGUGUUACUACGAGUCUCUAGGAUUCGCGGAUCGUCAGCAAGGCAAGUAACACAUUGAUCAUACUCUUUUCAUACCCAGUUUUUACGCAUUAGUUCCUAUCCUCAAACAUUGCAUGGUUAGGAUGUCUUUAACUUGUGGGUUGGGAAGUAGUUGUUGAGGUAGAACCUAUUGCCCUGUUACUAUCAAACCCUUGGGAGUUACUUCUACGUGUUGCUUAUAUUGCUAUGCUAUGCUCGUAGACGUGGUUGGGUUUGAGUGAAUCCAUGACAGAUGUGAGAUUGUUAAUUAAUGGGUCAACUUAAGGUGGCAACUUAAAUUACCAUCUGGGUGGAUUGAGGCACCUGGGGAACCCAGUGUUGUCUGUUUUAUUUUUUUGGAAAUCCCGGGGUACCCGUGUGAUCUUCCUAUGGACCGCCACCCAGGCUUAAAGGGAACUGAGAUGAUUCAUGCUAGAAACUUCCGUGUGUAGCCACAAGCUACUAUGGGCUCUAGCAUAGUUGAGUAGGUUACGUGAAGCUCUUGAAGAGGUAGAUCACCAGGUAGUGGGUUUUGUAGGUUUGGUAUGGUCUACCCGGAGUAGAGAGUUAAUGUUUCUGAAAGACUGUGUCUCGGUCAUUCGUUUCUCAAACACCAUGCAGUGCGAGAAAUCAACGGAGGCGAUCGAGUCUUGUGGGGAAAAGUGCGCAAACCUCUGCAGAGUGUACAAUCUAAUCAUGGUUAGCCGUGUCCCCGGUUAUGGACAAUGUUGAGUAUCUAGUACUUGGGUUAUCACAUGUAUCUCAUCACUCUUAAUUAAUAUUGUUGGGUUGUUAACUAUUUUAAUUGCGAUUGAGUUGGGGUUAUACCUUCUCAAUGUUUCAACCACCAUGAUAGUUAAAUUAAAAUCUAUUCCUUUGUUGUAGGGAAAAAUUGGCUUUUCGCAAAACUAUAACCAUAGAGCUUUCCACCAACCAAAUAUGCAUGUAGUGAUAGCAUUAUUCUGUUCUUACUCUAUUGUGUUAUAUUGCCAGCAUAUUCCAUGUGCUGACCCGUUCUCGGGCUGCAAUGUAUUAUGUUGCAGACUUUUCAGACGAGGAGUAAGGUUCGUUAGGUCGUUGCCGUGCAGCUCAGCUAUGCCGUUGGAGUUGAUGGACUCACUUUAUCUUCCAAGCCUUCCGCUAUUAUCGCAUUAGAUGGCCUUAAGCCAUAUUAUUGUAAUAAGUUCUCUUCUGAGACAUUCGAUGUAAUAAGUGUGUGAUUGCUACUUUGUUAUAAAUCCUUCGAGUACUGUGUGUGUCAGCAUUACUGAUCCAGGGAUGACACUGAAGCACAGAGACUUGACCAUCUGAGGUCGGGUCGCUACAGAACGACGCGCCCGACCUAGAAGCAUCGCCCGGCGCGUCCCGCCGGUCACCGCCCCUCACCACCGUCGUCUCCUCCUGUGUUUGCUACCGGUUCCGUUCAUGCAGCAGCAUGUCCCGUAGUUGCAGCUCCCCCAUGACGAUAGCCGCAGCUCCGGCGUGCGCCGAUUGCAGGUCGCAGCACAUCCGCCGCCCCUGCUAGUCGCCCCAUGGUAUCAAUUUUGAUGCCGUUCGUAGCAAAAAAUCGGAGACAUUCCAGCAAAAAACAAGGUUCCAGCAAAAACAUUAUAUAGUUCCAGCAAAAAAAUUGUGUGGUUCCAGCAAAAAAUGAGAUGGUUUUUAGCAAAACAUUUAUAUGUUUGUCGCAAAAAAAUUACAUGGAUCCAGCAAAAUUAGAUUAUGGUUCCAGCAAAAAACACAAAUGCAGCAAAAAUUACCGUGGUCGCAGAUUUUUGGGUGGGUGGGUGGUAGCAAAAACAUGGUCUGGUUCCAGCAAAAUUAAAGCAUGGUUGUAGCAAAAAAUCGAUUGGAAAAACAGAUAAUGUCAUGAAGAUGGAUGUAGCAAAAAUCCACAAAACACCGGUAGUAACAAAAACCAAAACGGAUGUAGCAAAAUGGUUCACCGGUUCCAGCAAAAAUCACCAUGCUAGCAGAUUUUGGGGGUGGGUGGCAGCAAAAUGGUUCAAUGGUUACAGCUCUUUCGCUGCACGGUUGCAGCAAAAUCCCAUGCCCUGUCGCGCACGGGGUCGUGCUCGCUGUCUUGCUGGAUGUAGCAUGGACUUCGACGGUCCAGCUAGGCGUCGACCACUAGCAGCGGCGUCCGUCGCCGUUUCCACCACUUGCCUUUGCUGCUCGCAGCUCCACCAAAUCUGGUUGCAGCCCGCCUCGUACAGCAUGCCAAACUGUUCGUACUCCGGCGAGCAGUUGCAGCGGUGCCACGGCAGCGAACGUCGGCGGUGGCAGCGGGGGCUUGCGGGAGGGGAAGGAGAGGUUGCGGAGAGUACGAGAGCGGCAGCGCGGGGGGAGUGGGAAGGAGGUCUCGUUCUCCGGUGAGCAGUUGCAACGGUGCCAUGGCAGCGAACACCGGUGGUUGCAGCGGGGGCUUGCAGGAGGGGAAGGAGAGGUCGGGGAGAGGACGAGAGCGGCAGCGCGGGGGGAGUGGGGAGGAGAAGAACGAAGACAAGGAGGUAGGGGAUGAAGUUGUGGAGAAGAUAAGGUGGGGUAGGGAUACACGCGUCUCACGCGGGGCGCGGUUUGGUGGGCGCAAAAGGCCAGCGUGGCACGAGACCGGCCGAAUUUUCGGCCGGCGCACCGCACACAAACAUUACCCAUAAAAAUAUCUGUAAUUUUUUUAACACAAUAAAAAUAGCUUUAAAAUGUUCACAGUUUUACAUAUGUUCACACUAUCUUUGUUUCAAGAAAAUAUGUUCGCAUUUUCUACAAAACUUAAAAAUUCCCAAAAAAGUUCCAUUUUUUUACUAAAACAAAGUCCAUCUAGAAAUGUACAACCAAAAACAAAAGAUUCUUUUCAUCAAAAACAUCUAUUCAAAAAAAAAUCUUUUUCCGUAAAAAAUAUUCUUUUUUAGAGAAAUGUUUAAAUUUUCAUAAAAAUGUUAACUAUUCCUAAAAAGUGUUCCAAUUUUUAUGAAAACGUUAACUUUUAUUAAAAAUAAGGAUUUUUCACGGUUAACCUUAUUAUGGACAUUUAUUAAAAUUAAAUAUAAAAAAUGAUGCACAAUGGCGCAUGAAGCUGGUUGUGCCUUUUUUUGCACGGUGCAACGCAUGGGCAAUUUUUCUAGUAAUAAUAAUAAGUAUAUAUAGGAAAACUAACAUAUUUCUCGUCCGAUUAAGAGUCGUUCUCCGUUUUAGUAUAAAGAAAAAGCGAUCCAGUGGGCUGGUGCCGGGCUGGGCCGAGCGUGAGACGGGAUAUGUAUAUGAAACCAGCACUGCCCCGGGCGUCUGUCUGGUUGAAACCCUAGUAGGACACCAGGCGAGCGGCGGCGGCGGCGGCGUGGUUAGCCAUGUCUUCUCUUCUCAGCCCACCAAAGCCAGAAAUCGAGUUCAAAGAGGCGGAGGGGAAGGAGGAAAGAAGAUGGAAAGCGAGUCCGGUAUGGGGACGGAGGGGGAAUCCGGCAAGGAGCAGGAUUUGCUGUUGGAUCUGGGGAGGAAACUCGGGAAGAUGGAAAUCGAGUUAGGGAAGUGGACGGAGCAGGCUUCCGGCAAGGAGCAGGAGACGGUGCGGGAUCUGAAGAAGAGGCACAGGAAACUCAGUAAGAAUCGUAGGUACCUCUUGCAAGAUAUCGUCUCAGGGAAGUUUAAGGAAUUGUAUUCCGAUUCCGGCCGCAACAGGGUAAUGGGGAUUUUCAGGGAAGCCGAGGAGCUGGACAAGGAGUUGAUGAUUAUUAAGGAGAAGGAGAAGGAGAAGGAGAAGCAGGAGACGGUGGUGGAUUCCGGCGAGGAGGAGAUGGGCAGGGAUUCGGCGCAGCACCAGUCCCUGAUGGAGGAGAUCAUAUCCGUGGAGAGGGAGCGCAAAGACCUGCUUGGCUCACUUACUCCUACCUUUUCUCUCUGGAAAGAGAUUGAUUCUCAAACAACCUGGACGAUCGCCACAACGGAGUCUGCUACUUUUUCUAGGGACAACAAUGAGAAUCCACUUGCAGACUACUUCAACCUGAUCCUCCAAGGUAUGGAGGACCUGGGUCAUCGGAUGCUUUCUACAUUAUAUUUUCUCAACAAAUCCGAUGACUCCGUCUGCUCCUACAAGGCCACCGAAUUGUGCAAUGCAGCAACCAAACUGAAUAUGCACAUCAAGGGAUUCAGCAUGAAGCCGGAGCCAGAGCCAGAGCCAGAGCCAGAGCCAGAGGAGCAGCCGGGGCAGAUCGAUUUGUCGAGUCUUUUCAGAAAAUAUUGUCGAUUUCCUGAUAAUUACAACAACACCUUGGCCCGGUUAGAUAUGGAGGAGCAUGAGGAGAACAAAUGUGAGGAUGUUCAUGUGAAGAAGACCAAGGAAGAGGAGGACAAGGAGAAGGACGUAUCCUCAAAGGAGUAUCUCAAGAAAAGGAUGGACAUCGAGCAACAAUUUUUAGCCAAUCAUCGAAAAUCCUGGGAAAAUGUGUGGGGCAGCAGGAUUGGACGGUGCGGUGGAUUUAUGGAUACAAGUAAGUAACUAACUUUCUGCUCGUAUCUACUAGUUUUCGUAAUAUUUUCAUGCACCACAAUGCUUCCUUUUCUGUGAUAUUCUCUCGCUGUGAUCCUCAAAUGUUAGUUGCACAAUUGUUGAAUCCAUUGGAUCUUUAGGGUCGCCGUCUUGUCGCAUUUACAGAUAUUUUGUGCCUGCCAUGAUAAAUUUAAAUUGUGCAAAUGCUGAACCCAUUGGAUCUUUAGGCUCGCUGUCUUGUUGCAUUUAAAGAUAUUCUGUACCUGCCAUGAUAAAACUGUCAGGUGGGUUGUGUAAUAUUGAAUAAUUGACUGAAAAAAAUGUUAUCAAUUGUAAUACUGCGAUACCUUUGGACUGGUCUAGUAACAGGACAGCAUGGACACUUAUAAGUGUCCCCCUCUGCUUGAACCUUUUUCCAGCAAUCCUUGCAACUUCUGUGCCACAAGUCGUACGUGAAAAUCACCUCAGUAAUUCGAAUCUUGAACUUACAGCGUUCUCCCUUUACGGAUAAAGCAGAAUUUUUUUAUCGCGAAUUAAUUAGAAACACUGUAUGCAGCAUUAAUAUAUAGUAGUAAACUCCUACAUAUUAUACUUGUGAAUCAGUCAACAGCCUGCUAAAUUAACAAGUUCUAAUUGUAGAAGAUGAAACUAUCCUUUCAAGCACUGUGGCAAUUUUUGGAGUAGGAAUAUUAAUGUUCCAUUUGGUAGUUGACGACGAUUUAAAUGCAAGCAAGCAAGCCAGUGGUGUAAGACAGAUUAACACAGCUCACACUGAUAAUCAACAAAGAAGUAAUAACUCCAUCCUUAGUAGAGCAAAAAUGACCCUCCUAAGAAAUAACCUACAGUAAAGCCAACAAAGAGCGGUACCAUUGGCUCUCUACAGAGGCAUCCCGUAAUCCAGUAGCUUGGACAGCAAGGGCAUGUGCUCCCCAGAGCAUGACCACAGCAACACGACUGCACAUAAUAGGUAAACAUGUUAUAAUUCCAUCUAAAAUGCAGUAAUACUUUUGUUCAGUUUAGAGCUGAAAACCUAUAUUGCUUACCUGCUGUCUGUUAUGUAGACAUUGUGCGUCUCCUUUUGACUGCUAGAUGAUGUCGCUUACUUGUCAGUAACCUCAACGGUUAGUCCAACAAACAUCUGUUGGAUAUAAAAGAAAUAGCAAGCACAGGUUAGAAAUAAAUGCGAUGAAAAAUAAUUUUGCUUAUCAACCUGAAAGCAUAGUGGUCUGCUCAGCACAAGCCUCCAGCAAGGAGCAUUGUGAGGAAACAGAGGAAAGUUUUCUGGCUGGGGUUUGUUCACCCCUAGUCUGGUAUGUAAAGCAUAGCCUAAGAGGGCGAUCCAAACGCCCGUGCUUUUGUCUAGCAUCAUAUAAGCUUAAGUUUUCAACUAUGUGUAUGCAAAACAAAAAUGUGUUUUCUUCUUGUUAUAUGGAACAUGACAUACAUAGGGUAACAACCUGACGCUCCAAUAACACCAAGUAAAUUUUGUAAACGUCGCUGUGUUGAAGUUUGUCACUAACCAUACUCUGCUAAACUAUGAGCAUCCAUGUGUAUAACUGCUUAGUUACGUGAUCCUAUAAAAGUGGCCCUUCCAUAACUGGCAAUCAACCUAAAAAGGUAGGAGUAACAGAAUUCCACAACUGGCAAUUAACCUAAACUGCUUUAUUUAUUUUCAUUCUUAACCUGUACACUAUCUGUAUAGUUAUCUUGUUUUGAAUAAUAAUUCAAACAUUUAGUACACCACUAACAAAGUUAGCAUGCAUAUUAAUCUCUAACUAUGAGACAAACACGCGUAACAGUAGGGGGGAUGUGUGUAACUGUACAUAUCCUAUAGUUUUUUGUGUGUUACUUGUGUGGAGUAACUAUGAGAUGCAGAUUUUGUAUAAUAUGUCCUAUAAUAUAGAAAUAAUGUAUAUAACAUGAAAAUAUAUAAAGGAGCUUGUUAUUUGUUUGCGUAAUAGUCACCCUAGUCGUAAUAAUUCAAAACUGUAUAUAUAACGGGAUGGACUAACUAGGUGAUGCAAGUUUGUCUUUUUGUAGACAUAUCUUGAUUUGCUCAAGUGGCAAGAAGAGAACAACAGGGAAUUAACUAACAAAACUACACUUCAAUUUUUUAAUGUGUCUAAUACAUGGGAGGUGAGAGCACAACCAAAACACCAUGAAGACAUGACUUGUUUGAAGAGCUAUCGUAAGCGCCUCGUCAAAUUUUCGCUCAGAUAUUAGUCUGAUUAGCUCCUUCAUUGGAUCCGCUGGAACAUCAAUCUAAAACAUCCGUUGGCAAACACCUUUAGUGGUAAAAAUCUGGGCAGUAGUUUCAGCAACAUAGGGGGUCUGUACUUUGCUUACUUUAUUUGCUUAUCCAUAUAAGAAUUCUGACAUUUGACGCUUAUCUUUGGUGCUGCAGCCAUAUUGAGCCCUAUGCAAUUUACACAUCACACACCUGGUAGCAUCUUUUCCCCUGCUGCCAUCACCGGUAGUACCUUGCAAAUCUAUUCAAUCAAGAUACAGAGUAUAAAAGGCUUGAACUGGCCACUCAGAGUGUAUGGCGAGGUUGCUGCUCGAGACACUGUGGACCGCAACCGCAACAUUCUAUUUUCUCGGUCAAGGUUUGACUACCAAGAACUCAAUGGAUGUACAUGUUACCGAAGGGGAUUGGCCUUUUAAGCAUGGAUGCCGAGUUGUGUGUUAUUGGUCUCCUGCUGUGGCUGCUGCGCCGACAGAUGUCAUUGGUAAGACUUGCAGGCGAGUUGUGCUUCUUGAUCACCGUGGUAAAGGAAUGCACAGAAGACCAGACAAGCACCUUCAUCUCUCAAGGAGAGUCGUUUCAGUGGAAUCACAUGGAACGCUGAGAGUGUCCAUAGAAGCAUAUGGAAAAUCUCGUCGUUAUAUUGCUCGAGAAGGUCACAUCAACUUCCCUGUUCAGCAGUGCCAAACAAGAACGAUUGAGUGUCAAGUUGGCGACUCCAAGGUGGAGGUUGCUGUAGGGUGGUCGUUGCUUGUGAAGGAAAAAGCGUGCCUCUCGCUCGGUUGAUUGCCUGACACCCAGGCAUGCAUAUACUGCUACUAGUACUAAGGUGGACCGACUUGUGUGGUAUCGCCAGAUCACAUAACUACUACCUCCGUCCCAAAAUUCUUGUCCGUAUCUGGCAAAUCUAAGACAAGAAUUUUGGGACCGAGGGAAUAUCUAUCUUGUGCUGGCCACAGUUUGUAUGAUGUGAAUCAUUCGGAUUUGUUCAAAAUCUGAGCACUUUCAUGUCUGAUUGUUUUUCUUUCUAUUGACGACUAUUGCUCAGAUCGUUAUAUGCCCCUGCCACCGCUAGAUGAAGCUGCUGUACUGGCCUUAGUACAAUGGUAGGUGCUUAGAAAAAUAAAUCUGUUUUUUAAGCAUCAGUGCCUAUUUUUAAAGGAGGGACGCCUAAUUAAGCGUUUACCUGUAUAAAUAAACACCAGUGUUUAAGGAAAGACUGGUUUAUUUCUCUAAACAUCUCCUCUAAGCAUUUUGCAUUGUACAAGGCUGAUGCGCAAGCUAAAGCCUGUUGGCGAGCGAGCCGCAGCUCAGCUCGUCCCCGUUGGAAAACACAUCAGGCUGCAGCACCACCGCGAGAAGUCGGUCUCAUCAAGCAGCGACGCUGUCCGCUGCUCCGUGUCAGUCCCAGCUCCAUCACGCACGCGUUGGUUGCAGCUUGCAUCCGCAUCGGGAGCGGUGUGCGUGCCCACCAUGCCCUGUGCGUGGUCGACUGGCCACCCGACUUCGACUGUUUGACAUACACACCGCGCCCACCAUGCCGUGCGCGUGGUCGACUGGCCACCCGACUUCGACUGUUUGACAUAUUUCUUUGAUGUAUGUAUGUUUUGUGAAUUCACAAAUAAAUAAAUAAAGCGUUGCAGGCCGGAACUCACCGGUCACAUCAACGGGCCCACACACACACCGCUUCAGCUAUCCUUAUCCCGUCACACAUGCGGUUUCUAGCCAUUUAUUAUUCCACCGUUGAGUGCCUGAGACCAUCUCCAGUCGUUCGGUCCCCUUAGAUAACCGGCCGAAACUCCGCCGGUNNNNNNNNNNNNNNNNNNNNNNNNNNNNNNNNNNNNNNNNNNNNNNNNNNNNNNNNNNNNNNNNNNNNNNNNNNNNNNNNNNNNNNNNNNNNNNNNNNNNCAUUCAUUUUUCCACCGUUGAGUGCCUGAGAGCAUCUCCAGUCGUUCGGCCCCUUGGAUGACCGGCCGAAACUCCGCCGGUCACAUCAACGGGCCCACUCACACACCGCUUCAGCUUUCCUUAUCCCGUCACACAUGCGCUUUCUAGCCAUUCAUUUUUCCACCGUUGAGUGCCUGAGAGCAUCUCUAGUCGUUCGGCCCC